This 129303-nucleotide long non-coding RNA is filed under the name Olea europaea (common olive). Its description in RNAcentral is "long non-coding RNA (OEUR_LNC003514)". The record is from RNAcentral. Lineage: Eukaryota; Viridiplantae; Streptophyta; Magnoliopsida; Lamiales; Oleaceae.
UUGCCUCUUAAUUCUUUCUUGUAUAAUUGUUAAAUGGUGUGCGAUCACUUCUUCAUCAACUUUUAUCAAAAUCUAUUAAAAAAUUAAUUUUCAACAAAAUCAAAUGUGUUUAAUAUGUUUAGAUAAAAAAGUUAUUUAAAAGUAACGUUUACCUAAAUUUUAGCUAGACAGGUAAAUAUUUAACUAAUUUUUAAUAUUUUGUCUCAUAAUUCUUUCUUCUACAAUUGUUAAAUGGUGUAACAUCACUUCCUUCGUGGUUUAGACACUUUAUGCUUACAGAAUCACUUUAUCACAUAUAUGUUCUAUUGACAUAUUUGAUUUAUUGGAUCUGAAAAUAAUAAAAAGAUCAAAGAAUAAAAAAAAAAAGUAAUAUCUGCCAUGCCAUGAUAUCCAGUAUAGUGAAUACCAAACGUGUUGCAUAGUUCUUCAUGCUUUUCAAUUUUUUGAUAUCAAGAAUUUUGGGAUCAUUUUUCACAUAGUUGACAUACAAUGUCAAGAAAUAAAAACACAUCAAAUAGGGAAAGGUAUGAUCAUUGAUUAAAAAAACUUACUAGGCAUGUAGAUUUGAUGAUUGUGCCAGGAUCAUAAUCUUGAAGGUUUGUGCCCUCAAUAGCUGAAAGGAUCACGUCCAUAAAAUCCUGCUUACUACCAGAAUUUGCCUUUUGCUUGUGCUCUUCCAACCAUUUCUCAACAAUUUUAUCCAUUUCUUUUCCAGUUUCUUUCAUUUUUUUCUCAUAUCCACCUAUAUCCAACCAUCUAAGGUAAGGGAUAUUAUCAGCCACAAUAAAAAUUCCAGUUAAAUGAAAGAAAUCCCUCAACACUUUCUGGCACUGCCUUGCCUCUAUUUUAUCCCCAUCAACAGUUGCACCAAAAUAUCUCUUCCCUGCAACCAUUCUGAGAAUAACAUUCAAAUUCAAGUCCCCGAACCACUGCUUCAUUUCCACCAAAACCCGACCCGACCCAUCUUUCUUCUCGUUCCAGUACUUGUAAAGCUCUUGUAUGGAUACCUAUUAAAGACAGGAUUUAAACGGAUACAAUUUCGCAUUUAUCUAAUUGCUUUUAGAUGAUUUUGUUAAAUAGUAGACAAAAUACUAUAGUUUAAGUUUCACUACCUCGAAUUUAUAAAAAUUAUGCACAUAUCAUACCUUUGAUCAUUGAUAAUAAUCCAGUCUCGAGAUGAAUGGCAUGUUGGAGACGCAAUUGAAAUAAAUACAUGUGGUCAUUCUCUAUGAUCUUAAGCUUUAAAAUAAGUUGGUUGACAAUACCUCGGUUUCGGAAACACGUAUGUGUUGAAGGAGCUCCAGUCUUCGGGGAGAGAAUAAUUCCACGGCUAUUAGUUUUCGUAGUUCACGCCAAUAGGUGCCAUAAGGGGAGAAUCCAAACAUGGCGAAGUCAUAGCCUAUGUGCUUGGCUGCAAGAAAUUUUGGACGUGAAGAUAUAAUCACAUCCCAGGUGGUGAACAAUUCUUUAGCCAAUUCCCAGUUGUUCACCACUAGAGUUUCGUGUACUCCGAGCUGGAUUGUAAAGAUUGGUCCAUACUUGUCCGCCAUUGCUGCCAGGAUGAUGUGUGGAAGACGUGAGCUGCCACCUAUGACGUGGAGGUGGCCUAUAAUGGGCCAUGCCCCACCAGCUUCCCGCGGUGAACUGUUUUUGGUAGCUUUAGACCUAGAUUUCCAGUAAAAAAUCAAAAGUAGCGCAAAUAUUGCAGCUAUGGAAGAAUUGAGAUGUGAGACCGAGAAUUCCAUGGUUGUCUUGACCAAAGAUGGGUUUCCUAGUUAAUUUGUUACUGUGACCUGGGGGCUCAUAUAUAAGCAAGCAAGCAUGCUCGGCUAAGCAUAAAAAGUUUGCUUAUAAAUAAGUAAGUUAUGAAUAAACUAUUUUUUAAUAAUAAAAGUUGAAAAAUAGUAAAUUACUUAUUUUGAGAGUGGUAAUUGUUACUUUUAAAAUAAUAAAUUUUUAUUACUUAAAAGGAAAUACUAAAUUAUCCAUACACGUUUGAAAAAAAUACAUUUUUAUAUACUUAAAACAGUCUUAAAAAUAUUACGGUGCAUUUGAUUUGCGUUUCUGUUUUUUGUUUUAAUGGAUAAUUUUAAGAUUGCAUAAAACGAGUUGGUUUGUUAUUCUAAAAAACUACUUACAAAAAAUAUAUGUACAUAUUAAAAAAAAAAAGAAACAAAAGAAAAAGAUAGAGGAAUCAUUGUAAGAUUGAGAAACAGCGCCAGAAAAUUGGAUUCUCCACUAAGGUUCUUGGAGGAACUUGGAAAGAGUGCGCGCGCGAGAGAGAUAGUGAGAGGUAUUGAAAGCUGGAUAUUUGUUUUUGAGCAGGUUUUUAUGAUUUUAUUAAUUAUUUUAAUUUGAGAAAAUUUUAAAUUCAUUUUCUUUGUUUUGACUUUUCUGAAUGUUUUGAAAAUACUCGAAAUGUCAAAAGUCAUUUUUAGUUUUUUGUUGUAAAAUUUUUCUUAUUUACGAAAAUGCAUUUUUAAAAAUAACAUAUCAAAUACGUUUUUAGUGUUUUAGAAAAUUGAAAAUUGCCUCAAAAUAGCAAAUUAAAUGCAAUCUUAGUUCCUCAUUUUUUCAGAUGUAACUUUGAAAUCAAACUUCCCAUUUUGAGAUAAGGGGCGCUUUCGAUUCCAUCGGUGAUUGAAGUAAUUUUGUCUUCUCCAUAUUACUAUAGGGAAAAUUGCAGUCGAGGUACCAAACAUUUUGUUUAUUAGCAGACUUUGCCCAAACUUUUAGUUUGUGCCAACCAUGAUACCAAACCUUUCAAAAAUUUGCGGUUGAAGUCCAAAUGGAUGGAAACUGUUAGUUUGACCAUUAGUUAACUAAAAAAUUAACAAUGGCCAUAAUUUUGACUAAUUUUAAAAGGAUAAAAUGGUAAAUCUACAUUUUCCAACAAAAACAUCAUUACAAUAAAUUAAUAAUUAAAUAAAAAAAACCCAAAACAAAAACACUGUUCAUCUUUUUCUCCACUUACCCCCCUCACACCCACUCGCCAUCCAUCCCAAAACCUGUGUUUCUGAAACCUCAUUUUGUUUUCAAUUUGAAACACUUUUCAAUCAUUUUAUGGAUCUUAAAUAACUUGCGCUUCGAUCCAAAAAUUGAAUCAAGAAAUGACAGUGAAGGAAAUAUAUCUCCAACAUUAAAUAUUCCUGCAAAGGAUGUUGCUUCUUUUCCCAACUCGAUUAGUGAAUCUUGGUAAUCAACUGUGCUUCUGCAAACUAUCAAAUUCUCAGCAUCCCCAAAAUCGAGUGCAAAGAAGAGCCCUAAAUUAGCCAACCUUGAUUUCGGUCACCGCGAAUCUUCUAACCGAUGAACCACCCAUACGAAAAUUAGAAAAUUCCCAAGGCUCUCCCUACUUCCACAACUUGGAAAAUCGGGGAACUCCCACGAAGUUUUUUGGUUAAUUUGCAAGAAGUUUUGUUGGGAACAAAGCUAUGGAUUUUGUUUCUGGCAAUUCCAUUUGCCAUCGCUGCUAAGUGUAAAAAUUUCGGUGGGGUGGGGAGGUUGAAGAAGACAACUCUUUUUUAAUUUCUUUUCUUAAUUUUUUGAUUUUUUCUUGAUUUUUUGAUUUUUUCUUGGUUCAAUUUAUUUAAUAUUGUAAUUAUCAAGUUAUCAUUUUACCCAUUCCAAUUUGGUCAAAGUAGGUCAAAAUUUUUUUUUCUUGGUCAACUAACGGUCAAAUGGACAGUUUCCAUCCAUUUGGACUCGGGUGCAGAUUUUUGAAAAGUUUGAUACCUCCAGUGGCACAAACUAAAAGUUUGGACAAAGUCUGCUGAUGAACGAAAGGUUUGGUAUUUCGACUGCAAUUUCCCCAUUACUAUAUCUCUAUAGUCAAUAUAUCACGAAAUUUGCUUUGUCAGAAAAUAAGUCAUGAUUGCCUAAACUUGAAAAAGGUAAAACUUACAUUUUUUUAUUACAAUGAAAUUUGGGUAGAAAGAAAACGAAUUUUUGGGAAUUGAAUUGCCUAAAACUUGUUUUAUUGGGAAUUGUGAAUUAAAUGUGUUUGAUUAGUACAAUUUUCUACCUGAAAAAUGUUGAAAUUUUGGUAUUCUGUUGGCUUUAUUUUUCACGAAAAUUGUAAAUUAAAGGGGUAAAAUUGAUUACAAUUGUGGAUAGAAUUUGUUUCCAUUGCAAAAAAAAUAAAAGUUGGAAAACUGAUUUCCAUGAAACCCAUGGGAAUUGAAUUCCACUAAACUAGGGGAAAUGGGUCAUGUGGGAGGGGGGGAUGGAAAAUGAAUUGCCAAGAAAUUUUUUGCAAUCAAAAAAGCAAAAAGGUGGAAAAUUUUUCGUGGAAAAUUCCUCAAAUCAAACAGGGACUUGGAAAAAACCCCUUGGUUGUCUUACAUUACACAUUCUAAGAUUAAGCAGAGUGUGGCCUACCUAAAUUUUCUUACAUUAAUAUUCAUCGUUCACAGUCCACUCAAACUACCAUAUGACUAGUGCCCCAGAACCUGCCACAAAUGUUACUACCAUACAUUUAACAUUUGUAAUAAUUGAAGCCAAAUAAUGUUAUUUAUUACCAUUAGUGUUAGAGCAUCAAUUUAGACUGUUGCACUUUAUAAACUUAAUUAAAUGAGAUGUGUGAGUACUUUGCAUUUAAAUAAAUCUAUCAUCUAAUGUCAUAUAAUUAUUAUCUAAACUGGUGUUUAACACCAAUGAUGAUUAAUAUCAUUAUUCAUUGAAGCCAGCUUCUCAACUAUGUUUUGUUUCAGAGUUUACAUUUCAUAUAGAAGUGUCGGCUAAAGACCUAGAGCUUGUGUUUGGCUAGUUUUUAUAAAUUGUAUAAUUGAUAAAAUUAUUUUUUUAUCCAAUAUCUAUUAAAUGAAACAGAAGUAUUACUUAUUUAUUCACAAGUAAUUUCAAUCAAUUUAUAAUUUAAACCGUUUACAAACACUUGCCAACAUGCCUUGUGAACUCAAAGUGGCCAAACAAAUUUCCACUCGUCAAGUCUCAAGCAAUAUACAUAUAUACAGCCCAUUAUAAUCUAUGCCGUGACACCUCUAGACCCAAGGACCCUAAUGCCACGAAACAUGCUUGCUUUAAAGUUAAAUUAAGAAUCAUUUUUCUUUCAGAAGUAAAAACUAAUCUCUAAUUUUAAAAUUGGCGCGGGAAGACGAGAAAUUGACUCUAAAUAAUUUAUUAAGCCCUUUGGCCCCAUUCUCAUCCUCAUUCUUUUUCUUUCUCCUAUUUUCAACCACAUAAUCUUCUAUAAAAAUAACAUUAUCUGCAAAUAAAAAAAAAUUCAUUCUUUUUCAACCAUACAUUUUAAAAAAUAUAUUAUUCCAAUCAUUAAAAUUUGACAAGAAUAGGUGCCAAACGGGAGCUAACUUACUCUCAAUUUAGAGCCUCUUUGGUUCAAAUUAAAAUCUGAUUUUAAUUUAAGAAGAAUUCAAACAAUCAAUAUUAAUAACUUCUUUGUCCCACAAUUUUUCAAUCACACAUUUCAAAAACUUUUAUCAUAAUCUUCUAAAAAGAUCUAAUUUUAAUAUCAACUAAACACCCUUGUAAUAUGUGUUCACUUAAAAAAUAUGAUAACAUAUAUAAAACUUCGCAACACAAAAUUCAAAAGUUGUAAUAUACAAUACUAUUAAGCAGAAAGUUGUAAAUACAUGUUAACAUAAAAUAAUAUAUUCAAAUAAUAACUACAACUCUUAAAAUGCAAAAUUUUAUUCUCUUUAUUUAUCUUCUCCUCCAUCUUAUUUCAUAUCCUUUCUGAUGCAUCAUCCUUCCACUGAAAAUAAAAUUAUUAAAUCUUAUUAAAAUGAGAGAAAAUAAUAAAAUGAAAUAUGACUUCUGGGAGCACCACAAAUACUGAAUUUCUAACUCAUGAUUAAUUUCAAAAUACUUAAUGUUUGACUCUGAUUUUAAAUUUUAAGGAGUUUAUAACUUUAACCAAUCUUGCUUAAAGUAAACAAUAUGGAGUUUAUAUCAUAGAAUUUGUUAAAGUAAAUAGUAAUUGUUUGUAAAAAUGAGUGCAGCUAAACAAAACGUGACAACAUAAUUUCUUUCUCAAGUAUAAUUUCUUUUUAUUUUCGUCUCUUACUAUAAUUGACUUUUAUUAUCGUUUCUUAGUAUAGUUUAUUUCUCCAGUUUAUCAGUAGAUUUUGUUGUUUUGAGGAAAAAUGAUUCCUUCUAUUCAAAGUUUGUCGUGGUGUUCUGUCUCGCCAAGAACGGGUGGGUCCAUUAGUCAUUAAAAUGCAUAUUUAACUAAUACUAAAUUAUAAUGUUGAUUAAGUGAAGAUGCAAAAAUAAUGGCCUAAAUAAUAAAAAGAAUUAAGCCAAGAUGAAAAAUAAUUAUCAACUUCUGAUCAUGGUAAGGUAGAGUUGGAAACAUUCUAAUUCCUAACAUGAGCCGCAUCGUGUAGGCUAUGUUUGUCACACUUUCUUUGAAAUUCGUUCGGAAUUGGAAUGUGAUAAACCAAUUUAAUGAUUGAAAUUGAUUCUUAGUCUUUUAUCUAUUAUCUUCUUUAUAUGGAACAUAUUUUAUUUACACAAGUGGAAGUGCAUAAACACAAAGUAGCAAUAAAAAAGUGUGGCGUAGGCAUCGAAAUUUAUGAGAAAUUUUGUGUUAUUCAUUAGUCAUUGAGUUUUAUUUUCUUUUAAAUUGUCAGUUAAAUAUGCACAUUAUUUCUGUUAUACCACUCCAUUAACCUCUAUCUAAUCUACUUCUGUAAUUUUUAUCUAAUUUAUAAUGCAAAUUCCAACGUGGAUUGCAUAAAUACAGUUAUUGAACUUCAAGCAGAAUUUAAUGUUGCUCGUCAAAUUUUAUUUUGCUCUAAACUAGUCACUUAAAUAUGUUAACUAUGCAAAGGUGAGUAAUAGAACUAAACAGGAAAAUGAAAUUUAUAGAUAGAGAGAUACACCACCAUUGUGAUGAGGAGAAGAGGGAAAGAAAGGAAGUAAUAAUCUUAAAGUUCAAUAAUUCAAUACAUGAAUUCUCAAAAUUGACAAAACCUGGAAAAAACUCAAUAUCUUAUCAAGGGAGGUUAUAUUGACACCGCAUUUUAUUUUGUUGCCUACUUUUAUAUGCGUUUAAAGUCUUCAACUUUUACUCAUUAUCUCAAUUCUGUUCCUUACCUUUUAUAUCACAUUUUUAUCUUCAACGUUGGAUGUAUUAACACAUCUUAAUUAUAUCCAAAUAUUCUGCUGACUUCAUUUGAAAUGAAUAGCAAAUAUUCCAUUGUGUUAUAAAGUAGAGAAGAAAAUAUAGAAGUCAGUAGAUUCGUGUGUUUAUUUUAUUAAGAACUAGUGUCUCAUAUUUAUAAUUAGAGCUGUAAGGAUACAAUUGUUAUUCGAUAAUUCUACUUUAUUUACAAUAUUUCCCUUAAAUGAUUAUUUACACAAUAACUGCACCAUUUAAAGCCUUAUUUGACAUAAGUUUGAUAGGAUAAAAAUACAAAACAAAGGAAAAAAUAUUAUAAACAAUUUAGAGUAAUAAAAUGAUGACUCGUUAAAAUAUCGUUAAGAAAAUUCAAUGAGGCAAAAUUUGAGUGAAGGAAAAAAAUAUACAACUACACCCCUUGAUUAUAAUUAAUGAAAUCAUUCUAUGAAGUCAUUCAUAUCUUUUAUGAUAAUAUUAUCAAUAUAAUAAUUCUGAUAAAGUAUGUUCCAUGUUAUCAUGUUACAAUCCAAAGCAAUAUUAUCAUUAGAUAAGAUGACAAAUGUAUUUUAUACAUUUAUUCAUGGUCUUAAAUAGCAAUAUUUAGUUGUUCCUCUGAUGAAAUAUAAUCUAAAUUGUUGUAUUUUGUGUUAAACAGGUAAAGUUCAAUGGUUGAAUAAAGAAUUAGAAGUAAGGAAAACCAGAAAAAGAAUGAAAUCCAAAAGAUGGGGACCAAGUUGCAACAAUUCAAUAGAUGAAUCGGACCAUAAAUCGGAGAUUGAAGAUGUUGGGGGUUCAAUUGGAUGGACUUAGAAGUUAAGCGGGCCCAACUUAGGUUAAAGAGGAAGAAAAAGACAUUCCGUAGAAGUACGAGGACCAAAAUGCACAAAAUAGAAAAUAUAUUGAACUAGACGACGACAUAGUUAAAAAUCCAUGCAGGGCAAAUUUGGAGUUCAACAAGUGAACUAUGCGGAUGUAUGCAAGAAUAUUAUUCUGUCGCAUAGUACAAAAUUUUGGUCUAAUCUUAGGCUUCCUUGUAGGAUUAAAAUCCAACUUGACGAGGUAUUGAGCUAUAUGUUUGACGUAGAUUCGAGCCAUAUAAAUACCAUAACAUCCCAUAACAUAGAAGAGACUCUUUUAUGCAAUGAAAUUACUCAAAAACUUGAAGAUUGUGAGAGAAAUUUAUUAAAGAUGAGGGCAAAAGACAAAUUUGUGGGAGAUUUCAUCUAAGGAAUUGCAAGAAGAUUAUCAAGGAGACUUCAUAUUAGGAAAGUUGCACAAGGACUGAGAGGAAAAUUCAAAAGAUAUCAAGAAUACAUCAUUUCUCUUCAAUUAUUCAAUUUUAGGGUGAUCUUUAUGCUAGGCUAGAUUUUUACAUUGCUAGGACAAUAUGAACCCUUGUUAUGAGAUUUUUGGUAUUUAUUAAUUAUUUUGACGUCAAGCACGUAUGUUUUCUUGAAUGUUUAUUAUUGUUUUCAUCGAUUUCUCAAUUAAUUAACUACUAAUUGAGAUCAUUUACUGGAAUUUAGCUAAAAAUAAUAAGCAUUGUAAAGUUUGAUAGAUAAUAGAGAUAUACCUCUAUGCUUUACAUAGUUUCCAUAAGUUAUAAACCGUUUAAUGCAUUUCUCAUGUUCGUAGCUUUCAUUGAAAAAUAGAAAGAUCACAUGAGAGGAAUAGAUUUGAUCAUUAUCAAGAGAGGUUUUCAAAUAAAUUAGGAUCAUUGACCAACAAGAAUGACUAUUAACUAUCACUUUAAUUUGUUGUGCUAAAGUAUAUUAACAAUGUGGAUUUGACAUCUUAGCAAUACUUUCAUAUAUUUGAAAAAAAAAAAAACCUUGUUAAAUCGCUUUCUAAUUUAAUUCAUAAUUUAGAUAUUAGUAUAGAAAACUCAAAAUCUGUUUGCUAUUCGAUUAAUGUUGCUAUUAAUUUGAAUUUGAUUGAAUACUUAGUUCACGUGUGUUCGACACUUUACAAAUUACUUUAAUAGUACAUUGAAAAACAGAUUUUGUUGCUCUGUACGAGAGUCUCAUAUAUAAUUUAUAACAUACAAUGGUAAAAUCAUAAUAUUAUAUUGAAGAUAAAUGUCAUAUAGGUUAUAGACAUUCAUUAAAACAUAAUACGUUAAAGCCUUACUAAAGGAAACCCUAUUUAAAAAUCGUAAUGAAGGAAAAAAAGUAUAUUAUUUCUCUAAAUAAGCUAUAAUAGUUGUCGCAUUAAAAACUUUACUAGGAAAAUCCAGUGGAACAAAACAUUGAUCAAGGAAAAAAGAGUACGGCACAUAUAUGCUUUCCCUCAUGAUAAAAUACUUGAAUUAUAUGCUUCAAAUAUAUUAAACCCUUUAGGGAUAGUAUUAGUAAUCGUGAUAAAUGAGUUGAUUAUAAUUACAUUUAUACUAUGCAUAUCAAGCUUUAUGUAUUGAAAGAUAAUAAAAUAUAGAUUUGUGAUUGCAUCCACCAAAGAAUAAUUUAUCUUUGUAUACCAAUCUUUGAGAAUUUUAUCUUAAGAAUCAUGCAUUACAUAUUACGACUUUAUUUUCAUUUCCUUCUCAUAUACGUAUACAUGUUUAGAUGCUAUGAUUGUAGGUCCAAAAAUUUCAAAUUUCUUUAGUAAGUUCAAGUUUGUUAGGAUGCAUUUUUUUAUUUGACCAAUUAUUUAUACGUUGGUAUUAUUCGACGAAUUUCUUUCAAUAUUCUCACGAACAUUUGAAGAUGCAUUAAAAUCAAAGGAACUUUCAAUGAGAUUGUGCAAAACAUAAAUAAUUGUCCCUUAAAAUCUAGAGGACCUUAUGUGAUUGCUACUUGUGCUAAAUUCCUAUUUCUCUUUCCGAAUGUAAAUAAAAAUCAUACACUAAUUCAAUCAAUGGCCAAUUAAUUGAAAAGAGUUAAACUACUAAUAAUCAUUCAAACUGAACAAACAUUUAAAGUGUCAAAAUUCAUAAUUUUAUGUAAAAACAUCAAAACAUAGGGUUCGUCAUUAUCAUAACAACUAUACAACUAGCUAGACAUUAUAAUAAUACAAAAACAAGAACAAAAUGAAUACAACAUCACUCAAAUUAAAUGUUUGAAAAGAAACAUGGAAAAUGGUCCUUGUUUAAACCUCAAAAAAUGUACCUCCAACGUGGACAACAGAUCUCAAGGUCUCUCACGUCCAUGCAAGCCUUAUUCCUACACACUCAGACAAAACGUCAACCACACGUGGGGAUGGAGUUAGUUGUACACACUCCGGCAAUCAAAUCAAUUGGAAAAAAAUAUAUGGGUGUGAGGGAGCUUUAGACGUGAGCCACAAAUACACAAAAGGAGGUCGGCUUUAGGAGCUAACAAAUAGAACAGUGAUAUGGCAAAGUUAUAGUGUAACAGUCUGAAUUUGUCUUUUACCCUGGAAUGAUACCAAGUGCGAACUUUUAUAGUAGAAGAGGAUGAGUAAGAACGUAUGUAAAAAGAGACUUGUAGCCUCAUCCUAGUAGCUGGGACCUCUUAUCAUAGGCAUCAAUCAAUUAGACCUGGUUCAUAUGCAUUUAAUCUUCUGACUAUUUACAGUCCUAAGCCUGACAUGGAAAACUAUACUUGACAUGUUGAUUGAGUAGAGCUGCCUAUUCAAUAAGUUGUCACAUUACCCAUUUGUUAUAAGAUCUUGUAUGAAGAUCUUCCCUAAGAUGCCUUUAUCUAUCUCACCUCAUCCAUGAGGGCUCGGCUCCCCAUGGGGGUUCAGCUAAUAGGGGUUUAGCCAAUUAGGAUUUGGACAAAUUACUACAUGUGUAGAAUGAUGUGGAGUGCUAGCCUAUGUUUUCUUGCUGUGCGGUUGCCACUUGGCAAUGUUUAGAGCAUCAUUGAAAGAGGCAUAACAAUAGUCUGCCAAGUCCAUGUACGAAUAUUAAUAUAACGUGCAGACUUAGAAUGUACAAUAUAAGUAGAUUUUUGAAGAGUUUGCAGACCUAAUUUAAGAGGAAGCCCUUAAAGUUAAGCAAGCCUUAUGGAGAAGAUAAAGCAUGUGAUAAGGUUGAAUUGGACUUGGGCAACACUUUUCCAUAAAGGAGAGCUCAUUAUUAAGAGACAACCAUUUAUAAGGCUGAAUUGAACUUGAUUGAGGCCUGUUGCAUAAGGUAAAGCCCAUUCAGGGUAAGCGACAACCAUUGAUAAAGCCCUUUGUAAUACCCAUUGCAUAAGAAAGAGCCCAUUAGCGAAGAGGUAAUCAUUGAUAAGGCUGAAUUGAACUUGAUCGAGGUCGUUUGCAUAAGGAAAAGUCCAUUCGAGAAGUGCAAGCUGAUGAUAAGAUUGAAAUGAACUUGGCUAGGGCCUUUGGUAUAAGGAAAAGUCCAUUCGAAAGCAGCAGUCAUGGAUAAGGCUGAAAUGGACUUGGCCGAGGCCCUUUGUAUAAGGAAGAGCCCGUUUGGGAAAGAGACAGCCAUUGAUAAGGCUUAAUUGAAGUUGGCUGAGGCCCUUUAAAAGACCAUUUACAUGAGGGAGAGCCCAUUAGUAAAGAGAUAACCAUUGAUAAGGAUGAAUUGAAAUUGGCUAAAGCCUUUCGUAUAAAGAAGAGCCCAUUCUGGAAGAGAUGGCCAUGGAUAAGGUUGAAAUGAACUUGUCCGAGGCUCUUUGUAUAAGGAAAAGUCCAUUCGAGGAAGAGACAUCUGUUGACAAGGUUGAACUAAACUUGACCCAGGCCCUUUGCAAGACCCUUUACAUAAGGGAGAGCUCAUUAAUGAAAAAGUAGUCAUUGAUAAGUCUAAAUUGAAUUUGGCCCAAGCCCUUUGCAUAAGGAAGAGUCCAUUCGGGGAAGAGGCGAUCGUUGAUAAUACCGAAUUGAACUUGACUGAAACCCUUUGCAUAAAGAAAAGCCCAUUUCGGGGAGAGGUGCCUAAUGAUAAGGCUGGAAUGAACUUUGCCGAGGUCCUUUGCAAAAACCUUUGCAUGAGGGAAAGCCCAUUAGUAAAGAGAUAAUUGUUGAAAGGCUAAAUGAACUUGGCCAAGGCCCUUUACAUAAGAGGAGCUUAUAGACCUCUCUUUCUGAGGUCAUUUUACCUCCUUAUAAGGGGGUAGCUCUUCCAUGUAAGGGCUUCGAUCCAUAUAUGGGAAGGGUUAAUCCUCUAAGGUAACAAGUUGUGGCGCUCUGUAGGAUGCAUCAUAGUUGUCCUUGAUGAGGCUAUUUUACCACAUUACAAGGGGAUAGCUCUUUGUUGCAGAGGUUUCAUUUAUGAUGUUUGAUCCAUCCACAUAAGGGGUUAAUCCUCUAAGGUAACAAGUUGUGGCUCUCUAUAGGUUGCAUUACAUUUGUCCUUGAUGAGACUAUUUUACCUCCUUACAAAUGGAAAGCUCUUCAUUGCAAAGGCUUCCUCCAUGAUAUUGGAUCCAUUCCAUGGAAGGGAUUAAUCCUCUAAGGUAACAAGUUGUGGCUCUCUAUUGGAUGCACCGCACUUGUCCUUGAUGUGGAUAUUUUACCACCUUAUAAGGGGAUAACUCUUCUUUGGUUUCCUCCAUGAUAUUUGAUCCAUCCAUGAAAGAGGUUAAUCCUCUAAGGUAACAAGUUGUGGCACUCUAUGAGAUGCAUCACACUUGUCCUUGAUGAGGCCAUUUUACCUCCUUGGAAGGAGAUAGCUCUUCCUUACAAGGGCUUCUUCUUUGGUAUUUGAUCAAUUCAUGGAAGGGAUUUUAUAUAAUUGAAACACUGAUACUUAGUUAUGAUGAAGCCUUGCAUGGUCGAGGCAAUGAUACAUAGGUGAGAUGAGUUCUUGUAUAGCGAAGGUACUGAUGCAUAGGCGGGAUGAGGCUUUGGAUAACAUAGUCCAAUACUUCAAGGAUAAAGCCUAUUAAUUCAUAAAAUAUGACCUCCUUUUCAGAGAUCCUUGCUUCUUUAGGAAUUAUUCAUCAUAGCCUCUUUUUCAAAGGCCUCCAUUUUUUAGGAAUAGUAGAGGCACUCAUGCAUCAACGAGAAGAGACCUUCACACUUAGAAAAAUUGUAGUUUAAAGAUAUUUUUAUGCUCCAUGGAUGAAGCCUCGUAAUUCUUCAAAUAUGGCCCCUUAUUUAGGGAAUGUUCCUUUCAUAGCCUAUUCUUUAGAGACUUUCCUUUUGUGGUGGUUCUUUUAUUCACGGCAUCUUCAAAGGCCAACUCUUUUUGAGGGUCUUCAUUUUAUGAGGAUGCUUUGGCUCAUAGGUCAAACUGAAAAUUACCUUCAAGUUCUUCAAUAAUUUCAUAACUAGGUCCCUCAACCUUUUAUCUUCUACAUUUUGGUCCCAAUAUUUUGAUUUUUAUUGCGAUCAUGCCCUUGAUAAAUUGCAUCCAAAGUCCUUCAACUCUUAACACUUCUACACUUUAGUCCCACUUUUAGCCUUUUUCUCUUUUUUUGCAUUGUUCUCUUCAAUUUAGGAAUUUUACUCACAUGUGGGAGGCGCUUAUGCAUAGGCUAUGAAGAGGCAUUGCAUGGCGGAAACAUUAUUGAAUAGGCCAAUACGAGGCCUCUACAUUUGAAAAAAUUACAGUUGUAGAGUUGGAGUAUUGCUACAAGAUUGAAGCUUCUGAAAAUAGAUGAAGCAUUUGUAUAGAGUUGAAGUCCUAUGUUUCAGGGAUGAGGCCUCUUAAUUCUUCAAACUUGUUCUUUUCUUUAGGGUUUCUCCCGUAUAGCCUUUUUUUGUUUUUUUUAAAGCUUCCCACUUUUUAAAGGUUAUUCAAUUCAUGAUUCGUUUUUUCAAGGGCCUCCCCUUUUCAGGAGUUCUUCUCCCCUCUUCAGGAGUUCUUCUGCUUAUAGCUUUCUUUUUUGUAGGCCUCCUCCUUUAUAGGGGUCAUGCAUAUUCCAUUACAUUUGGAUAAGGAAUUAUUGCAUAGUAGUGACUUUUGUUCGGAGGACCUCUCUUGAUCUCCUUGGGUGUCUAGCUUAUAACUAGCACUUGUUGUAGGUAGAUGUCUCUUUUAUUCAAAUAGAGAAUCUUUUGAGUGGAUUUUGACCUCAAAAUACUAAUUUUUCAAGUAGUGUAAACACUCAAGAUGUUGAGUUGAACUUCGAAUCUUCUAUCUUGGGGGCUUUUACUCGCACUUUAUACAAGAGCAAAAUUUUUGUCAAAGGAAAAGCUUCAUCGUUGCUUGAGCUUAUGGUAAAGAGGCGUCUCUUUUCUUCAAAAGGGGUUCUUCUAAGUGGAUCUUAGACAAAAUACUCAUUUUUCAAGGAGCGUGAAUACCCAAGAUGUUAGGUUGAACUUCAAACUUCUAUCUAUGGGGCUUCUACAUGUUCUUUAUUAAAAAACAAAACCUUUUUUCAAAAGGGAAGCUUAGGCAUUUUUUGUAUGUUUUUUCCACGAGAUGUUCUUGCUUAUAGUUUGGUUUUCUAUGGACGGCGCCAAUCUGCUGACCCCAUAAAAUGUACCUCCAACGUGGCCAACAAAUCUCAAUACCUCUCACAUCUACGCAAGCCUUGUUUCAAUCAAGGGAAACCUCUGAAAUUAUUUCCAUAUUAAACCUUGGACAUUUAAGAGUUCCAAAUCAAGUACACGUGGCCUCGUCCGGUGGGUGGAGUUGGCUACGUGCACUCCAACGAUCAAGUCAGUUGGGGAAAAAAUAUGGGUAUGGGAGAGCUUUAGAUGUGAUCUUCCAAUAUAAAAAGGAAGUCGACUUUGUGGAGUAACAAAUGAAACAGUGAUAUGCUAAAGUUAUAAUGUGAGAGUCUAAACUUGCCUUUUCCCCUGGAAUGACACCAAGUGUGAGUUUUUAUAGUAGAAGAGGGUAAGUUAGAAUCGUUGGAUGAAGAGACUCGAGGCCUCAUCCUAGCAGCUGGGGCCUCAUGUCAUAGGCAUCAAUCAGUCAAACCUAUGCUCAAUUGCAUUUAAUGUGAUAACCAUUUGCAACCCAAGGCUUGACAUGUAAGACUAGACUUAAUUUGUUGAUUGAGUAAAGUCACCUAUUCAAUUAGUUGUCACAUCAUCCACUUGUUAAAAGAUCACGUCUGAGGGUCUUCCCUAAAAUACCUCUACCUACCUCGCCUUAUCUAUGAGGGCUCGGCUCUCCAUGGGGUUUGGCUAAUAAAGGUUUUGCCAAUUGUGGUUCGGGCAUAGGGGUUCAGCCAAAUUGCCACAUGUGCAGAAUGAUAUAAAGUGCGUGUCUAGGUUCUCUUGCUAUAGAGUUGCCACUUGGCAAUGCUUAGAGUCUCGUUGGGAAAGGCAUAACAAUCUUAAAUCUUGAAUUCCUUUAAUGGUUCCUGAUCAAUCUCUUGAUAGUUUUUCCUCAACUCCUAGCAAAGAUAUAUGAAAAGAUGGAAAAUCGGUGUUUGUGUAAAAGCUUCUUCAAAGUUUAAAUGAAUUUCUCAAUUUGUAUCCAAUGGCCCCUUAUUCUCUACUAAAUAUGUGUUCUUCUAUGUACAGGAGCUUCAUAGCUUUCCUUAGUUUCACUCAUUUGUUCAUUCCAAGUCCUUUUUUAAUACAAGUUCUAAAAUUUGCAAUUAAGUCCCUAAAUAUUUCAUAUAUUAAAUUUAGCUCUUGAAACUUAUGAAUCUCAUAUGAUUGCCUCAUUAAUUUUUCCAAUUGAUUAUAUGAAAAUUAGUUGGUUUUUCAUUAUUUCGAAUCAACUCUAAUUAAGGUCCAGAUUUCAUUUUUUCACUCCAAGUAAAUUCAAGCCGAUGAUCUACCUAUAAUUAACAUAUUUAACCUAAAUGAAGCAGAUAUCCUUUCAAUUAGCAAUAAAUAAUCAAGAAUAAAAAUCCGAAUAAUUAAGUGUAUAAAAUACACUUAUCAAUGGGCAAGAAAUCUUCACUAUUACUUAGAAAAUUGUACUUAUUUAUAUUUUCAAUUUUAUAAUCCAUUUCUAAAUUGAGCAUGGAAAAAAAUACUGAAAACUUUUCUAGCUUGUCGUCUAACAUUUCAUUGUAAGGUUUGUGGCAAUCCGAAAAGGUCAUCAAUACUAAUAUAUGUGGAUUCUAUUGUUAGUGCUUGUGUGGUUUAGAUUUUAAGUCAAUUAAAAUCAAAUUUUUGACCAUUAUUUCACUAUUCCAGCAAUCAUUUUUGAAUUGUUCUCUCAUAAGUAAGACCCACUUUAUCUCUAACGGUCAAAAAAUCAAUUAUCAAAAUUCCUGUCAAACAUGCUCUUAAUUAAUUGCUCUCAUGGAAAGCCAAAAGAUCUUCAAUAUUGUAUCAUAUUUAAUUUGAAAGUAAUGUUAUGAAUUGCACGUUUUCAUGUGGCAAUAACUCAUAAUAUUAUGAUCAAUCAAUUCUUAAUAAAAAGAAAAAGAAAAAAAAACAUGUUUUCACAAAUAGAAAUUUCCAUAAGUGUCAAAAAGUAUUGGAACUCAAUUAGAUGAACUUUGAAGCAAAUUGUAAGAUUUCAUAAAUUUUGGAGACCAAAAUGAACACUUCGUAAAGUCUAGGGCGUAAAAUGGAAGAAUUUAGAAGGGGUUAAAAGAUGAGGAUUGAAAGGUAAACAAACUAGAAACUUAGGGAACCAAAGUGUUUAAGAACUAAAAUUUGGUGAGGGGGAAACCUAUAGCAUUGGGUGACCCCUCUUGGAAGAAGCUUGUGGGCUAAGUGAGCGUCUUCAUUGCGGUCCGGUUGCCCUAAUGUAUUGGGCUUCCGUUAGAGUGCUCGAUUGGAUGUGAAAGUUGAUUUCUAAAAUUCCCCUUCUAACCCCCAUUAUUUCAAUUUAUAAUUUUUAGAAUAGAAUUUUUUAAGUGUGAAUUGAAAAAAAGAAGGAAAAGUUUUUAAUUUACGCAUAUAUUAUUUUAUAGAAGAUUAUGUGGUUAAAAAUAAGAGAAAAUUAUAAUUUGAAAUAAUGAAGGCCAAACGGGGGUUUAAAUUAAAUAGCAAUUUGGGUAUUUCCAUGACACCAAUUUCAAGACCUUUUUGGAAAAUAUAAAUAAACUUAAUUUAGGUCAUAUAAAGGAAGAAUUCCAUAUCUCAUAAUCGAAAAUCAUAAAGGGAGAAUUACAAACCAAGAUUGUCUAAGUUUAGGGGGAAUUACAUACCAAUAUUAUCCAAGUUAUGUAUUCCAAUAAAUUUUUGUGAUUAAAACAGGAAAGACUAGACACUUCGUAGCUAGGAUUCACUAUAAAAAUUUUGUAGGCUCUUUGAUAAAUUAAAUAAACCUUUUUUGUCUGAUUCUUUUUGUUUUUUUAGGUGAUUGUUUAUUAUUAUUUUAUUUUGUUUUGAUGUGUGAUCACCAUUUGAAAGUGUUUGUGAUAUAUAUUAUUUUUGAGAUGUUCGUUAUAAAUUAGCAAAUGGUAAUGAAUUUAUAGUCUUAUAAUAGAUAGAAUCAUGAUGUGAUGAUUGUUGUGAUUAAAUGUGUACUUACAUGUUGCAAUUGUUGUAAGUAUAGUAGUAUUUAUGAAUGAUUUUUUUUUAUUCCUAUAGCUCUAGUCAUUAAGACUGUUGUAUUCCUUGUAAUCUUAAUUAUUACCUAUAUUAUGAGACUUUGAUUCUUGAUAAAACGUACAAGUCUAUUAACUCUCUAUUCUAUUCUCUUUUCUCUCUAUUUUUUAAUACGUUAUCGCACAACCUUCUUAAAAUCAAAGUGAAUUAGUUAUAAGGUAAUAAGUUUUAUGAGCAUAACCAUCUAUCAUAUCUAUCAAAAUUUAUUUGGUAAUGCCCCCUGAGGCACAUCCCAACUGGCAAAGGACGGAGUUCUUUAAGGCAGGCAGUUCAGAGGUCGCGGGUUCGAUUCAUGGGGCUCUUGGAAGGCAAGUCUUUCUCCUAGAAGGCAGGAUAUUUCCUGGAAGGCAGGAGUUCCUUAGAAAGCAAGGCGCAUACAUGGGUUUGACUCGCUCGGCACUUUGGCAGGUUAGUUGGGGGGCUCUUGGACCCUAGCCAAUUUGGGGCACAACCUGCGGUUUACCUAGUUUGCGUGAAGAGGGGCUGGAUCGUAGACCUCAGGAUUAAUCAUUGUAAGGUGGACACCUGGGUAUUAAAAAAAAAAAAAAAUUAAUUUGGUGACACAUGAAUUUUACAUCUACAUCUAUUAGAAUCAUAUUAUUUACCACAAUGAUUAAGUGGCUAUGCCUCAAUUUAUUUCUUGUAUGCCCAGACUCUACUGCCAAUCAUUACACCCAAAAAAGUUUUUGCCUAAAUAAUUGUAAUUGUGUGUAAUGGUUUACUCCUAAUUAUAUUGUUUUGAUAAUGUGUUUUAGUCAAAGUUAGCAUAAAGAGAAAAUGAUUACUUUCCACUAUAAUGAUUAUUUUUUUAAUGCCAUAUUUGUGUAUGAAGUCAUCUGUUCUAUGCUUUUGCAUGUAUUUUUGUAUCAAUUCCUGUCUUUCAAGAUUUAUUCCUGUCUUCUCUCAAUUUAUAUGUAAGACAGGAAUUAAUAUCCCAUGUCUUUCAAUAAUUAAAAAAAUUGUCUAUAUUGAUUUCAUAUUUCUCCAAAAUUUGAACCAUUACUCUUUAGAGUUUCUAUGUAUUUCAUUCUUCUUGUCCCUUCAGCAUGACAUUUAAUAAAAAGAAAAUGGGUGUAAUUAUGUGUAAUGGUUUAUAAUCUUGCAUGUGUAACUAUGUCUACUGAAGCAGUAUUUAUCGUUCAAUUAAUUUUUACAUUUUAUUCUUUUAAUAUGCAAUAUAAUUUAUGAAUUUAGUACUCUUAUAUUUGUCUACUAAAAAAUCACUGUUGCUCCUGAAAUAGCGCAACAUUGUAAUUAAUACUCUAGCAUAGACCUGAGCAAACAAAUCAAAAAAUUGACCAAAUCAAUUAAAUGGAACCGACUCGGGUUGUUUUGACACAUGUAAUUGAUUUGGUUUGGUUUUUUUUUAAACAAAACAUGGUUGGUCGGUUCAGCCAUGGUUUGAUCUUGAGUUGUAGAGAAAGAAGUAGUAGAGAGAGAAAUUAUAAUAUAACUUUUUUUUUAAAUAAUUAUAUAUUAUAUAAUUCAAUUAUAACUUGAUUUGAGAAAUAAUAAACUUAAAGCUUGAUUAAUUAAAUUGAAAAUUAAAAAACAGGUGUGAAUGUAAUUUCUUCAUUCUAAAUUUCUAAUAUUGUGGCAAAUUAUCAAAUAUAAUUGCUGCAUUAAUUGGGUCUUUACUUUUCUUUUCUUUUUGUUUUUUUUAAUGAGAAAUACUAAAAUCGAGAUGAAUGGAGGUACCGACGUUUGAACUCUUGACUUGAUAAAUGAAACUCUUUAAAUUUUAAUGCAUUUUGUACUCAAAUAAAUACUUCAAUCACAAUUCAUUAAAAAAUAAUUGAAAAAAAAUGGGUUAAAAGCUCUCACUCUUAAAUUGAUGGUCGACGGUUCCAUAUCACUAUUACCACUACUACUACCAAAAGGCUCUAGUGAAGAUGAAUAUUUUAUAUUUCUCAUCUCAUGGAGUUUGUGGACAGCAACUGUCCAACUGAAUUAUUUGUACAAUGAAAGAUAAAGUCUAAAGACAAAUGUGUCGUACGAGUGUGCACAACCAUUUAAAUUCAUUCCAAAAUCAUUUCUUCUUGUAGAGAGGAGGUUCCAUUCAAAAUUCGCUGUAACUUGUGGUUUGAAGUGCUUUUACCACAAGCUGAAUCCGUUGUAUCUUGGGAGACAAGUGCCAUAAACUUGACCUCCGUUGUAAGGCAAUUUUAUCUUAAGGAAAGAGUGAAAAUAUCAAAACAUAAGGUUCAACAUUAUCCUAACAUCUAUACAAUUAGUCAACCAUCAUAUGAUUACAAAAAUACAAAUUAAAUGGAUAUAACAUCGCCCGAAAUUGAAGUUCGGAAAAAAAGGUCAAGAAAUAUUGAAAGUAUUUAGUCUCUUCAAUGGCUUCUUGAUCAAUCUCCUUUAAUUAUUAUUAUUGUUUUCAAUCCAGGAAAGAUGUUCAAAAGUAUUUAAGGAUGAAUUUUGCAACAAAUCUUCUUUAAAGCAUAAAAAAAAAUAUAAUAAGAAUUUGUAGAUCAAAAGCUCUUUUUUAGCUAUCCUCUUCGCUAUCUUGAAUUGGAAUUUGGAUAUUCCCGCAGUUUUCCUCAGGAAAAUAAUUAGUAAUGAUUAUAUAUUGAUGUUUACUUAAUUAGUAUAAAAAUUACCAUUAUCUAUUGUUGGAAAAUGUAAUAAGUUUGUUUCAAUGUGGAUAACAAAAAUCUAAGUUUAACAACGCAUAAAUGAAGUUAAACAAAGUAACAAAAAGAGAGAAGGAGAAAAAAGUGAUGAAAUAAUCCGAGGCAAGUGAAAAUACUCUUUUCUUAAGACAAAUUUUCCUCGCAGCGGUGCUAACAGAGUUACGAUAAUUGUCUCUCAAGAUACAAUAGAUUGCUUCCUUAUAGUAUAAGCACUUCAAACUAUAAGGCAACAACAAACUCAAACGGAUUAUUCUCUCUACAAGAAAAUAUUUUUGGAAUGAUUUUUUGAGAGGUUUUGCAAGAGUUUUGAUAUAAUGCUCAAUGCAAAUGAUAUGUGAUGUAUAAUAGACGUCCAAAAGGUCCUGUUUAUAGAAAAUGAGAGCUUAUGAGUGAAGUGACACUCCCCAAACUCCGCAACCUUACAAAGGGAAGAUCACUUAUUACCGCUAGCUUGUUGCUGGCCUUUCGCUCAAGCACUAGGCUCAUUUUUUCAACAAAACCUGUUACUCAAAUCGUAGUCUCAUCGCUCGAGCACUAAGCGAGCAAUGAAGUUAAGUAAUUUUACCGGCCAGUUUUUUCUCUUUUCUUUCUAACUUUGAAUUGCAAUUUUUCAUUCAUUUAGAAUUAGUUUUGAGAUUCCAAAUAUAGUACGAAGAUAUGCUCGAUGAGUAGAAUAAGUUAAUAUAUUUAUAUUUAUAAUUUGACUAUCGAAUCAAGUCUAAAUAUUUGGCCGAAAUUGAUACAAAUUUACUUUUCAUAUUUAUAGCUAAACAAAUUUUUCAAUAUUUAAGCCAAAUUCCAACAAUCCCCCACCAAUGAAUGAAAAUUCAAAUAUGUUUAUGUUAUGCAAAUGUAUGAUGCAUUGAAGAAAAAAAAGAGCAGAAAAACACUGAAUCAGUUAAGGUAACUUCCAAUUUUGAACUUUCCUUAGUGAAAUACUAUCAGAUUUACUUGGCUAAUUGGUGAACAUAAUGUCUUGAACCAUUCAGCCAUUGGUGUAAAUCAAGACAAUAAUACUUACAUAGAUGUCUUUCCUAAAUCGUCCAUAGUUCUCAUGACUUGGUUCAUUUUGCCCUUGAACCACUCUUGGUUUUCAUAAGUGUUUCAGAAAAUUUCAGCCUAAAAAAUUUUCGAUCAAGCAACCCCACUUUACACUUAUAUGAGUGACCUCCUAUUCAGAGUAUUCUGCCCUACUCCACUUGACUUAAUCAAGAUAUAAGAAUCAUUAAAAGUAUAUCUUAACUUUUAACAUUCUACAGAAUGCACUUUAAUUAUCAUGGAAAUGAGUUGGAAAGUAUUUCCCUGAGUGCUUCGUUGAAUUUUCAUAACUUAGUUGUUCUCUUGAACCAAAAACCUGGGAUUUCCAAUCAACAAGGUAGGGUUACCAUUACAAAAAUUAUUAUGUAGUAGGCUUUAAUCAUAUUCCUUUCUAUAGGAAACGUACUUGAUCUUUAUGUAAACCUUUCGUGAGUGGAUCCGCGAUGUUCUUCUUUGCCUUCACAUAAUCUAUGGAGAUGAUACCAUUAGAGAUCAGUUGCUUAAUGGUGCUGUGUUUACGAAGUAUAUAUCUAGAUAUACCAUUAUACAUGCUACUUUGAAUCCCUUCCAAUAGCGGAUUGACUAUUAAAAUGUAUAAUUACUGCAGGUACCAAGUUAGGCCAACAUGGAAUAUCUUUUAAGAAGUUAUAAAGCCAUUAUGCUGUUUCACCAGCUUUGUUCAAAGUAAUAAACUCUAAUUCCAUCAUUGAUCAAGUUAUACAUGUUGCUUAGUCAACUUCCAUUAUACAGCAACUUCACCAAUGGUAAAUACAUAACCAGUAGUAGACUUAGAAUCCUUCAUGUCGGAUAUCCAAUUUGCAUUACAAUAUCCUUCCAAUAUUGCGGGAUAUUUGAUGAAGUGUAAUCCAUAGGUUAAGGUAAACCUCAAGUACCUAAGAACCCUUGUUAAAGCCUUCUAAUGAUCAUGGCUUGGAUUAUUUGUAAAUCUACUUAUUCACAGCAAAUGUUAUGUCCGGUCGAGUACAAUUUGUAAUAUACAUUAGACUAUCUACUGCCUGUGAAUACUUUAGUUAUAACACACAUUCACCCGUAUUUUUGACUAAGUAUAAAGUUGUGUCAAUAGAGGUUUUGCAUGACUUUCCUCAAGUGCAUUAUAUCUUUUAAGUAUAUUUAUUCACAGCAAAUGCUAUGUCCGAUCGAGUACAGUUUUGUAAUAUACAUUAGACUACCAAUAGCCUGUGAAUACUUUAGUUAUGACACACAUUCACCCGUAUUUUGACUAAGUAUAAACCUGUGUCAAUAGAGGUUUUUGCAAGACUUUCCGCAAGUGCAUUAUAUCUUUUAAGUAUACUCUCAAUAUAGUGAGAUUGAGUAAGUAUAAUUUCUUCCAAUGUUCUAGUGAUCUUAAUCCCUAAUAUCACAUCAGUCAUACCUAAGUCUUUUAUAUCAAAAUGUUUCGUUAACAUUCUCUUGGUGUUUAGCAUUAUUUUUUACUAUUGCCCAUUAUAUUAACAUGUCGUCUACAUAUGGACAUACAAUUAUAUAGGCUUUUGGUGUAUGUUUUAUGUAUACACACUUAUCACACUCGUUUAUCUUAAAUACAUUGGACAACAUCAUUUAGUCAAACUUUUGGUGUCAUUGUUUAGGAGUUUGUUUUAAUCCAUACAAGGACCUAAUGAAUUUACAAAUAUUUUACUUAUGCCUAGGAGAGACGAACCCUUUAGGUUGUUCCGUUUAUAUCUGCACUUCUAACUUAUCAUUUAGAAAUGUCGUUUUUACAUCCUUUGAUGAAUCUCAAGUGAUAUUAGAUAUGACUAGUUAUUUAUGAACUAAAGAUAUAUUUCUUUCUCUCUAAUUCGAGUAACUUUAUUUCAUGUUCAUUAUGUUUCAACUAUUUUUCAAAUUAACCCAUUUUUACACCAACCUAGCUAAACAACUUAAUGAUGGAAUGAAAAGGGACAAUUUGACCUAUUUAGCUUUUCCCUUGUUCCCUGUAAAUCCUUAUUUGACUUGCUUGCUUUACCGAUAAGAUAGCAGAUCUCAAAGAGAAUCGGUCUAAGGACAACUUAAAACCAACCCAACCUCUUAAUGGUCAUAUUCCUUUUUCCGACAUGGGAAGCCUAAACUACAUAAAUAGGGUGUUCAAAAGAAAACACCAACAUAUAGGGACUUCUUGGUCUCCAAGAAAGUUCGAAGCUUUCUAUUUGUCUUUUCUUUUGUAGUAGCAAGAAAAAAAUAGGGAUUUUGCACUUAUAAUAAGAUAAAUAAAUUACACGGACUCCUCUACAGGAUUGGAAAAAGAAGGUUUCACCCAAAUGACUUAGAGUUCCUCUGACGAAAAUUCCUGGGCUAGGAAAAGUGCUCAAUCCCAUCGCUUCGUUGCUUAGGGAAUCUUCGUUUAAUAUCUAAAAAGAAAAAGGUAAAAGUGGCUUUCUGGUGACUAGCUUUUCAAGUGGGUGGCUGGAUCACCCCGACGGGGUCGCUCUGAACUCUUUGAGCUGGUUUGAAUUACAUGCCCCCUCCACCUUUUGGGAGCGACAUCUAUACGUGUAGUGUGGUGCUUGGGCCUACCCAUCCUAUUUGUUCCAUGAUUUAUGGGUCUACUGGAGCUUAAAAUAAAGGAUUCUUUUGAACCACACGAAAUAGUUCAUUCUAAAUUAAGGGAGUACAUUUUUCCUAUAUAUCCUCUACUAUGUAGGAUAUAUGAAAGAAAAUAAAUACACACACCACACGUCCUGUAGACCAAAGAAUAAACUAAGAAAACAAGAAUAAAUACCUUCCCUCAUGGAAGUCAUCCGUUGUUACUUUCCAAGGGUAUGGUAGAGGCGCUUGAGAAUGUGGGCUUGUGUGGAGGUCUUACAGAGCCACACGCUUGGACACUACUUCUUCAUUUCUUUACUGUCGCAAUAAUAUUAACAAUGUCAUCGAAGUGAUUCUAGUUACGGGUGAUUAAGUAUCAAAGAAGUCAAGUCCUUCCUUUUGUCUAUAUCUCUUGGCAACCAAUCUAGCUUUAUAUUUAUCAAUAGAUUCGCCAGGUUUUAGUUUCUUUUUGAAAAUCCACUUGUGCCACAAAGGCUUAAUUCCAAGAGGCAAAUAAACUAAAUCCCAAGUAUGGUUUUACAUUAUAGAAUCUAUUUCAUUAUUGAUAGCUUAUUUCCAAUGCAGUGCUUCCGAUAUAGACAUUGCUUCAUUGAAAGUCUUUAGGUUGUUCUCUACCAUAUAGGUUAGAAACUUUGGGCCAAACAACAUAGAUAUUCUAGCCCUUUUUCUACCCCUCGGUUCUUCUUCAUUUGAAGUGUCAUUUGUAGUAUCAUACAUUCUUUUAUUCUAGCUCAUAUUUUCCUUAUCUUUACAUGAAAACAUUUUCAAAGAAUGAUGAAUUUAUUGAUUCAAGUAUUGUUCAUUUAUGAAUAUGCACUACUAUUAUUGGUGUAUCUAAUAAAUAUACAAGUAAUCAUUUUGAGAUUUAUUUUCACUUGUUUCAGCUUAGGUACUUUAACUUUAACCAAAUGCCCUCACACUUUCAAGUGUUUGUAAGAUGGAGGAUGAUAUUUCCAUAGUUCAUAUGACGUUUCUUUCAUUUUUUUUAAGGUGUAUUUGUUAAAAAUGCUAUUUGCAAUUAGAAUAGCUUCCCUCCACAAGUUUUAGGAUAGGCCCAAACUUAACAACAUUGCAUUCAUCAUCUCUUUAAGAGUUCGGUUUUUGUGUUCAACAGCCCCAUUCAAUUGUGGUAAUUAAGGUACCGUUGUUUGAUGAAUAAUUCCAUGUUCGGAACAAUAUUCUUCAAACGGUGCCCCAUAUUCACCCUUAUAUCACCACGAAUUUUCUUUAUUCCUUUACCAAGUUGAUUCUCAACUUCUAUCUUAUAAUGCUUAAAGGCAUCUAAAACUUCAUCUUUAUUCCUUAGUAGAAAGACAUAACAAUACUUCGUACAAUCAUCAAUAAAAGUAACAAAGUAUUUCUUACCACCUUUAGUUUCAACAAAUUUAAGUCAAAAGAUGUUGUGGUCCUUCGAACUGAGUGAAAAGGUGUUUUAGCCAACUUUGUUUCAGUACAUACUUUACACUUAUGAUUAGGACCAGUCUUAAGCGUCGGAAUUAAACUUUGAUUCAUAAGUUUUCGCAUAGAUUUAUAAUUGAAGUGUCUUAAUUGUCUAUGUCAUAAACAAGACAACUAAAGCAUAUAAGUAGAAUUCAAAGUUUUAUUAAUGAUGCUUUGUUUCGGUACAAUUACAAGAACUUUUUUUUAACAUUACAUCACAUAGAUGUCAUUUACCAACAUCUCAUUCUUAGUGAGUACAAAUUUAUCGGAUACAAAUACAAGUUUGACGCUAUUUUUGCUAAAUAGAGACCUGGAUACAAGAUUGUUAUGAAUGUCUGGUACAUGACAUUUUUGAGGAUGAGCUCUUUAUCGGAUACAAGAUUGUUAUGAAUGUCUAGUACAUAACUUUCCCUUGUCCUUUAACUUUAGAACUUGCAGAGUUUUUCAUGAAGAGUUGUUUCUCCAUUUAAUUCUUUGUAGUUUGAGAACAUGGUCUUAUCUGUACAAAUGUGAUGAGUAGCACCAGUAUCACACCACCAUUUCCUCGAAUUUCCAACGUUGUUACAUUCAGAAACAACCACAGAAAUAUUCAUCUCUUGUAUCCCUUCAGAAAGAGUCUCUUUCAACCGCAUUUGAUUGUGCGUUCUUCGUAGGCUUUUGACAUUCAUCUGAAUGAUGUCUAACUUUUCCAUAAUUGUAAUAGUUGUCUUUGAACUUAUUGACAUUCUUAGCGUUGUUUCUUCUUAGUGCAUCACUGGAGAUCUUACACUCAUUUUUUACAACCAUCGAACCAAUUUCAACAAAAUUUGCUCCAAGUUGAGCAAUAGGCUUUCUUUCGAUUUUCUAUUAUCUUCUUCAAUCCUCAAACUGACUAUCAAUUCCUCCAAGUUCAUUUCUUGAAAUCUCUUAACAAAGAAAGGAGUUUCCCAAUAGUGGCUGCAAUUUGGAAAUAUUCACUCAAUUCCAUCUUUUUUGCAUGUAUGCCAUGAAGUAGAGCUUGAAGUUCUUGUACUUGACACUUAUCACGGUCUUAGAGUCUACCAUUUUAUAGUCCAAAAACUUGUUGACAGUGAUCUUUUUUGUUCCGACAUCAUCGAUUUUGUACUUCUUCUCCUAUAAAUCCCAUAGAUACUUAGCCGAGUCCUUCAAACUAUAAACUUCAUAAAUUGUAUUCUCUAAUCAAUUUAGGAUAUAAUAUUUGCAAAGGAAAUCCGAGUGCUUCCAUGCAUCUAAUGCAAUAAUCGACUCAUGAUUAUUGUCUCCUUCUUGUAUAGUAGGAGAUGUUUCUUUUAAGAACUUUGCUAAAUUCAAAGUUGUAAGAUAGAAUGACAUCUUUUGUUACCAUCUUUUUCAUUCCUACAAAUUUCUUCGAUUUUUCCCAUGUGGGAUUGGAGUAAUUUGAAGUGGUAUAGUCAAGGGUGGAACCACAUUGUUUGUUCCAUUGUUGCUUGACUUGAAGUAGUCUCAACAAUAUUCUUUUCUGUUAUACAAAUAGAAGUUCAACAAACAAAAUGAAAUAAAGGAAUAGUAUACGAGGGUUUAUUUCAAAGAUGAAGAAAAGGUUUUUAACAAACAACCACAGAAAAUUUGUCUUAAUUUUUUUUGGGAAAUGCAGUAAAGUUUGUUUUAAAUGUGGAUAACAAAAAGCUAAGUUUAACAAUGCAGAAACAAAGUAACAAAAAGAAAGAAGAAGAAAGUGAUGAAAUGAUCCAAGGUAAGAGAAAACACUCUUUCCUCAAGACAAAUUUGCCCUGCAACAAUGUUAACGGAGUAAUGACAAUUGUCUCCCAAGAUACAACGGGUUACUUCUUUAUAGUAGAGGCACUUCAAACUGUAAGGCAACAACAAACUCGAAUGGAUUAUUCUCUUUACAAGAAAAUGUUUUUGGAAUGAUUUUUGGAGAGGUUUUGCAAGAGUUUUGAUAUAAUACUCAAUGCAAAUGAAUGGAAUACAUAAUGGAUAUCCAAAGGGUCCCAUUUAUAGAAGAUGAGAAGUUGUGAGUGAAACAACACAUCCCAGAUUUCGCAACCUUACAAAGAGAAGCAUCGUUUGUUGUCACUAGCCUAUCACUGGCCUCUCACUUGAGCGUCAGUGUCAUUUUUCAACAGAAAUUUUUUGCUCACCUAUCGCUCGAGCAACAGUCUCAUCGCUCGAGUGCUAGGUGAGGGAUGAAGUUAGGCAAUUUUCCCUGCCAAUUUUUCCUCUUUUCUUUCCAACUUUGGAAGACAAUUUUUCAUUCAUCCAAAAUUGGUUUUAAGAUUUCAAAUAUACUACGACAAUCUAUUCGACGAGUAGAAUAAGUUAGUCUAUUUAUAAUUACAAUUUUCCUAUUGACUCAAAUUCGAAUAUUUGACCGAAGUUGACACAAAGUCGCUUUCCAAAUUCCAAUAUUUAUUCCAUUGCAACUGACAUAACCACACAUCUUAUAUUGCUAUAUUUUAGUGCAAGAACAUUAUCUUAAUGGACUGCUUGUAAUUAAUUAAAUAGUGGUUAAUCUUAUCUACAUUAGCUUUUACUGAUCGCAAAUGAUGAGGGGUAUGUUUUUGUUGUUACAUAGUUCGGAUAUAGUUUUUGUACUUAAAAUUGUUUCAAUAUUCCCCCUUAAUUAUAAGUCGUUUCAAAGACGAGUUUUACUCGUUGUAAUUAUAAUAAUUGAUAUUAGAAUAAAUGCAAAACUCAUCUUCAAAACAAACUUAUUGAGAUUAAUUAUAGGGUAAAGCUAUUUUAAUAGAAAAAUGUUGACAAAUACUUUGACAUAAUUAGGGUUGGGAAGGUAUGAUUAGAUGUAAAAAUUGACUUUGUUUUACACAGUUCAAUAAUAUGAUGACAUGUGGGAUUAUGUCAAGGAUUAUAUCAAUCAUUAUAUUACUGCAACAUGAUUCUUAAUUAUAAGCAAGUCAAACUUCAGCUUAACAAUGUGAACUAGUCGUUAUGCGAAGGUUGACUUGUUUUAAUCCCUUCCAAACAGAGACUUAAUAUUGUAUCUUGUUUUCCAAUAUUUAAUUUGUUGAAAAAAAAAUGCCUUGAUUAACAAUUAAAUGAAUGCAUCUAAUAAGAAAAAAUAUAGAAAAACACGAAUUUGCUUAUAUUCGAUAAACUUUCCCUCAUCACAGAAGAGGAAUGAUCAAUUUAAUCAAAAUAUUAACUUUUUCGACCCCUCUCGUGACUCAACUGUACAAAAUUAUAAAAUUGAAUGCAUAAACAUGCACUUAUCUAUUACAAUUGAGCUUUACUAAUAUUGAACUAAUGGAUUUGCAUUGAUUUGAUCACAAGAGAUCCAUUCUACUUUCUCUUACAAUUGACCUGAAAAACAUCGAGAAAAUUGUACGAAAACUUCGAAGAAUCUUGUAAUCAAGAAAGAAAGAUGGAACCAUAUAGCCGUUAAUUAUAAAAACAAUUACUAGUGACUUUGAGCUUUCGGGGAAAAUUAUGGAGUAAUUUAGCCUCCGUUUGGCCCCCAUUUUCUUGAAAUGAAAAUGGGUGGAAUAGUAUUUUUCUGAAAAAUGAAUAGUUGAAAAAGAAGGAAAAAAUUUCGAUUUAUGUGUAAUAUUAUUUUAUGGAAGAUUAUGUGGUUGAAAAUAGGAAAGACAAAAAUGGAAUAUAAUGUAAUGGAAUUUAAUGGGGGCAAACGGGGGCUUAAUAUUUUGUUAUUAUAUUAAGAUUUUUAACAAGUUAUUACGAUCAUCGACAAGUAAUCAUGAAUUCGUUUGGUCAAUGUUAAACAAAUUUAUCAAAAUUAAAUAUUGAAUGAUUAAAUUAUUAUACAAUCAUGAAUUAUAUUUAUUUCCAAUAUACAUUUUUACAAGACAAGCAUGUUCUAUUAUUUUUUUAUUUUUUAUUUUUUAAUAACGUUUCAUGUGUCAUGUCAUGUUGUGUAUUACCAUUUGUUUACAACCAAUUUCAUUCUGGUUAAUUGUAGGGAGUAAUGUUUUAGUAUAGGUGAUUAAAACCAAACUGGUUAAUGUAAAAAUAAUUAAUGUUAAAUAGCAUUAUUCAUAUAAAAGACAUCAUUUUCUCUAUUAAAUUAUGUCUUUUCUCUAUUAAAUUAAUAUGCUUAGCUCAAACGAACAUGCAAAUGUUAUAUUUAGGAUCAUGAAUUUAUUGAAUAAAAUAAGAUACAAAUGUAAUGGCUUUUAUGACAUUUAAAAAUUGAAGAGAUUGGAUUUCAUCAUUUGAAAAGCAUUUGGUGAACGUUCAUUGACGACAGCCUAAACCUCUUUAUGUCAUUUGAUCAUUAUAACUUGAGUAAAUCAAACCACGAAAUUAAGAGUGGAUUUCCAGUUGCUCCCAACAAUCGCUUCCUCAACAUGAAGUUUUUGUCAUUCUACUUGACCCUAGCUCUGAUUCCUCUUGUUGGGAUUGAGUUUCAAUUAUCUCUUUUGAAGAUCAAUUGGUGCCUAAAGGGGGAAUGCUAAAAUUUUUAUGACAUUCGAUCACAGUCAUUCGAGUGAUCCAACCCAUGAGUUUAAAAGCAUCGUUAUUUCUCCCCAACACAAAUGUUGGAAUGCAAUAUUAGAAUGCAUUGGUUUAAUAAUCUUAUCUGAUGUUAUCAUGAGAGGAAACAGAUCAGAAAGUCAAGAUAUACAUUAUUCUUUGGAUUUUCCUGACAAUUUUGAUGAGAUAAUUUUCUUUUCGUAUUUAUGAGAAUGACAUGAUAUUAUUUUCCUUUAACUAUUAUUUUCUCAUAGGGUUUUCCUAGUAAAGUAUAAAGGAGACAUUAUUUGAGAAUAGACAUCCAAGAGGACUUGUACUUUAAUCACUUCCAUAAUUGAUAUCAAUUUAGAUAGAAGAUUGAAGAAAAUAAAAAUACGGAAUAAUUGAUAUAAGAGCUCACCAUCCAAGCAUCAAACGGAUACAAUAUUUAUCAUGACCCAGAGAAAUAUACCAAGGGAUAUAUAACUAGAUAAAACCACUACUCAAUGGAAUACACCACAAAAUAGAGUUUCCAAGAGAAUGAUUGCACCUCUCAAAUGAUAUAUAGACUUUCAAACUCUCAAUAUGUUGUAUUUACAACACAAAAGCUCCUUACAAGUAAUUGGUCAAUGGUAGUUAAUGUUUACAUAUGUAUAUGUUUAUUGAGUGUACAUAAAUACUAACAAUUUAAUUAGAUUCAUCAUUCUUGUUCAAAGACAUAUUAAAGAUAAUUAAUGUGGGCUAUCAAGCUUAUUCGAUUUCAUUUUCACAUACUCAUAUAUUAGUAAUAUUGAUGAAAUACAUUAUCGUCGAUGUCUAUUCCACUUAAAAUAGAUUUGGAGAUAAUCUUGGGGAAAGAAGAACAUCAAAAGGAGUAGUUUUCAUAUUAGUUAGUCCAUAACUCGCACUCAUAUCAACUUUUUCAUCAAAAGGAGUUGAAAGUUCAAAUGUAUGAAGAAAAUUAGCCAAGACUAAAUGCAACAUCUGAAGGCCAAAAGUUGUGCCAACGCAAAUUCUUCUACCAGCUCCAAAUGGGAUCGAUUCGAAAUUAUGAGUCGAACCAUAUUCGAGGGUCUCUACGUAAUUUCCACAUGUUUACGAUUAACUUCAUACCUGUAAAAGUAAGAUCUCACGUUGUUAAUAUAAAUUUAAUACCUAAUGCAUAACAACUUAGCUAGAAGCUAGAAUAUUUCUCUUGAAAAGUUGAUCGUUAAGACGGAUACCUAUAAUAAAUAUCAAAUUAACAAGAAUUUCAACAUAUCUAAAGUUCAACAGAAGUAAUUAGAUUUCAAAGUUUGUAUUUUCAAACAAGUUAACAUGUUGUGUGAUCAUGUUAAAGGUAAAAAUAUAAAAAUAAUGAUCUUCAUUUCUUGUAAUAAGAUUGAUCUUUUAAAGUAGAAAAAAAGCCCAUUACAUGUACCUUUCGCAAUGUGGUAACCUGCUACUUUGCAGUCAUCCGAGAAUUCUAUUGUGGAACCCAAUAAAGGUGCAGGGUAUAAUCGUCAGGCCUCUUCAACAAUGGAUUGAAUAUAAACCAGUUUGUUAGUAUCUCAUUCUUUUACUACCUUUCCUUUACAACAUGAAUGUCCAAUUCUUCUUGAGCCUUUUUCAAUACAUGGCAGUUGUUUAGUAACGGGGCUAUUGUCCAUACUAGCAUAACAAUGGUUGUCACCUCCACCGCCGAUUAAACUCUAAUGAUGAUAAGAUAAGAGCUACUAUUAAAAUAACCUUUUAACUUAAUGUAAGAGAAGAAUAACUAAUUUUCGCACAAGUUGGUUUAGCUAAAAAAUGUUAAUAAAAAUCAAAGUUAAAGUUAUCAAUUAAUUCUAACCACAAUUUAUGGAAUCCUCAACUAUUAUUAAAAUUUACUAAAAAUCUAUUUUUUUUCAAAAAAACCAAGCAAGGCUUAGUAUGUUCAGAUGAAAAGUAACUUUUACCUAAUUUCUAGAUUGACGACCAAAUAUGUUCUUAAUUAUUAAGCCUCGUAAUUCUUUCUUAUGAUUACCCAACCAUGCUAGAAGUACAACUUUUUGUACAAUUUGGUAGACAAGGGGGUCAUGUACAAAAAGUUGUACAAAUAGAUUAAUUCAUGAUUACUUCCUUUAUGGCUUAGACACUCUAUGCUUAUCGAAUUACUUUGUCACAUUGUUCUAUUGACAUAUUAUGUAUUGCGUUUGAUAAUACUUAAAAGAUCAAGGAAGAAAAAUGAAUAUGUAACAUGCAAUAAUCAUCUAUUAGUGAAUACAAAACGGAUACCAUGUAGUUCUUAAUGCUUUUCAACUUUUGGAUUUCAUGAAAAUCGAGAAAUUCCUGGGUUUUUUCUCCCUGUAGACUGAUAUAAAAUAUCAAGAAAGAAAAACACAUCAAAUUUGGAAAGGUAGGAUCAAAUCAAGAAUUGGACAAAAAUAAAUAAAUAAAUUUACUAGGCAUGUGGAAUUGAUGAUUGUAUCAGGAUCAUAAUCUUGAAGAUUUGUGCCUUCUACAGCUAAUAGCAUCACAUCCAGGAAAUCCUGCUCACUAUCAGUAUUUGCCUUAAGGUUGUGCUCUUCAAACCAUUUCUCAACAAUUUUAUCCUUUUUUUUGCAGUUUCUUUCAUUUUCUUCACAUAUCCACCUAAAUCCAACCAUCUAAGAUAAGGAUAUUAUCAGCUACAAUAAAAAGUCCAGCCAAAUGAAAGAAAAUCCUCAACACUUUCUGGCACUGCCUCGCCUCUACUUUAUCCCCAUUAGCAGUUGCACCAUAAUCUCUCUUCCCAGCAACCAUUCUAAGAACAAUAUUCAAAUUCAAGUCCCCAAACCACUGCUUCAUUUCCACCAAAACUUGACCCGAACAAUCUUUCUUCUUGUUCCAGUACUUGUAAAACUCUUUUAUGGAUACCUGUUAAACCCAUGAUUCAAAUAAGUACAAUUUUGGUGGUUAUCUAACAUCUUAAACUUUCAGAUGAGUUGGUUAAAUAGCAGACAAAAGACUUUAAUUUAAGUUUCACCACCUUCAAUUUAUAAAAAACAUACCUAUGAUCAUAAAUAUUGAAUCCAUUCUCCAGAUGAACGGCAUGUUAGAGACAAGAUUGAAAUAAAUACAUGUGGUAAUUCUGUAGGAUCUUAACCUUUUAGAUAAGUUGGUCGACAAUACCUCAGUUUCGGAAACACAUAUAUGUUUAAGGAGCUCCAGUCUACGGGGGGGAGAAUAAUUCGACAGCUAUUAGUUCGCAUAGUUCAUGCCAAUUGGUGCCAUAAGGGGAGAAUGGAAACAUGGCGAAAUCAUAGUGUCACGACCCGUAUCGAAUCACCCUUAUGGACCGGACAUAUGUCAUGCGCCGAUGGUAGAUACCAGCUAAAUGUCAGACCCACCAAUAAGGCAACUUUGAUUUGGUUUAACUGUGACAUUUUUUUAACAAUUUUGACCGAGUAUCCUCUAAAAUAUAGACUAAAACCACUUGAAACAUUAUAAAAUUUCCCAAACAUAUGUAACUUAAACACCAACUGUUGGAAAAAUUUCAUCAAUUGGGGCCACACAUGUAUAUGAUUAAAGUGUGCAUUGCUAUCUUAUAGUUUUAGUCCAUUAAAGUGAUCCAACGAAUUUAAUUUUCGACUAAUGGGUAUCAAUUAUUAUGGGAUUAAAGUGUAGAGGCCGGGUGGUUGUUUUAAAUUGAUGAGGGGCCAAUUUAAAGCAAACAAAAGAUGAUAAUUGCCUACAGUUAUUUAUCAUGGGGUCAUGGUCACCAACUGACAUGAUAUUUCAUAACCUCUGCAUCCCCAUCAGCAGAGAGUUUUUUCAAGAAUUCCAAGGAAAAUCACGGAUCAAUUGUAAGAUUGUAACCCGUUCAAAAUCACUGUUAAUCUAUGGAUCAAGGUACGCUUCCGCUUUCUUGUUCUCUUUGAUUCAACGAGGAGCAUUACAAUUUUGGUGAAAGGAUCUCUUGAUUUCUUUCAAAUUCUGAAUUAUCAAAAUUCUAUCAAGUGGUAUCAAAGCUACUCCAUUGUUGAAUCUUUGAGAAUAUCAGGUUUUAAGAAUUCUGAAAUUUUGGGUUAUUUAUCUUUCACAUAAAUAUUUGGAAUUUUUGGGCAUAUACGGCUUCCUCCUGUUUUAUAUAUAUGAGAAUCAAAAUUCCUCUAGAAGAAAAUUCCAUUUCUAUGUACAUAAGAUUAUAUAUUUCAACAUGGAUCAAGUUUUGGAACAUGGAUAAAAGAUAUAGAGCUAGUUUGUUUGGACUUGCUGUGUUGUUUGCUUUAUCCUCAACUGUAAUUCCUGCAUCAAAUGGUGAAUUUUUACGAAUUGGACUAAAGAAAAGGAAAUUAAAUCAUAUUUCAGUUUUAAGGAAUUGCUGAGCAUAAUUUUGAAUUGAGGAGUUGCUGUGUAAUUUUUUUUCGGUUUGGUUGGGCAGCGCGAUUGUGGUGCAGAUCGCUGCAACACGCAGCGCUGCUGUCGCUGCUGCGUUUGUGGCAGCAACAGCGCAGGCGCUGCUUCGCUGUUGUUCCGGUGCAAGGCUGCGCUGGCGCUGGAGAAGGAGAAAGAGAAUAUAUAGAAAAAAAAAAUUGAUUUGGGUGAUUAUUUUGGAGACGGGGGCCUAGGUGCAAUUUGGGUUAUUCCAGGACCAGCUUACAAUUAUCAUUUAGGUUAAAAUUUAAGGAUUCAGUCCCUGUAGUUUAGAAUUCAUCCAAUUGGGCCUUUUAAGUUACGGAUUUAAUAAUUCAGGCCCCUAAGUUUGAAAAUUAAUUAAUUUGGGCCAUUUAACUUCUGAAUUUUUGCAAUUAAAGCCCUCAAUUUUCAUAAUUAAUUAAAAUUGGCCCCUAAAGUUUAAAUUUUUCAAAAUUUAAACCCCUAAAGUAUUGAAUUAUUAACCCUUAGGUCCCUAAAGUUUCCAUACGCAUCUAUUGAUGCAAAUUAGGGUUUCUCUUUCUCAAAUUUCAAUACUAAUACUUCUUUAAGAGGUAUUAAUUAAGGUCUAAUUAUUUGGGACAAUCUAAUUCAAAAUAUUGGUAAUCAUUUAUUUAAAAAAAAAAUUAAGGUUGCCUAGCAUUUUAAGUAAACUAAUUGAAACAAUAUGUCACCAAAGUGAUCUAUUUUGUGUAGAUUGAUUUGUUUAGGAUGCUUGGAUGUUGUGUGUGUGUCUUUUCAUGCGAAAAUUAGCCGGCCCAAAGGAAGGUUAAUAUCUGGCAGAAUUACAUACACACUUGUGAUGAUGAAUGUGUGACAAUUAUAAAGUUUUCAUGUGAAUAAUAAAUCAAUUCAAAGAUGGGUUUAUUAUUUGACAGGAGUUAUUGUCAAUGUUCGAUCAUUAUACUGAGAGUACUACUUGCAAUUAAUAUUACUGUCCAAAAACUUGAUAUUGAUAUUGCACUAUGUAUCUUGAGAUGGGAUUCACCAUUAUUUGAAUUUAUCAAUUAUUAAAUGUGGAUAUUAAAUUGAGCAUAAUUAAUCUUUUUUUUGUUCUCUCUACAGCUAGUUCAUCUGCUACUAUAUCUGCCAAUAUUAAUUCUAUUCACAUACUUAAUGGGACAAACUUCAAGGAUUGGAAGGAGAACAUAUUGAUUGUUCUUGGCUGCAUGGAUCUAGACUUUGCUCUUCAGAUCGAGCAACCCUCUCCUCUUAUGGAAGAAAGUUCACCUGAUGAAAAGAGGAACUUUGAGAAGUGGGAUCGCUCAAAUCGCAUGAGUCUAAUGAUCAUUAAGCCCGGCAGUCCGGAAGCCUUUAGAGGUGCAGAUACCGAAGAGGUAUCUAAUGCCAAGGAGUUCCUUGCUGAAAUUGAGAAGCGUUUUGCAAAAAACGAUAAGGCUGAAACAAGCACUCUUUUGCAGAGCUUGAUUUCAAUGAAGUAUAGAGGCAAGGGAAACAUAAGGGAGUACAUCAUGGAGAUGUCUCACAUUGCUUCAAAACUUAAGGGACUAAAGCUCGAGUUGUCUGAUGACUUGCUCAUCCAUUUGGUAUUGAUCUCGCUUCCUGCACAAUUCAAUCAAUUUAAGGUCAGUUAUAACUGCUAGAAGGAAAAAUGGUCUCUAAAUGAGUUCAUUUCAUAUUGUGUGCAAGAGGAAGAAAGGUUGAAGCAAGAAAGGACUGACAGUGCUCACUUGGCAAGCACUUCUAAGAUUAAGGGCAAGAAAAAGAAGAAGGAAUAUGAAGCUGCUCAUAAGGGUCUAGCACAAAAGAAAAAGAAGAAAAACAAAGGAACUUGUUUCUUUUGCAACAAGGCUGGACAUGUGAAGAAUGAUUGUGCCAAAUAUUGCAAUUGGCGUGCAAAGAAAGGUACAACUAUUACUUUGGUCUGUUCUGAGGAUAAUUUAGCUUCAGUACCUAAAAACACUUGGUGGAUAGAUUCUGGUGCUACUACUCAUAUAAGUGUUUCUAUGCAGGGCUGUCUGAACUACCGAAAGCCAAAUGAUGGUGAAAGAUACAUCUAUGUAGGUGAUGGCAAAUCGGUGGAAGUUGACGUAAUACGCACUUUUAGGUUGUUAUUAAGAACUGGUUAUUAUUUGGAUUUGAAAGACACUUUCGUUGUACCGUCUUUUAGACUGAAUUUAAUUUCUGUUUCUUCGUUAAACAAAUUUGGAUAUUGUUGUUCAUUUGGAAACAAUCAGUUUAGUCUUUUGUUAAAUUCAAAUGUUAUUGGUACUGAUUCGGUAUCUACAUAUGAUAACCUAUAUUUACUUGAUAUUAUUGUAUCAUAUAAUGAAACCUUGCAUUGGAAUCACGUGGUACUAAACGCAUAUUAAAUAAAGAAAAUUUAGCAAAAUUAUGGCACAAGCGCUUAAGUCACAUAUCAAAAGCUAGAGUUGAACGAAUUGAGUCGGAUGGUAUUUUGGAUUCCCUUAACUUUACGGAUUUUGAUGUAUGUAUUGAUUGUAUCAAGGGAAAAUAGGCCAAAACAAAGAGAUUAGGUACUAACAGAACUUCGAAUGUCUUAGAAUUGAUACACACAGAUAUUUGUGGACCGUUCCCUACGACUUCCUGGAAUGGUCAACAAUAUUUUAUAUCAUUCAUAGACGAUUACUCACGUUAUGGGUACCUAUAUCUCAUUCAUGAAAAGUCUAAGUCACUGGACAUAUUCAAAAAAUUUUAAACUGAGGUUGAAAAUCAACUCAACAAAAGGAUAAAAAGCGUUAGAUCUGAUCGUGGUGGUGAGUACUAUGGCAAAUAUGACGAAUUAGGUGAACAAUGUCCAAGACCAUUUGCCAAAUACCUAGAGGAAUGUGGAAUCGUCCCUCAAUACACUAUGCCAGGAUCACAUAGCAUGAAUGGUGUAGGUAAAAGACGAAACAGAACUCUUAAGGACAUGGUAAGGAGUAUGAUUAGUCAUUCAAACUUACCAAAAUCACUCUGGGGAAAGGCAUUAAAGACCGCAGCUUAUAUUCUGAACAGAGUACCAACUAAGGCUGCUGCUAAAACACCUUAUGAGCUUUAGACAGUCAGAAAGCCUAGUCUAAAGCAUUUUCACGUUUGGGGAUUUCCAGCUGAGGCUAGGCCUUACAGGCCACAUGAAGAGAAAUUGGACUUCAAAACAGUAAGCAGCUACUUUAUUGGCUAUUCUGAGCGAUCUAGGGGCUACAAAUUUUAUGAUCCCACACUUAAGUCAAUUUUUGAAACGGGAACUGCAACAUUUUUUGAGGAUGUUGAGUUUGGAGAGAGGAAUAAGGUUAGAGACAUUAUCUUUGAGGAAAAAGUUGAGGGAGGAUAGGUCUCGAUUCCUACUAUUACUUUUGACAAUGUACAGGUUCCUAUACCUGUCAUUGAUCAAGAAGUAUAUCCAGAAUCUCAACAAGACAAUGUUGAAGAACCUCCCACCCAAAAUGAGGUAAUUAUUCCAGAAAUACAAACUCAACAACCUCAAGAACCAAUGCCAUUAAGGAGAUCCACUAGAGAAAGGAAAAAUGCUAUUCCGGAUGAUUUUAUAGUAUUUUUCCAAGAACAUGAGGAAAAUGAUGGAAUGAUGGAAGAAUAUCCAAUCAAUUUCCAUCAGGCCAUGCAGGGUUCUAACUCUCAAAAGUGGAUUGAUGCCAUGAAUGAGGAGUAUAAGUCUAUGCAAAAUAAUAAGGUUUGGGAUCUUGUCCCGUUACCAAAAAGUGCGAAGCCCAUCGGUUGCAAAUGGAUUUUUAAAACCAAAAGGGAUUCGAAAGGUAAUGUAGAAAGAUAUAAGGCUCGUCUUGUGGCUAAAGGCUUUACUCAAAAGGAAGGCAUCGACUUCAAAGAGACUUUCUCUCCAGUUUCAACGAAAGACUCUUUUAGGAUAAUUAUGGCACUUGUUGCGCAUUUUGACCUUGGGUUAUAUCAGAUGGAUGUUAAGACGACGUUUCUCAAUGGCGACAUUGACGAGACGAUCUAUAUGGUGCAACCAGAAAACUUUGUGUCUGGAGACCCGAAGAAUAUGGUUUGCAAAUUAAAGAAAUCCAUCUAUGAGCUCAAGCAAGCUUCCCGUCAAUGGUACCACAAAUUUCAUCAAGUGAUUAUCUCAUUUGAUUUUGAGAUAAAUGCUAUUGAUGAUUGUGUGUAUCACAAGUUCAGUGGGAGUAAGCAUAUUUUCCUGGUUUUGUAUGUUGAUGACAUACUGCUUGCCGCUAAUGAUAUAGGCAAGUUGCACGAAACCAAGAGAUUUCUGUCAAGGAAUUUUGAGAUGAAAGAUCUUGGUGACACCUCUUUUGUGUUAGGGAUUCAGAUACGUCGAGAUCGUUCUCGAGGUAUUCUUGGAUUGUCACAAAAGAACUAUAUUGAUAUAGUACUUAAGAGGUUUGGCAUGCAAGACUGCAAACCAGGUGACACCCCUGUCGUUAAGGGAAACAAAUCUAGUCUCAAACAAUGCCCGCAAAAUGACCUUGAAGUUAAGGAAAUGCAAAAGAUUUCCUAUGCAUAAGCUAUUGGGAGUCUAAUGUAUGCUCAAAAUUGUACAUGUCUAGACAUAGCAUUUAUUGUUGGAAUGCUAGGCAGAUAUUUAUGUAACCCUGGAAUGGAUCAUUGGAAAGCAACCAAAAGGGUUAUGAGGUAUUUAAAGAGAACAAAGGAUUACAUGCUCACAUAUAACAGAUCGGAUCAGUUGGAGAUUAUAGGGUACUCCAAUUCUGAUUUUGCUGGAUGCUAAGACAGUAGAAGAUCCACAUCAGGCUAUAUCUAUCUGCUAGCUAGAAGAGCUAUUUCCUGGAAAAGUGCCAAGCAGACACUCAUAGCUUCUUCUACCAUGGCUUCAGAGUUUGUAGCAUGCUAUGAGGCAUCUAACCAAGGAAUAUGGCUGCGAAACUUUGUCACUGGGCUGUGCAUUCUGAAUGGCAUAGAAAGACCACUAAAGUUAUAUUGUGACAAUAACUCGACAAUUCUGUAUUCCAACAACAAUAGGAGCACAUCUAAGUCAAAACACAUUGACAUUAAAUUCCUGGUCGUGGAGGAAAGAGUACAGAGUGGACAAAUUUCCAUAGAACACAUUGGGACGAACACCAUGAUUGCGGAUCUGCUUACUAAGGAAUUGCCACCCAAGGUCUUUCAUGAGCACACUGCUCGUAUGAGUGUCAGAUUUAUUGAGGAUAUCGUGUUUUAGUGGGAGUUUGUAUUCUUAUUGCUUUAUGUUUAAUUGGACACAUUUGUGUAUUUGGGUAUUUUUCUGUACAGAAAUAAAGUAUUCAAUUCAUUUCACUCUGUUAUUAUAUUCAGUAUUGAUCUCACUUAAGAUAUAAGGUUGGACCAGUUGGAAAUAAAUAUGUUUGGAUCACAUAACAUGUAAUUUCCAUACUACGCUCCCAUGAUUGAUCUAUGUCAUUUGGUUAUAUGGGUGUACGUGACCAUUGAUGGAUUUAGUCACAUUAAGGGUGACGAAAAUCGCUUUUAUCCUACAUCAGUAUGACUAAUGGACAAGAUUGUUUGGAAAUACCCUUAAUAAUGAUAGCAAAUUUUGAGCUCAUAAGGUUGUACACAUUUAAAAGAUUACAUGUAUGGCCCAGUGAAAGAUUGUUGGAAAAUUUUCAUCAAUUGGGGCCACACAUGUAUGUGAUUAAAGUGUGCAUUGCUAUCUUAUAAUUUUAGUCCAUUAAAGUAAUCCAACGAAUUUAAUUUUGGACUAAUGGGUAUCAAUUAUUAUGAGAUUAAAGAGUAGAGGCCGGGUGGUUGUUUUAAAUUGAUGAGGGGCCAAUUUAAAGCAAACAAAAGAUGAUAACUGCCUACAGCUAUUUAUCAUGGGGUCAUGGUCCCCAAUUGACGUGAUAUUCCAUAAUCUCUGCAUCCCCAUCAACACAUAGUUUUUUCAAGAAUUCCAAGGGAAAUCACGGAUCAAUUGGAAGAUUGUAACCCGUUCAAAAUCACUGUUAAUCUAUGGAUCAAGGUACGCUUCUGCUUUCUUGUUCUCUUUGAUUUAACGUGGAACAUUACAAUUUUGGUGAAAGGAUCUCUUGAUUUCCUUCAAAUUCUGAAUUAUCAAAAUUCUAUCACCAACCCCUUCAAAUAUAAACCAUUCAAAAUAAAGCUCACAUGAAUGAAAUUUACACUUCUUAACAAAUCAAAUACCCUAAAGGCCCAACAUAAUCAAAAGAUAUCAAAUAUGCAAUGAGCCCAUGAUAUUGAUACAUUUCCUGACAAAAAUGCAUGUAUCCCAAAAAUAUGAACUGUCUAAACUGACAAAAUGGUUCACACAACUAACGAUAAUGCAUGGCUCAACUUAGUAGAUCAAUUGGCUCCGAAGCUGCUCAAUUCGACUGCUAUCUGAUAAAGAAAAUGGUGAAAAGAUACACCAGCUUAUAGCUCAGUGUGUAGAUAAUUUGCAAAUGAGUAUACUUUUUCCAUUUAUGCAUAAUUUUUGAAAAAUCUUGUUUUAUUAAAACUUUUAAAUAUUCUAAAAUUUAGUAACACUUUUAAAACUAAACAUAAUUGCAUCAUAAAAUUCUUUGUUCUUAAUUCUAGAUACGCAACUGUAAGGUAUAAUAAAUGUAAACAAUCUGAUAUCAGUACACAUAAGUGAAAAUAUCCUUGUACAGAACUUUAAGCUAAAAUCAUUACUCUAAAAACUGAAUAAACUAGAUUCUGUAGUCUGAAAUCUGAUAAGCUGUAUAAUACUGGAAAAUCAUACCUAAAGGUACUCGAAAUAACCUUACUCAUGUAUCGAUUAGUACGGAUAUACAUGGCAAAUCUAUUUAAUUUUGUAUUUCUAAAAUUCUGAAAUUUUGGUCAUACGCGCGCAGAGCUGCCCAAAGGCUAUAAUCUGGUCAUACAAUAUGGAAACACAUUCACAAUAGUGCAAAGCGGGUAAAAUCACCAUAACUGAUCAUACACUAUGGAAACACAUUCACACCAGUGUAGAGUGGGUAUGGUCAUACACUGCGAAAACACAUUCACACCAAUGCAGACUAGGGUAAAAUCACCUGGGUACUUUCUGGUGAUUUUAAAAAUAAAUUUAAAUAUACUUAAAAUAUUUAAUAUCCAUAUAACAUGCUAAUCAAAUUAUUUAAUUGAACUGAAUUUAACUUUAAAAACAACUGAUUAUAAAUUCACUUUGUUUUGAAAAUCAUGCUGUCAAAUCAACUAUAUGAAAUAAUAAAUUUUCUAGUUUACUAUAAAUUUAGUAAAUAUUAAUUUCUGAAAAAUAAGUUUUUAUCCACUCACAAGUCAAAAUACAGGCUAGGAAUGUAGAUAAACUUUUUCGAUCUCCUCGUUACCACCUGAAAUACGUUACAAAAUUACCAAUUGAACCACUGCCGAAACAACAAAUCUUUUAUCUCUAAUCAGGGAUGGACCCAAGGAGGGUCCCAUAGGGUCACUUGACCCUCCAGUUCUUUUUCUUUUCUUUUUCUUUUUUUAAAUGUCUUAGUUUUCAAACUCACUAUGGAAUAUCAAAUGAAGUUGAAAUAUUACAUUUUUAAUAUCAUUUUGAAGUACUCACGGCCUAAUAUUUCAUGUCAUUAAUGGUGUGAGAAAUGGUCAAUCAUAACAAAUGUUACGAUGCAUCAAAAUAGGUCGUUCCAAUUUAAUAUUUCAAGAAAUUCAAUAACAAGCUAACUUUACAAAUUAUUCGACGAUUAUAUGCUAACCUUAUCCAUAAAUCUUCUAUAUCCUCUCAAAACUUAUUUCGAGAACUAUAUCAUAAACAUAUCGAAUUAUCUAAAUGGAUAUUAAAAAUAGUUAAAUGUAUGUCAAACGUGUAUGCCAAAGAGAAAUUUAUAAGUCGUCUUUUUUAUUUAAAAAAAUCAAUUAUUUUAUUAAUAUUUAUUAUUUUUACGCGACAAACUUCUCAAUAUAAUUUAAAUCAUUUUAUUAGGAAAUCUUAUAUGUGGUAUGAUGUCAAAUUUUUAUUUUUAUUUUUUGGACAUAAAAAUUUUUAAUAAAAUUUUUAUUACUUCAUAGGGUUAUAAAUUGUUAUACUUCUUUUUCAUCUUGAUUAUUUUUAUAUCUAAAAGAAAUUUAUAUAUAAAAAAAUUCAAUCAUUUUUAGGAUUUUUUUUUUAUUAUUGUUGCCUUUUCCUUUCGAUCAAUUAAUUAUUUUUUUUAAAUGACGUCAAAAAUUUUAGGAAAUUUAUUAGAUUAUUUUUAAAAAAAAUUAAUUGAUUGAGAGGAAAAAGUAACAUAAUAAAAAAAAUUCUAAAAAUGAUCAAAAUUUUUUAGAUGUAAAAAUAAUUAAGAUGAAAAAUAUAACAUUUUAUAAUCCAUAUAAAGUAAUAAAAAAAAUUUCGUCAUUUUUUUUAAAAGUUUGAUUGUGACCCCCAAUUUAAAAUGUCUGCGUCCGCCCGUCUCUAAUGACAGUACUUAAACUAGAUUUCUUGAUACUUGAAUAAAUUUUCCAAAUUUUCCUUUAAUCAAUUGGAGCUAAUUUCACUUUAUUCUAGUCUCUUUACUAAUAACUAAUUCAUCAAAAUAACCUUCAUCCCAAACAUAAAAAUAAUUAUCAUUCGAUCUAGUGAAAACUAACACAAAUAACUCAACCAAUUUAACAUUCAUGUUGCUCCAUAAACUAUUUUUUCAUUUGAAUAUUUCAUCACCACAAUCUUUUCACUAAUAAUACUUAAUCAAGAAUCCCAAACAAAAAUCUAGGAUUUUGCUAAGUAUUGUAUUUCUUACCUUGAUUCAAUUGAAAAUUAAUCAAUCAAACAAUUUAAGCAAGAAAUAUACUCCUUGUACUAAAUUGAAAAUUUAACCAACAAAUUUAACCAACCCUAGCAACUUUAAAAUCGUCCUUCCAUAACAAAAAAUUUAUGUCUUUACCUCUUGAAGAAAUUGAAGAACUUGAACCCAAAAAUUAAUCAAUCAAACAAUUUAAGCAAGAAAUAUACUCCUUGUACUAAAUUGAAAAUUUAACCAACAAAUUUAACCAACCCUAGCAACUUUAAAAUCGUCCUUCCAUAACAAAAAAUUUAUGUCUUUACCUCUUGAAGAAAUUGAAGAACUUGAACCCAAUUUUUUUUUUUUUUUUUUUUUCACUCGUUUUUUCUCGGUUUUUCUUCUACUGCCUGAUUCUCAACUAGAUUGUGCGUGUAUAUAUGUAAAAUGGUAAUAAAAAAUGGGUUUUAUUGCCAAGUUAGUGGAGCACUAACUCAUGCUUGAAAAGGGAGUCCCUCAACUUCCAUAUCAUAAGGCAUUAAACCCUAAACUUCUAGAAACAUAUAAGUAGAUCCCAAAAUUAAAUUUUUAUCAAUCAUAAACCCCCAAGUAUUUUCAAUUGUAAGAUAAGCCCCGAUAAAAUAAUUUAUUUCAUUUUAGUCCCUAUUUGACUUUGACUCUGAGAAGUCAACCUUUGAUUUUUUACUAGAAAAAAUUUUGGUUAUAACAAUCGUGCUUCUUUAAAAGAAUUUCGUCCUCGAAAUUCAACUGGCAUCUGGCUGGGUAAUAAAUAGAUGAAGAUAUUGAGCAUCUAUCUAAUCCUCAUUCUCCCAUGUGGUUUCUUCUACCGUUUGAUUCUGCCAAAGUACCUUUACAAAUGAAAGUGUCUUGCUUUGCUAAAUAUGCACCUUUCUGUCUAGAAUUCUGACUGGAUCUUCUAUAUAAGUCAAAUUCUCCUUCAAAUGAAUUGGUUGAGACUCUAGAACAUAAGAAGGGUUUGCAAUGUACUUGCGAAGCAUGGAGACAUGAAAAACAUCAUGGAUCCUGGAUAAUUCAGUUGGCAAAUCUAAUCAAUAUACAAUUAGACCAAUCCGCUCAGUAAUCUCAUAGGGUCCAGUGUAUUGUGGACUUAACUUUUCUAGCUUGCCAAACCUCAAAACCCCUUUCCAAGUCGACCAUUUUAGAAAUACUUUAUCUCCAACUGCAAAUUCAAGAUCUUUCAUGUGCCUAUCUGUGUACAUUUUUAGUCAUCCCGUGUUGCUUAUACUUCCUUAUUCUACAAAAUUCAAUUAGUCCUACUCAUUUUUUUUCUUAUACUUCCUUAUUUUGUAUCCUAUAUCACUUAUCCUUUCUAUACUCAAGAAAUGAAAUCGAAGUUAUUCGUGUGUCCCCCUUUUUUUAUUCCAUAAACGUACCUAAAUGCACAUAUCCAUUUAAUUAUAUUUCUUAAGCAACAUAUUACCCCAUAAUAAGUAAUAAUAAUGAAGUCUAUCUUAUUUUUCUUAUAUCCCUUAGUAUAAUCAAACAACUCAUAAGUAAUUGAAAAAAAAAAUUGAAUCACUUAAACAUUAAUCUCAUCGACGCCUAAGGUAUACAAUAACACAUUGUUAUCUAUCCAUCAACAAAUCAUCACUUUGUCUUCCAUAAUUUCUCAUCAUAUAGCAUAAGAAUACAACAUCAUGAUUUCUAUCCUCAUCUCAUAUUUGUGGUCACAAAUUACCACAAAAUUUUGAUAACGCUAAUGACCAUUUGGCUUCCAAAGUUAAUUAAAAUUCCUCGUUGACUAUCACCAAUUACGCAGAUAAUAUCAUUCCUUUUUAUUUAUCAUGCCAACUAUGACUAGAGAUUUUUCUAUGAAUACAUUAAACAUUCAUGCAAUUCUACAUAUAAUUUGAUACUUAAGUGACUGCAGCAUCUAUCACUUCGAAUGCCUAUAAGUAAUUAACCUGCAAAAUCAUCAAAGUUUUCACUUUUAAAAUAACAAUCUAUUUAACUCUUAAUAGGCUAUAUGCACCACAAUUCCAACCCAACAACUAAUAACAAUUUCAACCAUCAGAUCAUUGCAAAUGACAUACAUACUAUUCAUUUCUGCAUCUGUUAGAAGUAUUCUUCUACCAUUUUAAGUUCCAAACAUUCUAGUAGCAAGAGUUUGAGAGCCUGUGAUUUCUAUCACCACGACAUGUAACCACACGUACUGAAUAUGCAUGAUAUACCAAUGUAUGAACUAUGAAAACUUUAUAAACCAUGCUCUGAUACAAACUUUCACGACCCGUAUCGAAUUACCCUUAUGGACCCGACACGUGCGUGCGUUGAUGGUAGAUACCAGCUAAGUGUCGGUCCCACCACCAAUGCAACUUUGACCUACUUUAACUCUGACAUAUUUUUAUAAAAAAAAUUUAGCAGAGUUUCCUCUAAAAUAUGGACUAAAAUCACCUGAAACAUAAUAAAAUUUCCCAAACACAUAUGUAACUUAAAAUAUGGUAUACCAACCCCUUCAAAUAUAAACUAUUCAAAAUAAAGCUCACAUGAAUGAACUUUACACUUCUUAACAAGUCAAAGACACUAAAAGCCCAACAUAAUCAAAAGAUAUCAAAUAUGCAAUGAGCCCAUGAUAUGGAUACAUUUCCUGACAAAAAUGCAUGUACCCCAAAAAUAUGAACUGUCUAAACUGACAAAAUAGGUCACACAACUAACGACAAUGCGUGGCUCAAAAUAGUAGAUCAAAAGGCUCCAAAACUGCUCAACUCGGCUGCUAUCUGAUAAAGAAAAUGGUGAAAAGAUAUACGAGCUUAUAACUCAAUGAGUGAAUAAUUUGCAAAUGAAUAUACUUUUUCCAUUUAUGCAUAAUUUCUGAAAAUGAGUGGAUAAUUUGCAAAUGAAUAUACUUUUUCCAUUUAUGCAUAAUUUCUGAAAAUUCUUUCUCUAUUAAAAUUUUGAGAAAUUCUAAAAUUUAUUAACACUUUUAAAACUAAACAUGAUUGCAUCAUAAAAUUCUUUGUUCUUAAUUCUAGAUAAACAACUGUGAGAUAUAAUAAAUGUAAAUAAUCUAAUAUCAGUACAUAUAAGCGAAAAUAUCCUUUCACAGAACUAUGAGUUGAAAUCAUUACUCUAAAAAUUGAAUAAGCUAUAUUCUGUAAUUUGAAAUCUGAUAAGCUGCAUAAUACUUGAAAAUCACACCAAAAGGGUAAUGGAAUAACCUUACUCAUGUAUCGAUUAGCACCAAUAUACAUGGCAAAACUAUUAAAUUCUGUAAAUCUGGUCAUACGCGAGCAGAGCUGUCCGAAAGCUAUAAUCUAGUCAUACACUAUGAAAACACAUUCACAAUAGUACAGAACGGGUAAAAUCACCAUAACUGAUCAUACACUGUGGAAACACGUUCACACCAGUGAAGAGUGGGUAAAAUCAUCAUAUGGAGUCAUACACUGUGGAAACACAUUCACACCAGUGCGGACUAGGGUAAAAUCACCAGGGUAUUUUUUGGUGGUUUUAAAAAUAACUUUAAAUAUGUUGAAAUAUUUAAUAUUCAUAUAACAUAUCAAUCAAAUGAUUUAGUUGAACCGAAUUUAACUUUAAAAACAACUCAUUAUAAAUCAACUUUAUUCUGAAAAUCAUGCUAUCAAAUCAACUAUAUGAAAUAAUAAAUUUUCUAGUUUAAUAUAAAUUUAAUAAAUACUAAUUUCUGAAAAAAGCUUAUCCACUCACAGUUCAAGCUACAUGCUAGGAAGGAAAAUAAGUUUUUCCGAUCUCCUCGCUACCAUUUGAAAUACGUUACAAAAUAACCAAUUUAACCACUGUCGAAACAAGAAAUCUUUUAUCUCUAAUGAUAGUACUUAAACUAAAUUUCUCAAUACUUGAAUAAAUUUCCAAAUUUUUCUUUGACCAAGUGGAACUAAUUUCACUUUAUUCUAGUCCCUCUACUAAUAACUAAUUCAUCAAAAUAACAAACAUAAAAAUAAUUAUCAUUCAAUCUAAUGAAAACUGACAACCAAUUUAACUUUCAUUUUGCUCCAUAAACUCAUGUUUUCAUUUGAAUAUUUCAUCACCACAAUUGUUUCCACUAAUAAUACUUAAUUAAGAAUCCCAAAUAAAAAUCUAGGAUUUGCUAAUUAUUGUAUUUCUUAUCUUGAUUCAACUGAAAAUUAAUCAAUCAAACAAUUUAAGCGAGAAAUUAUAUUCCUUGUACUAAAUCGAAAAUUUAACCAACCCUGGCAACUUUAACAUCAUCCUUCCAUAAGAAAAAAUUGAUGUCUUUACCUCUUGAAAAAAUUGAAAAACUUAAACCCAAGCUUUCCUUUUCUUCUUCUUCUUCUUCUUCUUCUUCUUUUUCCCCCACUUCCUUUUUCUCAUUUUUUCUAGAUUUUUCUUCUGCUGCCCGAUUCUCAACUGGAUUGUGUGUGUAUAUAUGUAAAACAGUAAUAAAAAAUGGGUUUUAUUGCCAAGUUAGUGGAGCAGAGGAAAUAGUGGCCAAUAGCCGGUUGACCCGGCCAUUUUUCCAAAGAGGCCUUUGACCAAUUAAAAAAAAAAGAAAAAAAGCAAAAAUGUUUAAAAUAUUGAAAAUCAAGAGAAAUCCAAAUUUACCCUUACUAUUUAAAGAAGAAAGAGAAGAUAGUAAGGAAAGAGAAAAAUUACUGUAGCACUGAUAAAAAAGGGAAAAUAAACGACCCAUAUUUAAUGUUUUUAUGUUGAUUUUUGGGAGAAAAAAAACACGAUUUUGUAUACAUGUGUUGAUUUUUGGAAAAAUGCAUGAUUUUUUGGUAAGGAUAAUAGUUUGGGAGGAGGAAAAUGGAGUGGAGAUCGUCGAAAAUGAAGUUUUCGGACGAUCUCCACAAAGGAGACGAUUAGCCCAGCUAACUGGGCCAUUUAGGCAUGCCCAGACAACUCAGACUCACCCAGACGCCCCAGUUGGCCGUCUGGGCGCCAGUUGACUAGACCGUCUGGGCCAGUCAACUGUGCCCAGACGACCCAGUCAAUUGGGUCGCCUGGGUGCCCAGUUGACUGGGUCGCCUAGGCACCCAGUUGACUGGGCCGACAGUUUUCUAGGCCUAGAAAUUUUUUUUUUAAAAUUACUUAUUUAUUUAUCUUCUUUAAUUUUUGAAGUUAACUAUUUAUUUUAAUUGCUUAUAUUGUGUUGUCUAAUAUUUAAUUAUUAUUUGAAUUGUUUAAUUUUAAUGUAUAUUAUGUAUUUAAAAUUAUUUCUUUGAAAUGCUUAAUAUAAAUGUUUUAUUAUUUAUCUAAAUAUUUAUUAUAUGCCAAUUUAGUUUUAAUUACUUAUUUUAUGUUAAGUAAUAGUAAAAAAAAUUAAAAUAAAUAAUUAAAUAUUAAAUAAGUAAUAUACAUAAAGAACUUAAAUAAAUAUUUAAACAUCUGUAAAAUUAUAAAUAAGCAAUUAAAUUAGAAAAUUAAAUUAUCAAUCAAAUUAAAUUUUAUCAAUCAAAUUAAAUUUCUGCAAAGCAAUUAAAAUAAAUUUUUAAAUAUUAAUAAGCAAUAUGCAUAAAGAAUUAAAAAAAGUAUUUAAACAUUAAUUAAAAAUAAAUAAUUAAAUUAAGUGUUAGUAAAAUAAUUAAAAUAAGCAAUGAAAAUAUUAAAAUAAAUUAUGAAAAUAAGUGUUAGUAAAAAAUUUAAACAAAAUAAUUAAAUAUUAAAUAACUAAUAUACAUAAAGAAUUUAAAUAAAUAUUUAAACAUUCGUAAAAUAAUAAAAAUAAGCAAUUAAAUUAGAAAAUUAAAAUCUCAAUCAAAUUAAUUAUUUGCAAAGCAUUUAAAUAAAUAUCAAUAAAGAAUUUAAAUAAAUAUUUCAUGAAUUAUGUAAACUGUUUAUUUGAGUAAAAUAAUUAAUUGUUUUUUAUUUCAUUUUAUUUAGAAUAUAAAUAAUGAAAUAAAUAUAAUAAACAAUUGAAUAUUCAAUAAACAAUUAAAAUAAAUGAGAAAUUAAUAUAAAUAAUUAAAUGAAGUAAAUAAAUAUGAAAUAAACUAUUAAAAUAAGUAAUUAAAUAUUAAACAAACAAUAUACAUAACCAAUUAAAGUAAUUAAUGAGAUAUUUAAAUAAAAUAUUAAAUUAAAUAUUUAAUAAGUAAUUUAAUAAAUCAAAUAAUACUUUAAUUGUUUAUGUAUAUUAUUUGUUUAGUAUAUAAUUCUUCAUUUUAUACUUUAUUUGUUUAUUUAAAUAUUUCACGAAUUAUGUUAAUUAUUUAUGCAUAUUGUUUAUUUAAAUAAAAAUAAAUAACUAAUUGAAAUAAAUUAAAUAAAUAUUAAUAAAAUAAUUAAAAUAAUGAAUUGAAAUAAUAAAUAACUAAUUGAAAUAAAUUCAAUAAACAAGUAACUUAAAUGUUAAUUAAGCAAUAAAAAUAAUUAAUUAACAUAAAUAACAAAUAAAUAUAAAUAAUAAAAACUAGUUUAAAUAUGUAAUUAAAUAUUAAAUAAAUAAUUGACAUAAAUAAUUAGAACUUAAAUAUUAAAUAAAUAUUUUAAAUGAACAAUAAAUAUAAAAAGAAGUAAUUUAAAUAAGUAAUUAAAUAUUAAAUAAAAAAUUUAAAUAAACAAUUGAAAUAAAUAAUUAACGUUUAAGUAUUAAAUAAAUAAUUUAAAUGAACCAUAAGUAUAAAUAAUAAAAAUAAGUAAUUAAAUAUUAAAUAAACAAUUGGAAUAAAUAAUUAACAUUCAAAAUAAACAAUUAAACAUUCAAUUAACAAUUAAAAUAAUUAUUAAAUAAACAACCAAACAAUUAAAAUAAAUCAUUUAAAUACACAUUUAAAUAUUGAAUAAAUAAUUUAAAUAAAUAAUUAACAAUUAAAUAUUCAAUAAACAAUUUAAAUAAAUAGUUAACAAUUAAAUAUUUAAUACACGAUUUAAAUAAGUAAAUAAACUAUUUAAUUUUCAAAUAUUAUGCUCUAUCUAUUGUCUUUUAUGCAAGGUCCAAAUAUUUUAAAUUUUACAAGAUGAAUUACCAUUUAGACGUCGCUAUGAGACAGAUUCCUGACAAAGUUACGUCGAACUAUAAUUUUGUCAGCUUCGCAUUAGUUCUAGAUUUGUUGGACGAAGAGCGCGUAGACCUGUUACACCGAUCCUUCUUAUGACGGUAACUUUGACACAAUUAGGAGAUCCAUUUAAUAAAUGCGACGAUAUGUUUGACAAGUUGAAGUUGGGAAUAUUUAUACUAGAGAGCAUACCGAGGUGUCAUCACAAUAAGACGUCGAUCGACGUCUUUCAUUUGGAAGUUGUUGAUGACAUUGAUACAUUCAACAACUAUCCAUGAGGACAAAGCUGACAGUUAUCUGUUCUCCUCAACAAUCCUGAGGUACGUAUUAUUCAUUUGUGAUUUAUGUUGUAUGUCAUUUCGAAAUUUCGAUGCAUGGUCAUUAACUCGGUGAACAUUUAAAUAAUAAUUAAAUGAUUACUUGAAUGAUAAAUAAUUAAAUGAUUAUUUAAACGAUAAUAAAUAACUAAUUGAAAUAAACUCAAUAAACAAGUAACUUAGAUGUUAAUUAAGCAAUAAAAAUAAUUAAUUGACAUAAAUAACAAAGAAAUAUAAAUAUUUUAAAUUUUACAAGAUGGAUUACCAUUUGAACACCGUCAUGAGACAAAUUGCUGACAAAGUUGCGUCGAACUAUAACUUUGCCAGCUUCGCAUUAGUCCUAUAUUUGUUGGAUGAGGAGCACGCAAACCUGUUACACUGAUCCUACUUAUGACAGUAACUCUGGCACAGUUAGGAGAUGCAUUCAAGAAAUACGACGAUAUGUUUAACAAGUUGAAGUUGGGGAUGGUGUUUAUACUGGAGAGCAUACUGAGGUAUCAUCACAAGAAGACGUUGAUCGGUGUCUUUUGUUUGGAGGUUGUCGAUGACAUUGGCACAUUCAACAACUAUCCAUAGGACAAAGCUGACAAUUAUCAGCUCUCCUCGACGAUCCUGAAAUACAUAUUAUUCAUUUUGUGAUUUAUGUUGUACGUCAUUUCGAAAUCUCGAUGCAUGGUCAUUAACUCAGUGAAAUGUUAAUAUGUCAGCUUGAAUUGCUCACUGAGCUGAUACCGUUGAUCGAGGAGGAGGGUCAGAGUCAUAUCUGAAGAGAUACAGUACGUAGGUGAAAGAGGUCCCAGACAGUAACAAAGAGUAGCGGAGAUGGUGACAGAGAGGGUGACGGUGGAGGGGUUGGGAUGUACACAGUUAUUUCAUUAGAAUCAGUAUGGAUGUCAGUGGAGAUGGAAGAGGUGUCGGUGGUGAGGAUGAAAUAAUUGCAAUAAUUGUAAUUCUUUUAUUUAUGAAAUAAUUGUAUAUAUUGUGAAAUUUAUUUAAAUAAGGUAAUGAAAUAUUAAAUACAUACUACAGACAACUAAUUAAGAUAAUUUAUAAAUGAAAUAUCUAAAUAAGAAAUUAAAUUAAAUAUUACUUUUUUAUUUAAUUAAGUAAUUAAAUAAAUAAUUAAACAACGUAAUUAAAUAUUAAAUAAAUAAUAUACAUAAGUAUGUCGAAGAGGGCCCCCAACUUGACAAAUAAUGUCGCGAGUUUGGAUGACACCUUGUACGAAAUAUAUUAUUGACGUGCCAGAGCAAAUUGUUAGCAAGAGGACUAAAUUACUGUCACAACAUAUUGUUUCUUCGUACACGAUCGAAGCAAAGAAGAGAACAUCUGUUGGCGGUACGUUGCCCAACCUCUUUCGUGAAAUCGACUAGGGUGAUUGUGAAAUCUUCGCAUUUAAGUUAGGGCUGUAAAUGGAUCGGAUAUAUGAAUCGGAUUUGCUCAAAUUCGAUCCGAUCCAUUAAUCCAAAGGAUAUUUGAAUGUUAAAUCCAUAUCCGAUUAACUAUGUUAUCGGGUAUCCGAUCCGAAAUUGAACAAAUUAGAAAAAUAAAGAUUUUAUUUAUUUAUCAGAUAGGAAUGACCUAUAUCCAUAUUUGAUUCAUUUAGUUAACGGAUUAUCGAGUUUGAAUCUCGAUUGGGUUAUCGGAUUUAAGGCCCUAAAUCCAUCUCCCAUUAAUUUCAUUGGAUUUAGAUCGAAUUCGGAUCAAAAUCCAAUCUAUUAAUUCAUUUAGUUAACGAAUUAUCGAAUUCGAAUCUCGAUUGUGUUAUCGGAUUGAGACCCUAAAUCCAUCUCCCAUUAAUUUCAUCGGAUUCGGAUUAAAAUUCAAUCCAUUGACAACCCUAAUUGAAUUACAUUAAAUUUUUUGCAUCGAACGUGGUGUAGAGGUAAUAAACUAAACACACAUUAAAAUGCAAUCGUUCUUUUAUGUACAUUGUGAUCCGAAAUUGUAAUAAUUUCAAAAGUAAGCAUUUUUUUUAAAAACGUUUGUAAUACUUCAGUUUUUAUGUAAUUAUAGAAUAAAUAACUAAUUACUCUUAAUUACAUAUAUAACACACUACAAAUAAAGAAAAUUGAGAAAAUCAAUAACACACUAUAAAUAGAGAGUACAUAGGAUUUAAAUAGAUAUUACAUAUUCGUUGGGUAGAGAGUAAUAUACCAUAAUUGGGAACUUCUCACUCAACUUCAUUUUGUUGAGCAAAUAUAGUAUUGGCAUUAUUGAAUAGUGUUUGAUGUAUUGUAAAUCUGAUCAUGCCUAAAGUUCAACUUCCAUCUCUGUUAAAUAUUCUCAUACACCAUGUGAUUUAUGUUCUAAUUAAAUACUAAAUAAAUAAUAUACAUAAACAAUUAAGAUAAUUAAUUAAUGAGAUAUUUAAAGAAUAAAUUAGAUUAAAUAUAAAUUUUUUAUUUGAGUAAGUUUUUAAAAUAAAUAAUUAAAUAAAAUAAUUAAAUAUGCAUAACCAAUCAAGAUAAUUAAUAAAAAAAAUAUUUAAACAAGAAAUCAAAUUAAAUAUUGGAUAAUUCCACAUGUACUAAUUCAUAAGGAUGUUCAUAAUGUACAUAUGGAAUUCCAUGAGUGGAGGAUCGAAAAAACUGUUUUUCAAAUAUCCAAUAAUGUUAUGUCAUCUGUACAUUAUGGUAUAAUAUUUUUAUUUAAAUAAGUGAUUAAAUAAACAACUAAACAAAGUAAUUAAAUAUUAAUGACUAAUAAUAGACAUAACCAAUUAAGAUAAUUAAUUACUGAAAUAUCUAAAUAAGAAAUUAAAUUAAAUAUUAUUUUUUAUUUAAUUAAGUGAUUAAAUAAACAACUAAACAAAGUAAUUAAAUAUUAAAUAAAGAAUAUACAUAAUUAAUUAAGAUAAUUAAUUAAUGAAAUAGUUAAAUAAGAAUUAAAAUAAAUAUUAAUUCUUUUAUUUAAAUAAGUGAUUAAAUAAAUAAUUAAAUUAAUUAAUUACAUUUUAAAUACAUAAUAUACAUAACCAAUUAAGAUAAUUAAAUAAUGAAACAUCUAAAUAAGAAAUUAAAUUAAAUAUUAAAUUUUUAUUUAAUUAAGUGAUUAAAUAAAUAAUUAAAAAUAAAUAAAUAACAUACAUAGCUAAGUAAGACAAUUAAUUAAAAAUAUUUAAAUAAGAAAUUAAAAUAAAUAUUAAUUUUUUAUUUAAAUAAGUGAUUAAAUAAAGUAAUUAAAUAUUAAAUGAGCAAUAUACAUAACCAAUUAAGGUAAUUAAUAAAGAAAUAUUUAAACGAGAAACCGAAUUAAAUAUUAAUUUUUUUAUUUGAGUAAGUGUUUAAAAUAAAUAAUUAAAUAAGGACCAAUUAAGAUAAUUAAUUAAUGAAAUAUUUAAAAGAGAAACCAAAUUAAAUAUUUAAAUGAGAAACUAAAUUAAAUAUUAAUUUUUUAAUUUGAGUAAGUGUUUAAAAUAAAUAAUUAAAUAAGGACCAAUUAAAAUAAUUAAUUAAUGAAAUAUUUAAAAGAGAAACCAAAUUAAAUAUAUAUUUUUUUAUUUGAGUAAGUGUUUAAAAUAUAUAAUUAAAUAUACAUAUAUCAAUUAAGAUAAUUAGUUAAUGAAAUAUUUAAAUAAGAAAUCAAAUUAAACAUUAAUUUUUUUAUUUAAACAAGUGAUUAAAUAAAUAAUUAAAUAGAUUAAUUAAAUAUUAAAUAUUAAAUAAAUAAUAUACAUAAUCGAUUAAGAUAAUUAAUUAACGAAAUAUUUAAACAAGAAUGUAAAUUAAAUAUUAAUUUUUUUAUUUGAGUAAGUGUUUUAAAUAAUUAAUUAAAUAUAAAGUGAAAAGUGUUUGGUUUUUUUAAUUUGUAAUAUAAGAGUAUUUUUGUCUUUUUAAAUAAAAUUCUAUCUUUGUAAUUGUAUAAAUUACUUAAGGAUAUUUUUGUCUUUUACUCAACAAAUGGCCAUUUUGAAAAUUGGCAAAAUUUUUUGAUCAAAGUGAAAAAAUGGCAUAUUGACUUGGCUAAUUUAAAAAGUACCCCUAGUGGAGCACUAGCUCAUGCUUGCAAAGGGAGUCCCUCAACUUCCAUAUCAUAAGGCAUUAAAUCCUCAACUUCUAAAAAUAUAUAAGUAGAUCCCAAAAUUAAAUUUUUAUCAAUCUUAAACCCUUAAGUAUUUUUAAUUGUAAAAUAAGCCCCAAUAAAAUAAUUUAUUUCAUCUUAAUCCCUGUUUGACUUUGACAAGUCAACCUUUGAUUUUUUACUAGAAAAAAAAAUUUGUGUUAUAACACAUAGCCCAUGUGUUUUGCUGCAAGAAAUUUUGGACGUGAAGAAACAGUCAUAUCCCAGGUGGUGAACAAUCUUUAGCCAAUUCCCAGCUGCUCACCACUAGGGUUUUCUGUACUCCGAGCCGUAUUGUAAAGAUUGGUCCAUACUUGUCCGCCAUUGCUGCCAGGGUGAUGUGUGGAAGACGCGAGCCACCUCCUAUGAGGUGGAGGUUGCCUAUAAUGGGCCAUGCCCCACCAGCUUCCGACGGUGUACUGUUUUUGCUAGCUUUAGACCUAGAUUUCCAGUACAAAAUCAAAAGUAGCGCACAUAUUGCAGCUAUGGCAGAACUGAGAUGUGAGACCGAGAAUUCCAUGGUUUUCUUGAUCAAAGAUGGGUUGCCUAGUUAAUUUUUCACUAUGGCCUGUGGGACUCAUAUAUAGGUAAGCAUGCUUAGUGAAGCUUAAAGUGUUUGCUUAUAAAUAAAUAAGUUAUAAAAUUGACAAUUUUUUAUUAUUAAAAGUCGGAUAAUGCUAAGCAACAUUUUUUGGGAGUUGUAAAAGUUACUUUUAGAAUUUUUUUUUUAUUACUUAAAAGAAAAGUAAAUUAUCUACACAUGUUUAAAAAUUUUUUUUUUUUUUUGGAUGCUUAAUCAUCUUAAAAACUAAGCCUAAUUUAUUUUUAAGUCACUCAUUUUUUCAGAUGUAAUUUUGAAAUCAAAGUUCCGACUUUUAAUCACAAAAUUUUCUUUUCAGAAAAUAAGCCAUGGUUGCCUGACCUUGAAAAAGGUAAAAAUCUACAUUUGGAAGAUUGUUUUUAAACAUAUUUAGCAAUUUAUUUAUUUAUUCUUUUUUUGGGCACUUUUCAGGUAUAAAAAAAAAAGAAAAAAGGUUAGUUGACAUGUUUGUUGUGCUUAACAGCUUAAAAGUAAGUCAUAUACUUUUCUAAGUUACUUAUGGUCAGAAAAUUUUUUAUUUCAAGAGAGAGUUUAACCUUAUUACUAGUGUUAUAAUUACCUUACUUACUUAUUUCAUUUAAGAAUAAAUACGUAUAAAUAAAGCUUUUAAACUCGGCUAACAAAGGUUUUAAUGCUGUGAUAUUUAAAUCAGCCUGCACCAAAUUAGAUUGCACAUUCAAAGAUUAAGUAGAGUGUGGCCUACUUAAAUUGUAUUUACAGUGAUAAUUCAAUGUUCAUGGUCCAUUUGAACUAUUAUAUGACUAGUGCAACUACAACCUGCCACAAACGUCACCAUGAUCCAUUUAACACGUGUCACAAUCAUGAUCAAAGACGAAUCCUAGAUUUUUGAUAAGGGAUACUGAAACUUAAGAAAGUCAAUAUAUUCAAAUUUUGGUAAAUGACAAAUAAAAACUAGGCAACCAGUUGGACUAAAUAGAAAAUUGAAGAAAAUAUAUUUAUGAUUUCGAACAGGUGGAACCAUUGAGCUUUCAUUUAGGCAUCGAAUCAUACAGUGAAAUCAAUUCAAUUUCUAGCAGAUAAAUAUUAAACAUAAAUAGUUCAACAUAUUACCAUUUUUAUAACACGUAAUGUGUAACACCUUGAAUUUUAAUUAUAUUUUCAUAUGAGCUAAAUUUAAUAAUGGUCAUUUAGCAAAUGAAAUAGUCCAUGUCUAGUCUUAUCGUUCCAUUAAAGUUCAAAAGUUGAAGUGAUAAACUCGACCAACUUAUUUGCAUAAAUGAUUUAUUUGCUUACGUAUGCUUUUAAAAUUUAAUGUAAGUUAUUUGAGUCGAAUAUUUAUGUAUUUUAGAAGCUAAUAAAAAUAUAUUGAUAUUAUACUCAUUUUGUAGCUCGUGAUAACUAAAAUAAAUGGGUCAAGAAGAAAUAAUUUUGGACUAGUCAUAUCUGAAUUAUUUUGAUAGAAAGAAAAGUAUUCUUAAUUUCAUAUAUACUAGUCUCAUGCCGUGCAAUGCACGGACUGUGUUUUUUUUAAAGGUAAUGUUAGUGUAUGGCAAAAUGGAAAAUGCAUGGUCCUACUUUUGAAAUGGAACAAGAGAUAUCAAAUAAAACAAUGUUAACCUUACAACAUAAAUUUUAAAGAAGAAUCAACACUUUAGUCAGGAGAAGUGGAAAAAUUAAUUCAAUACUUAGCAAAUCACUGGAAAAUGAGAAAAGGGAAAAUAAAGGAUAUCAUAAUGACUGUGACACUACAUAUUAAUUAAUUAACUAAUUAUUUUAAUUUUUUGGAACAUGAAAUGGUUCUUGAAAUAGACAAGAGAAUGGUGAAAUUUAGCCUUACCAAACAGAUAAUGAGUCUAAUACAAUUUUAGGAUUGGAAAGUAAACCAACAAUAAGAAUUAAAUCUGAAAGUACUAAGUCUCUAGGCAGAGUAUAAUCUUUUCCUUUAAAUCCCCAACGAGUAUUUGUAUUUUUGUUUUAACCUGAUUACAAAAGCAUCAAAAUCCCUGAUCAAAAAUAGGAAAAUAUUAUCAUAAAAGAUGCACAAUAUAAUGGAAAAAAAAUUGCAUAGCACUUUCUUAUGAAAAGUACGAAAUUAAGCACUUAAAUUCUACAGAAAAUGCAGACAAACAGAGAGAAGAAUAGCGUUUGAUAUUUAAAAAAACUCAGCAAUAGAAUCAGAUUUUUAUAUCUUCAAAACAAUAAAGACGGAGGAAAAAUAAGUCACCUUACAAAUGACCCGGCCAUUAACAGAAACAAGGCCCGAGCAAAUGCUGGACUGAACUUUAGCUCUGCUAACACCAUUAAGACUGAAUUCUUUGAAUUCGUUUCCCAAAAAGAGCAGGUUUAGGAAAUCAGUUUCAAACAUAUGAACGUAUACACAAUUACAUUUAAAAGCACCAAAUUGUAGAGAUAAACUCAUCGUGUCAAAAUUAUCGAAAAAAAUAAUAUCCUAAAAUUUGAAGAAAUUGAAAAAAUAUGGAUUAAAAAAUUUCUUAGAUUACAGAAAAAGACUAACCUGGUGUGGCCAUCAAGAAGAAAAACGUCGACUUCGAUUGCUUACUUAUUAUCGACGAUUUGGCCAAAAAAAUAGGAGAUGCUACGUGGAAUGUGAUUGUCGCGUAAGAGAAAGACAGAGAUUGAAGAUAUUAGGUUUGGGUCUCGUGUCUCGUAAAGUUACAUGAUGAGAAAAAUAGAAACAAAAAAAAAAAAUUCUCUGAGAAGCUAGAAAGGAAAAAAAUAAAAAAAUGAAAAAGAUUUUUUUGCUCCGUGCACGGAGCCAAAGAGAAAAUGUGAAAUUUACUGUUCAUUUUUAUCACAUCAAUUUUUUUUACAUUGAACUGGUUUUGAAACUAGUUUGAUCCUUUGAAUCUGACACAUAACAUAUUUUUCCAUUUACUCACGCUAUCAACUAUCAAUUAUAUCCUAUAAUUUUAUUAGUAGUAAUAGUUUGUCACACUGUAGCUUUUUUUUAAUUGGUGGAGCAGAAACGACAUUGUUUUCUAUUUUACCUGCAGCUUACAUGCCCUGAGUCUGACAUAGAGUAUUUUUUCUCCAUUUUUUCACGCUAUCAACUAUCGACCAUAUCCUAUAAUUUUAUUAGUAAUGAUAUCCUAUAAUUUUAUUAGUAAUGAUAUUUUUUUAAAUAACUUUUAAAUAAAAGUUAUUCUUUAUUUCUAAAAUGUUAAAUGUUACUUAUAAUUAAAAAGAUCACUUCAAGUUACUUAAAAGUAAAACGAACUUAUAAUUGUAAAAGUUACUUAAAAGUAGAAAAGUAUUAACUUCAAAUUUUUUAAGUUUAAAUAUUUAGAUAUAUUUAGUUUUUUUAAAUUAAAUAUUAAUAAAAAGAUUACAUUAUCUAAAAUGUAACAACUUACUUCUAUGUAAAAAAGCACUUCAAAUUAUUUAAAAGUAAUAAGAAAAACUUAUAAUUGUAAAGGCUACUUAUAGGUAAAAAAAUAUUAAUCACUCCUUCUCUUAUAAUUGCAAAAGCUACUUAUAAUUAAAAAAUAUUAACUUAAAAUUUUUUAAGUAUAAAUAUUUAGAUAUAUUUGUUUUUUAAAUUAAAUAUUAAUAAAAAGAUUAUACUAUCUAGAAUGUAAAAAGUUCCUUAUAAAUAAAAAAUCACUUCAUGCAAAUGGAGUGUAACACUCCAUGCACAGAGACUUAAACCCACUCCAUGCACGGAGUGUCACUCCUCCGUGCACUGAGUGUUAACAGUCCAUGCACGGAGUGUUAACACUCAGUGCACGGACUGGAAAUAAGUUUUUUUAAUUUUAUUUAUAGUAAUUUUUAUCAAUAUUUAAUUUUAAAAAAUUAAAUACAUUUAUAUGUUUACUUAAAAAUGUUGAAGUCAAUAUUUUUUUUAAUUAUAAGUAGCUUUUACAAUUGUAAGUUUUUUUAUUACUUUUAAAUAACAUGAAGUGAUUUUUUUUACGUAUAUGUAAUUUUUUACAUUCUAGAUAGCGUAAUCUUUUUAUUAAUAUUUAAUUUAAAAACUAAAUAUAUCUAAAUAUUUAUACUUAAAAAAUUUUAAGUUAAUAUUUUUUACUUAUAAGUAACUUUUGCAAUUAUAAGAGAAUGAGAGAAUAAUAUAUAUAUAUUUUUUUUACCUAUAAGUAGCUUUUACAAUUAAAAUUUUUUUAUUACUUUUAAAUAACACGAAGUGAUUUUUUUUACUUAUAAGUAACUUUUUACAUUCUAGAUAGCGUAAUCUUUUUAUUAAUAUUUAAUUUAAAAACUAAAUAUACCUAAAUUUUUGUACUUAAAAAAUUUGAAGUUAAUAUUUUUUACUUAUAAGUAGUUUUUAUAAUUAUAAGUUCGUUUUACUUUUAAGUAACUUGAAGUGAUCUUUUUAGUUAUAAGUAACUUUUUACAUUUUAGAAAUAAAGAAUAACUUUUAUGUAAAAAGUUAUUUAAAAAAUAUUAUUACUAAUAAAAUUAUCGGAUGUAGUCGAUAGUUGAUAACGUGAAAAAAUGGAAAAAGUGUACUCUGUGCCAGAUUCAGAGCAUGUAAAGACCAAACCACUUUCAAAAUCAGUUCAAUAUGAAAAUCAAUGUGACAAAAAUGAAAAGUAAACCUCACAUUCUCACACUGUAGCUUUUUUUUUUAAAAAAAUUGGUGGAGUAAAAACGACAUCGUUUUCUAUUUUACCUGUAGUUUACAUGCUCUGAAUCCGACACAAAGUACUCUUUCUUCAUCUUCUCAGGCUAUCAACUAUCGACCAUAUUCAAUAAUUUUAUUAUUAAUAAUAUUUUUUAAGUAACUUUUACAUAAAAGUUAUUUUUUAUUUGUAAAAUGUAAAAAAUUACUUAUAACUAAAAAGAUCACUUCAAGUUACUUAAAAGUAAAACGAACUUACAAUUGUAAAAGCUACUUAUAAGUAAAAAAUAUUAACAUCAAAAUUUUUAAGUAUAAAUAUUUAUAUAUAUUUAGUUUUUUAAAUUAAACAUUAAUCAAAAUAUUACACUAUCUAAAAUGUAAAAAGUUACUUAUAAGUAAAAAAAGCACUUCAAGUUAUUUAAAAGUAUAAAAAACUUAUAAUUGUAAAAGCUACUUAUAGGUAAAAUAAUAUUAAUCCAUCAUUCUCUCAUAAUUGCAAAAGCUACUUAUAAAUUAAAAAAAUAUUAACUUAAAAUUUUUUAAGUACAAAUAUUUAGAUAAAUUUAGUUUUUAAAUUAAGUAUUAAUAAAAAGAUUACACUAUUUAAAAUGUAAAAAGUUACUUAUAAGUAAAAAAUCACUUCAAGUUAUUUAAAGGUAAUAAAAAACUUAUAAUUAUAAAAGCUACUUAUAGAUAAAUAUAUUAACUUCAACAUUUUUAUGUAAAUAUUUAGAUAUAUUUAAUAUUUUAAAAUUAAAUAUUAAUAAAAAAUUACUAUAAAUAAAAUUUUUAAGAAAAUAAAAAAAAUAAAAAAAAUGAGAGAGAGAGAUUUUCACUCCCCAUGCAUGGGAGUUCACAUGGGGAGUGAAAAUCAACUCCAUGUGCACGGAGCCGUGUUUCUUUAUUUUUUAUUAAUAUUUAAUUUUAAAAAAUUAAAUGUAUCUAAAUAUUUAUUUAAAAAUAUUGAAGCUAAUUUUUUUUAUCCAUAAAUAGUUUUUACAAUUAUAAGUUUUUUUAUUACUUUUAAAUAACUUGGAGUGAUUUUUUUACUUAUAAGUAACUUUUUACAUUCUAUACAAUGUAAUAUUUUUAUUAAUAUUUAAUUUAAAAAACUAAAUAUUUGUACUUAAAAAUUUUAAGUUAAUAUUUUUUUUACUUAUAAGUAUCUUUUGCAAUUAUAAGAGAAUGAGGGAUUAAUAUUUUUUUUUACCUAUAAGUAGCUUUUACAAAAUAACUUGAAUUGCUUUUUUUACUUAUAGGCAACUUUUUACAUUCUAGAUAGUGUAAUUUUUUUUAUUAAUAUUUAAUUUAAAAAACUAAAUAUAUUUAAAUAUUUAUCCUUAAAAAUUUUGAAGUUAAUAUUUUUCUACUUAUAAGUAGUUUUUACAAUUAUAAGUUCGUUUUACUUUUAAGUAACUUGAAGUGAUCUUUUUAGUUAUAAGUAAUUUUUUACAUUUUAAAAAUAAAGAAUAACUUUUAUGUAAAAAGUUAUUUACAAAUAUUAUUAUUAAUAAAAUUAUCGGAUAUGGUCGAUAGUUGAUAACGUGGGAAAAUGGAGAAAGAGUACUCAGUGUCAGAUUCAGAGCAUGUAAGUUGCAGGUAAAAUAGAAAACGACGUCGUUUCUGCUCCAAUUAAAAAAAAUACAAUGUGACAAAAUAUUAUUUAAAAAAAUAUUGCUACCAAUAAAAUCAUAGGAUAUGGUUGAUAGUUGAUAGUGUGAGAAAAUGGAGAAGGAAUAUUGCAUGUCAAAUCCAAAGGAUCAAACCAAUUUCAAAACCAGUUCAAUGUGAAAAUCAAUGUGACAAAAAUGAAAAGUAAACCUCACAUUCUCACACUGUAGCUUUUUUUUUUUUAAAUGGUGGCGUAGAAACGACGUCGUUUUCUAUUUUACUUGCAGCUUACAUGCUCUGAGUCCGAUACAAAGGACUCUUUCUCCAUAUUCUCACGCUAUCAACUAUAGAUCAUAUCCGAUAAUUUUAUUAGUAAUAAUAUUUUUUGAAUAACUUUUUACAUAAAAGUUAUUUUUUAUUUCUAAAAAUGUAAAAAGUUACUUUUAACUAAAAAGAUCAUUUCAAGUUACUUAAAAGUAAAACAAACUUAUAAUUAUAAAAGCUAUUUAUAAGUAAAAAAUAUUAACAUCAAAUUUUUUAAGUUUAAAUAUUUAGAUAUAUUUAGUUUUUUAAAUUAAAUAUUAAUAAAAAAAAUUACACUAUCUAGAAUGUAAAAAGUUACUUAUAAGUAAAGAAAAAAAGUACUUCAAGUUACUUAAAAAAGUAUAAAAAAAAUUUAUAAUUGUAAAAGCUACUUAUAGGUAAAAUAAUAUUAAUCCAUCCUUCUCUUAAAAUUGGGAAGGCUACUUAUAAAUAAAAAAAUAUUAACUUAAAAUUUUUUAAGUAUAAAUAUUUAUAUAUAUUUAGUUUUUAAAUUAAAUAUUAAUAAAAUGAUUACACUAUUUAAAAUGUAAAAAGUUAUUUAUAACUAAAAAAUCACUUCAAGUUAUUUAAAAGUAAUAAAAAACUUAUAAUUAUAAAAGCUACUUAUAGAUAAAAAAAAAAUAUUAACUUCAACAUUUUUAAGUAAAUAUUUAGAUAUAUUUAAUUUUUUAAAAUUAAAUAUUAAUAAAUAAUUACUAUAAAUAAAAUUUUUAAGGGGAAAAAAAAGAGAAAUAGGCUCCGUGCACGGAGCGAUAAUCGCUCUGUGCAUGGUGGAGUAAUUUUCACUCCCCAUGCAUGGGAGUUGAUUUGUCACUCCCAUGCAUGGGAGUUCACAUGGGGAGUUAAAAUCAACUCUAUGUGCACGGAGCUCUAUUUCUUUAUUUUUUUAUUAAUAUUAGUUUUAAAAAAUUAAAUAUAUCUAAAUAUUUACUUAAAAAUUCUGAAGUUAAUAUAUUUUUAUCUAUAAGUAGUUUUUACAAUUAUAGGUUUUUUUUAUUACUUUUAAAUAACUUGAAGUGAUUUUUUUUAAUUAUAUGUAACUUUUUACAUUCUAGAUAAUGUAAUCUUUUUAUUAAUAUUUAAUUUAAAAAACUAAAUAUAUCUAAAUAUUUGUACUUAAAAAUUUUUAAGUUAUUUUUUUUAAUUAUAAGUAGCUUUUGCAAUUAUGAGAAAAUGAGGGAUUAAUAUUUUUUUUUAGUUAUAAGUAGCUUUUACAAUUAUAAGUUUUUUAUUACUUUUAAAUAACUUGAAGUGCUUUUUUUUCUUUUUUUUUUACUUAUAAACAACUUUUUACGUUGUAGAUAGUGUAAUAUUUUUUGUAAUUAUUUAUUAAUAAAAAUGUUCUAUAAAUAGGAGGAAAAAUCAACACUCCGUGCAAAAGGAGAAAACUCUCAUUUUACUCUCCUUUUGAAAGGAGAGACUAUCUCUCUAUCCACGAAGAGUUUUUUUUUUUUAAUUCUUAUUUUUUAUGGAGGGAUAAUUUUGUUGAUAUCAUAUUUCGAUAUAAAAUUCUUUUUAAUUUUUUUAUGGUAAAAUUUAAUUUUUUCAAUUUUAAUUAAUUAAAUAAUAUUUAUAUAUUAUUUAUUUAAUUUUCCUAACUUUCUUUUAUUUUAUUUGUUUAAUUUAGUUUAAUAAAAUAAUCUUUAUAUACUCUUUAUGAUAGAACGACAUUCUUUAAAUUUGAAUUAAAUAAUAUUUUUAAAAAUCAUUUUAAUUUAAUUUAAAAACUUUAUAAUAAAUUUUUCUAUUUUUGUCUGCAAUUUCUUUUUUUAAUAAUCUUUACAUUUAAUUUCAUUUCUUUAUUAUAUAAUAUAUAGUACUGGCUUUAAUCAAGUAAAGUAGUGUGUGAAACGGAAAAAUCAGUGAAAUGGUGUGUGAAAAUAGCGAGCUGGCGUGUCAAAAGAGUGCUAAAGUGUGAUGGAAUAGAAUAAUUUAUUGUUGUCAAACUAGCUUCAUGUGAAAAUCUAUGUGAUAAAAAUGAAUAAUAAACUUCACAUUAUCUCUUUUAAAAUAAGGAUAUAUAUAUAUAUAUAUAUAUAUAUAUAUAUAUAUAUAUAUGAAACGUGACCAACCGUUUCUUUGAAUUAAAAAAAAAAAAAAACAUAAAUCAAUCGUUAUCAAUUAUAUAAUAAAUUAUCUAAUUAACCUUUUUAAAUUCUAACACUCAACCGUCACUUGAUUUAUUAGAAUUCCCACACUCAACCAUCCAUCAUGAUUUGAUUUGAAAUAAAGAAUAGAUUAAAUAACCUAUUAAAUCCUCAAACCUAACAUGUGGGCGUUUGAAUAGAUAGUAAAUGGUAGACAUAUUAAGGCCCGUUUGGUAGGGAUUUUGAGAAUUGAUUUUUUGACCGUUAGAAGAAAAGUGAGGUCCACAUGUGAGAGAAGAAGUCAAAAAUUACGGCUUGAAUAGUAAAAUAACGGUCAAAAAAUCAUUUUUUGGGGCAAAAAAUCCCUACCAAACGGGCCUAAGACACUUAUUAAAAGGGAGUAUCCUUUUAUUUCAUCAACCACAUUUAAAACUUCACAAGUUGGGUUUUCAUUCCAUUAUAAACAUUCUGUCCAAUUUUAAUUAUUGUCUCAAGGAAUAAUUUUAGAAUUUUCGAUAUCAAUUGAGAUAAAAGUACUUUGUGCGAAUGGUAAAUUAAUAUUUUUUUGAAAUUUAAUAGACUUCAGCAUGAAAUACUCUAAGACCUUCGGAUCGACUUCUAUGUUAAAUCCUAUUGGAUGAAUCAUUAGGCCGACUAUGAUAAAUUGUACACGAUGGACCUUUUGGUCAAAUAUGUAAAUCCUACGAAAUAUAGAAAUUCUUAUGAAAUUCCUUGAACUAUUGGAUGUCGCGACCAGUUUGCUCUAAAUUUGAGAAACAUCGGUUUGCCAUAUCAUUUCAUAUUUAUAUAAUGUUAAUAAGGAUAUGUACGUAUUUCUUACUAAGUGUUUUCAAAAUACGCACUUUUACAAUAACUUUUCAGAUUAGAACGGGUCGUGUGGACGUGUGGCAGAUUAACCGAGUGAUACUUAUGGGAUCAUCAAGUAAAAUUUCUAAAGAUGAUAAUUUGCAAAUUUUCUUUGUCCGGUUGAAGAACAUUGUUAUUUAACCAUUUUCUACACAAUAUUUAGUAGUUCUUCUUGUGUUCGAACAUUUGACAUUUUAUGUUAAAUUCGAAUUGAUAAUUUGAAAUCGUAGUACUUUAAGAUUUUAUUUAAUGUGAAAAUUUUCACUUAAAUGGAUAGUUUAUCAUUCUCGAAUUACCGAUAAAAAAAUGAAUUUCUGCUUAAAUUAGAUAAAGAAAAUUAAUUUUGAUAAAGGAUUUUGAUAAAAUGUAAUCGGAAGUUGUCAUUCCACCGUCUCAAGUUACUGCAAAGAGUGCAGCAUUAAAGAUUCAACCUACUCUUACGGACCAAAUCAAAGAUGCUUAGGACAAUGACCUCUUUUGAGGAAAAUUAAGGCAGAAGUUGGUACAGGUAAAAGAAAAGGUUUUGCAAUAGCAGAUGACAAUGCUUUGAUGUUCGAGAGAAGAUUAUAUGUACCAAAGAAUGAAGAGAUAAUAAAAGAAAUGAUAGAGGAAGCUCGCUAUGCUCCGUAUGCUGCACAUCCCGGUAGUACUAAAAUGUAUUGAGACCUUGGCGAUACAUUUUGGUGGAGUAAUAUGAAAAGGGGGAUUGGUCUCAUUGUUGAAAAGUGUAUUGUAUGUCAGCAGGUUAAAGCAGAACAUCAAAGGCUAUUAGGACCAUUAAAUCUAUUGAAAAUUUCAGAGUGGAAAUUGGAGUAAAUAGCCAUAGAUUUUGUGGUGGAUUUUUUGAAAUCAACGAAAUAACAUGAUGCCAUCUGGGUGAUUGUGAACAGGUUGACAAUGUCAGCCCAUUUUCUUCCAGUAAGAAUGAACUCUAAUAUGGAUCAAUUUGCUUAAUUAUAUGUUAAGGAAAUUGUUAAACUUUAUGGAGUUCCAAUAUCUAUCGUCUCGAAUCGAGACCCAAUGUUUACUUCUAAAUUUUGAAAGAGCACGCAAGGAGCUAUGGGGACAAGGUUAAAUUCCAGCACUAUCUAUCAUCCUCAAUCUGAUGGACAGUAUGAAAAGAUCAUUCAGAUCUUGGAAGACAUGCUUCAGGCAUGUGUCUAGGAUUUAGGAGGUAGUUGGGAAUCACACAUAUCAUUAGUGGAGUUUCCAUACAAUAAUAGCUUUUAGGCUACUAUUGGCAUAGCUCAUUAUGAAGCUCUCUAUGGUAAAAGAUGUAGAUCCCCAAUUCAUUGGGAGAAUCGAAGAAAAAUAAAAUUUGGGUCUAGAGAUUAUUACAAGGAUGGUGCAAGCAAUUGAUAAAAUUAGAGACAGAAUAAAGUCUACUCAAGAUAGACAGAAAAGUUAUGCAAAUCAACGAAGAAAAUCGAUAGAAUUUGAAGUCAGUGAGAAAGUUUUUCAAGUGACACCAAUAGAAGGGGUUCUUAAAUUCGACAAGAAAGGAAAGUUGAAACCUCAAUUUAUAGGUUUUUUCGAAAUUCUAGACAAAAAUUGGGAAUGUAGCAUACCGUCUAACACUGCCACCUAGACUAUCAGUGGUAUAUAAUGUAUUCCACGUAUCAAUGCUUAGAAAGUACUUGCAUGAUCCCAGACAUGUGACAAGCUAUGAAUCAUUGGAAGUACAUAAAGAUCUAACGUAUGAAAAGGCUCCUUUGGAGAUUAUUGAAAGGAAAAUUUAUGCAUUAAGAAAUAAAGAAAUUGCCUUGGCUAAGGUUCGAUGGAAAAAAUCACGGAGUCAAAGAUGCUAUUUGGGAAAAAGAUGAAGAAAUAAAAGCUAAGUAUCCAAAGCUUUUAGGUUAAAUAAGGUAAUUUCGAGGACGAAAUUAUUUUAAGGGGAAAGGGAUGUAAAACCUCGUAUUUUAAUUAUAUUUUAAUAUGAGCUAAAUUUAAUAAUGGUCAUCUAGCAAAUGAAAUAGUCCAUGUCUAAUCUUGUCGUCAUACUAAAGUUCAAAAGUUGAAGUGCUAAACUCGACCAACUUAUUUGUAUAAAUGAUUUAUUUGCUUACAAAUACUUUUAAAAUUUACCGUAAGUUAUUUGGAUCAAAUAUUUAAAUAUUUUAGAAGUUAAUAAAAAUAUAUCAAUAUUAUACUCUUUUUGUAACUUGUGAUAAAUAACAUAAAUUGGCUCAAGAAGAACUAAUUUUGGACUAGUCAUAUUUGAGUUAUUUUGAUAGAAUAAUAAAUUUUAUAUUAUUAUUAUUAUUAUUAUAAAAAAAUCAUGUAAAUGAAACGUCACUUACCAUUUCUUGGAGUUUGAUAAAAAAGCAUAAAUGAAUCAUCAUAAAUUAUAUAAUAAAUUAGCCGAGGUUCAUUGAUAAUAAUUGUUCCUUGUUAGUUGUGCCAAUGAUUUGAUGUUUUGCACAUGUUUUCGAGGAAAGGUGGCUGAACCGUUGCAACUUCCAAGAUGCCUACUGCUGUCGAAUUAAAAUCGUAAUUAUUAGAACAGCUGGAGCUUCUAGAAGCAGACGCGUUGGCUGAGAUGCGUGGGAGACACGCUUGAAUCUGAGGCAUAGGUUUGAAAAAUCGUUUGAAUUCUACGCCUCGGAUUUGAUUUAAAAUGAAGGGUUCAGAUUGAAUGAGCUUCGAUCUGACGGUGGAGGUUCGUCCUGGCCCUUUAUAAAAGGUGAGAAAACUCCCUUUUUCAGAAUUUUCUAGCAUUUGCAAUCUGAUCUCUCCUCUUAGAGCUUAGACAUUCCGGCGUUGAGGCAAUUCCGUUUACUGCUUUUCCAGUAAACUCAGUUCGCGUAGUUUUUUAGUAGGUAUUUUUCACAGAAAAUCCUCUUAUUGUGUAAGUAGUUGCUUUCUGAGAUGGAGUCGACUUCGGGUAGGGAGUCGGUCACUGUCGCAUCGUUUAGUCGGGGGUCUAGUUAUCGGGGGGACUCCGAGGUUGAGCAUAUUGCUAUGACCGAGGAGGAAGUAGAUUACAAUGUAGAGUGGGGGCGUCUAGAGUCCCUUCGAAUAUGACGUCAAAGAGGUUGGGGGAGAUAAGGGAGAUGUACUAUGUACCUCAUUAUGUGGAGAUGUUAGUGCCCGAGACCCAUGAGCGAGCCUGUUAUCUGAGGCCGAGGUGUGUGGCUGUGAGCUAAUAUUUAUUUAGGGCAGGUAUGCGUCUACCUCUGCACCCCUUCUUCAGUGCUGUGCUGAGGAAUUCCAUGUUUUCGCCAACCCAUGUUCUACCAAAUGGGUGGAGCCAGUUGGUCGGCUCGUACUUCCUGUGGAAGGAAGUGUCGCUUGGGGAGGACAUGUCUCUCCAUGUUUUCAUGACCCUAUUUCAGCCUAGGAUAAUAGGUAAGGAGUCGAAGGGGUGUUAUUACUUGACUCCCUGGGGGCCCAUCACCUUUUGUGGUAGAGCUGCCUUCUUCCAUAAAGAGGUGGAAGGAGUCGUGGUUCUGGGUGAGGGGCAGGUGGUAGGCGCUGGAGGGAGACAAAGCCCUGUCUUGCAAUGUGCUAACCCAGUACUACGAAACUCGUGAGUCUCCCACUCUAGUAGUUUGCAUUCCGUUUGUAGCUUUAAUUUUUUGUCUAACUGUUGAUGCCUCGUUUGCAGAUUGCAGUACGAGGUUCGAGCUAAGCAGGGAGGAGUUUGAAGUGAUAGAAGAUAUUUACAAGAGACCUCUAAAGCUUCGCCACUUCGAUCACCUCAUCGACAGAAGUCGCUAUUUUCUGGACUUCGAACUGAUGGCCUCCAAGGGUAUGAAGCUCCCUUACUUGUAUAUUUUUUGUGUUUUCAUUUUGGUACUGACGUGCUGCGCUCUGCAGAUAAGUUUAAGAGGAAGGAGUACCCAGCUCCUGACAUGGCGUCCAUACUAAGGGCAACUUCCACUGUGAAGGUGAGGCCCCUGAAGCCGAGGUCAAGUGGUGCGAAGGAGGUCCGAGGUAGAGUCAAACGUCUCUCCAAGGACAGCACCUCGUGGGCUUUCGAAGAGGAGACCCCCCAGAGGCAGGAAAAGGCCAAGGAGCCUCAAGGGAAGGAGAAAGUCUCUGAGGAGCCAAAGAAAAGGAAGCCGAUGCACAUCUCCAGCUCUUCUGGCAAAUUGGGAGUUCUGUGUCCCAAGGCAAAGAAGCCGGACCGCCGAAGCUACUGGAAGCCACUUCGAAAGCGGUUAAGAUUGAAAUGAUCAGGCGUACAGAGACUGAUGAGGCGAGGGAGGAGGCUGCAAGGGGCAAGCUGAGGUGGCUGAGGAGGAGGCUGCCAAGGAGAAACCUGUUUGAGUACAAGGUAAGUCUCCAAGCUUCCUUACCGGCCGAGAGGAGCUUCUGGCCCCAACUUUGGUGGAGGCCCUACCACCUGAAAUCCGAAGCGCUGCUAAAAAUUUCUAUAAAUUCUGGACGGAUUGGUGGCAGCUGCACGCCUUCGCCUGUGAUGCCACUGACUUGACGAUGGCUCUUGUGAGCCAAAGUGUUAGGACCUUUGGCCUCGCACUAGAGUGCAGGGAGGCUCUUACUGAUUUUCAGAUGAGGACCCAGUCCUCUGAGAAGAAGGCUGCCUCCCUUUUAGAGAAGCUGAAGGCAGCUAAGGCUGAAGCUAAAAAAGCUAGGGCCCAGAAACUUGAAGAAUCGGCCAAGCUGGAGUCUGCCUUGGCUCAGAUAGAGGCAUUGAAGAGGGAGGUACAUGAGUCCCAGUGCGAGGUUGCCUCCUUGACUAAGAAGGUGGAGGUUUCCAAUGACCACCAGAAAGUGAGCCGAAGCCUUGGAGAAGGCUAACCUGGAGCUGGUAGGGGCCCAGGACGGAUACAAGUUCAUCAAAGGCCAAAUUAAGUGGUAUGUCGAUGAUGCGACCCAUGUUAGGGAGGAAGCUCAAAGUGUAAGGAAGGAAGCAGUGAGAGACUACAUUGCCAACUUCCAUAAUGCCGAGGAGUACAAGAGCUUCAGCGCUUACUGGAGGAACUUUGCUUUUGCCGAGGUGAUGGAGCGGGCUGAGGAAUUGUACCCAAAUCAGGACCUGUCGUAACUCAAGUCGGAGUUUGUGGACGAAGUGCCUCAAACCCCAGCUAAUGAAGUGGUGGGAGAUGAAGUAGUAGAGGCAGAAGAAACACAUUCUGAUGCUCAAGCUGCCGAAGUUCUAGCUGCUGAGGCACCUCCACCAUCUUCCCAAGCUUAGGAUAGUUUUCUUUUCAGUUAUGCAUGAUGUACUGGCCUCAGACCCUCCUUUUGUAAUCUCAAUUGAAAAUCAAUAUAAUAUCUCCUUUUUGUUCAAUGCUAUUUCUUUCUUUCAAGUGUGUUGGCCUCGUUAAAUAAUUGAACAUAAUGUUGAUUGAAGAACCAAAUAACUUUAACUGGGUAUCCUAACUCCAAUUACUUGAACGAAUAAAUUGUAUGCAAAUGACCAAUAUGGGACUUAAGCAAAUGAAUUGUACUUGAGCUUAAUAAUUGUAACCUGAAGGGAUCCUAAGAAUGGACCGUGUUGCAAUUGAACUGGGAGUUUUACUCUGAUACAAGUACACGUGCUUCGGAGUUCAAAUGAGGUGGCCUAGAGAUGGGACCCGGCCUCUCCUCCGAGGUGACAACGCUUCCCAACAUGGUGGAUGGUGCAGUCAUGUUGAGACUUCUUCCCUUGGCGUUCAGCCUCACCAAAGGGAGGCAUGUGCAUGUGCCUCGGAGUUCAAACGAGGUGGCCUAGAGAUAGGACCCCAGCCUCUCCUCCGAGAUGACGACGCUUUCCAACAUGGUGGAUGGUGCAACCAUGUUGAGGCUUCUUCCCUUGGCGUCCAGUCUCGCCAAAGGGAGGCAUGUGCAUGUGCCUCGGAGUUCAAACGAGGUGGCCCAGAGAUGGAACCCCGGCCUCUCCUCCGAGGUGAGGAAAUAAUGCGAUACGUUGAUUUAAUCAUAGGAUUUCAUUGAACCUUAGAAAUGUUACAAGAGCUGGGAAAGAUCGUCCAGCGGGUAGUACAUUCAUUGGUAAUAGAUUCUGAUCAAUCCAAUAAGUCCCAGGCCGAAUUUCUUCUCUGAUUUUAUAUGGCCCUUCCCAGUUGGGACCUAGGGAACCAGAACCAGGUUCCUUUGAGAAGAGGAAGACUCUCCUAAGGACCAAAUCGUUGACUCGGAAUGACCUUGUCUUUACCUUUGAGUUGAAGUACUUCAUCAUCUUUCUUUGGUAUGUGGCGAGCUUCAACUGGUAGUCAUCUCUUCUCUCUUCGAUGAAGUCGAGGUCGCACCUUCGAAGCUUAUCGUUUGUUAUUUUACUAAAAUGCAGACGUCUUGGAGACGGAAGUCUGACCUCAACGGGGCUCAUUGCCUCAGUACCAUAUGCCAUGAGGAAAGGUGUUUCCCCGGUUGGCGUCCUCGUGGUGGUUUGGAUUGCCCAAAGAACUUGUGGUAGCUCGUCCACCCAGGCCCCUUUUGACACAUCGAGCUUUCUUUUCAGGACGUGUUUGAUUGUUUUGUUGACAGCCUCCACUUGGCCAUUUGCUUGUGGGUGGUGAGGUGUGGAGAAAUACUUCUUGAUGCCAAGUUCUUCGCAUAGUGCUCUGACCUUCUUGUUGUCGAAUUGUCUACCGUUGUCUGAGUAGGGAAUCCCGAACUGGCAUAUAAUAUUCUUCUACAAGAACUUGGAAGUGUUGGCUUCUGUGAUUUUUGUCAGUGGCUCAGCCUCAACCCAUUUCGUAAAGUAAUCAUUGGCCACAAUUGCAAAGCUUGCACCUCCUCUACCUUUAGGUAGAGGGCCUAUGAGGUCCACACCCUAUUUCGAGAAAGGCCAAGGGCUGGAAACCACGAUCAAGUCCUGCGACGGUUGUCUUUGUAUUGAAGAGAAUCGUUGACAUUUGUCACACUUUCGUACAAACUCGAGGGCGUCCCUUUUUUGGGUAGGCUAGUAGUACCCUUACCUCAAAAUCUUUUGUGCCAAAGAUAGACCUCCGGAGUGAUUGCCGCACACGCGCUCAUGGACUUCUCUCAAUAUGUAAGUAGCCUCUUCUCCCCCAACACAUCUUAAGAGUGGAGAGGAGAAACUCCUCUUAUAGAGAACAUCAUCAAUGAAGAGGAAGUGGGCUGACCUCCUCCAUAGCUUGUAGGCUUCAUGCUUGUCAGUGGGAAGUACCUGGUCUUUGAGGUAUGCUACCAUUGGCUGCAUCUAGAUAGGGGUCCCAGCGACCCACAUGGCAUUGGGGCCCUCGGUCGAUGGUAGGAGGAGGUGCUCUAUGGGUAUUACUGUGAAUAGUUCUGAAUCCUUGCUACUAGCAAGUUUGGACAGUGCAUCCGCAUGAGAAUUUUCGAUGCGAGGGAUCUGGGUCAGUUCAAAUUUUUCAAAGGAUGGGAUGAGGUUCAUCACCAUUUGCAGGUAGGAGACCAUUAUUUUGUCCUUGGCUGAGAAGUUACCAUUUACUUGGCUAACAACCAGCUGGGAGUCACUGCUGAUGAGAAGCCUCUUUACUUGCAUUUCCUUGGCCAACCUGAGGCCUGCAAGUAGUGCAUCGUAUUCUACUACAUUGUUGGUGGCCUUGAACCCGAACCUCACUGCUGAGUUUAGCUUGUGACCUUCAGGGCUGAUGAGCACUACUCCAGCGCUUGAGCCGGCGUCUCCAGCCGACCCAUCCACGAAUAAGUUCCACAUAGGGGGUUUGGCGGGUUCCAUGAUUUCAUCUACCUCGGGUAGGUUGGUGAAUUCUGCCACAAAGUCAGCAAGGGUCUGACCCUUGAUGGCUGCCCUAGCCUUGAACACGAGGUUAAAUUCACUUAGCUCCACUGCCCACUUCAAUAAUCCUCCUAAGGCAUCAAGCUUUUGGAGCACUUGCCUUAGGGAAAAAUUUGUCAGCACGUGGAUGGUGUGAGCUUGGAAGUAGGGUCUUAAUUUCCUAGAGGCCGUGGUCAAGGCCAAAGCGAGCUUCUCCAUAUUGGGGUAACGGGUUUUCGAUGAUAGGAGUGCUUUACUUGUAUAGUAAACUGGAAGUUGGGUGGUUCCCUUUUCUCGAGUCAAGACUGAACUGAUGGCCUCAUUUGAGACGACUAGAUAUAGUUGUAGGACCUCUCCAGGCUUCGGUUUGGAGAGGAGGGAGGCCUGCUCCAGGUGCAUUUUCAGGCCUUGGAAGGCCUCUUCACAUUCCUCAUUCCAUUGGAACUUCUUCCCCGCUUUUAGUACUUUGAAAAAUGGAAGGCGUUUGUCUGUAGCUUUGGAGACGAAUCGGCUAAGUGCGGCCACCUGUCCAGUCAAACUUUGCACUUCCUUUGGCUUUUGGGGAGACCUCAUCUUGCAUAGGGCCUCAAUCUUCUUCGGGUUGGCUUCAAUUCCACGUUGAUUGACCAUAUAUCCUAAGAAUUUGUCGGAGGCCACUCCAAAGGCGUACUUGAGGGGGUUGAGCCUCAUCCUAUAUCUUCUCAAGAUUUGAAAGGUGCUGUUGAGGUGUGUUAUGUGAUCCUUAGCCUCCAAACUUUUCGCCAACAUGUUGUCCACGUAUACCUCCAUUGUCUUGCCGAUGAGGUCCAUAAACAUUUUGUUGAUGAGCAUUUGGUAAAUCGUUCCGGCGUUUUUCAACCCGAAGGGCAUCAUCCUAUAACAAUAAAGGUCUCGGUCUGUAAUGAAAGAGGUGUGCUCCUCAUCGGCCAGGAGCAUGGGUAUUUGGUUGUAGCCGAAGUAUGCGUCCAUAAAGCUCAAUAACUCGUGCCCAGCCGUGAAGUUUACUAGUUGAUCAAUCCUUCGGAGAGGAAAGCUGUCUUUCAGGCAAGUUCUGUUGAGGUUGGUGAAGUCGAUGCACACCCUCCACUUGCAAUUGUGUUUCUUUACUAAAACCGGUUGGAGACCCACCUCGGAUAGGUAGUGAAAAGGCUAUAGUUCGACCCAACCAACACCUAGAGGGGGGUGAAUAGGUGUCUAUGUGGAAUUUAACAAUUUAAUUAAGUUAUGCAACAAGUCACAUAAAUUAAACGUUGUCCAGAUUCAUUCACAUGAUUUAACUACCUAUGUUGAAUUGCCGGUUGAAUUGAAAUUGACAGAAAGUAAUAAAUAACAAAAAAAUUGUUGACGUAGAAAACCCAAUUGGGUAAAAACUCCGGGCACAAGCCAGUAGGGAUUCACUAUAGAAGACUCCAACUUACAGUAUGCCAGACAUGACUGUAUCUAACAACACUCUGACCUCCUUACUGUACAACCAAAGCUCUCCUGGAUUCUGCAGAUCUGCGCCAAAAUCCCAGCCUUGUAUUUCUUCUAUUUCUCGUGAAUCAACAUGAACUCCAGUUCUUCAAUGAACCUCCUUCCCGGAUCUUUAGUCAACUGAUCUUCUGGAAGUAGUGAGGAUUUUUGAUAGGUGUUUUGUUUGAAAAGUUGUUUGAUUUUUUUUUUCAAUGAAUCAUAUGGUGAAGAGUUUUGCAAUUGAUCCUUUGGUAGAGAGGAAAAUAUUGUGCUAUGUGUUUUGCCAAAUGUUGUUAAUGAAAAGCGAAAUUUUUGUUUAUAUAGUAGGUCGUUUUUGGUAGUAUGGAGCGUUUAAAAUUAGCGAGGAAGGAAAAUUACCAAAUGCCGGAUGACACUGUGGCUCGAGCGAAGUGCCGGCGAAACUCUAGCGACGCACUCUCGAUCGAGAGAAGUGGUGGCGAAACUCCAGCGACGCAGGUUCUGUUAUUUAGGCUCAAGCAAGGUCAGGGCGAAACUCUAGCACCAAUCUUGCGCUGUUUUCAUCUUCAAAGCAUCCAAUUUUACCCUAGACCUAUACAUUAAUUAUUGCAAAAUUGCAACACAAGUCCCUGAACUUUUAGCCAUUGACAAAUUGGUCCUUGACUUUACAAACUCGACAAAUUAGUCCUUUUGGUCACAGAUUGUCAAUUACAACAUUUUCCUAACAAACUCCCCCUUUGGCAUUCUGUGACAAAAUUACACAAGACAGUCAAGGACACAAAAAAAUGUAACUCAUAACGACCUAUUCAUUCAACCAAAGCAACUAUCUCCUGUCGAACCUGUUUCCUGAAAUAUAGAAACUCAAUACCAAGUGUAAAAGCACGUGAAAUGGAAACAGUAGAUAAAACAAGGAAUAGUGCAUAUGUAAUUAACUAGAUUAAGAAGCAAUAGUAAUGUAAGUCAAAAAACACCAAAAACAUACAUCAAUAUUGCUAAAACAUCAAAACUUAAUCUAGUCAUUAAAUAGAUAUCAAACCACAGUUAUAUCACAGUUAAUCCAAUAUAUCACAGUUAAAUUGAGAUUAAACUAUCUACUUCCCCUUUUUGUCACAAAUGACAAAGGAUCAAAAACUAAAACUAAAACUAAGAAGCAGUACCACCCGUACUCGGUGACUCAUCACCAGUCUCGUCACUCGAGCUCUCAUCCAAUCGAUCACAAAUCCAACGCAACUGAUGCUGACACACUGAUAGAGCACGCCGAAAUGAAGAAAGCUCAGCAGACUGAUGCUCUGAAGCAGCACGUAACUGCGUGAUCUCUGCCAUCAUACGAGCACGCUGCGCGACUAAAGUAGACAUCUGACCCAUAAGCGUCACCAUGGGGUCAGCAGGCAAGGAAGCCACCCCUGGAGCAGAAAUAGAUGUCGAAGGAAAGGCAGCUCGAAGCAGAACAGCUGAAGGAAAAUCCGAACGAGCCGGAAGAAAGACACGGGAACCCCCAGUAAGAAUAUCAGUAAUAGGAUCAAAGGGCUCCGAAAAAUCAAAAACAUCAACGGGCUCAGCCUGAGCGGCAGCAUGAGCCGAAGAGGACGGGACAUGGGAUCAACUCUAGUGAAUGGUCUACUGUCCUAUCGGGCGACCUAUACGAGUAGAAGACCCCUCAGGGAAAGAUGCACCAAGAGAAAGGACAACCCGAUGAAUCAAACAAGCAUAAGGUAACCCUAAACGACCCCCAGGAGUACGAAAAGAAGCUAGAUUCUGCUGGCACACAAAAGUAGGAAGGUCGAUAGAGUCCCCAUGAAGUAGGGCAUAUAGAAAACGAGCCCGUACCAUCGGUAAAGAAGAAGUAUGGGCAACAGGCCACAGGUUUGUGCACAUGAUGCACAACAAAACCUGUCGAUCAGUGGGUAAUGAACCCAUGGCCAUAGCCGUAGGCCCCCCAGUAGACGAGGUGUUCAAAAGAGUCGACCGAACAAGGGCAUCGGCCGAAAGAGAAGCAGGGAAAAGAUAGGGAUACGUCGGAUGAGGAACUGAGGUAUACCUAACGUAAGAGCUUCUGCAGACGGAGUAACUCGAAAAGAAUGACCUCUAAGAAAACUCCUAAACGACGACCUGUCCACCUCAUGAAUAUUAGCAUAAAACUCUUGAACAAAGAGUGGAGGCGGUGGUGUAAGACCAACAAGAAGGGGUUGCCAACCCCGGGAAACAAAAAUAGUGGCAACGUCAACAGGAAGGUCAGAUAAAAUUACCUCACGCUCCAUGAGAACGGGGUGUAAGGAGAAUUGAGACGUGAAGACCUCCUGAGCUGUAGCAGAAAUAAAUCGGGAUCUACUAUAAGAUGUCGAUCCACUAGCGGGCUGUGCAGAGGUACAAGAGCUCUUACGAGCCAUCUGGCACAUGCAGAGAUGAAAAGAAUAAGUAUAAUGUGAAAUGCACGCAUCACGAUGCAACAUGAUAUGAGAAGAUGCACACACGGAAACACAUAUGAUCCAAUCACAUAAAAAUGAAUGAAAACACACAUGGCAUGCAACGACACUCAAACAAGUAGGAAAGAAAUGAAGGAAAAGAAGGAAAUCAAAAAAAGUCAAAAGAAACCAAAUAAGCAUAAAAGUGAACUUUCAUCGAACACGUGGCGUGCGUGACUUCAGCACCAAAUUCCAAGCACAUACGAGACCCAAUCACAAAUCCAAACACAUCCCUACUACAUGCUAUGGACUUCACAAUCAAACAAACCACACAUCAAACGAAUCAACGAGGUGCAAGAAAUACAUUGAUGAACAUGGACCAAAAACUUAGAAAAAAUGUGAAGAAAACCAUAGGAAUGCACUAUAAUUUGGGAAAUGGAAAUCAAUACUUGAUACAAAACACGUGUACAAGCAAGAUGUAAUGCCAAAAUAACACAAACCAUCACAAUGAUCAAGAAAAGAAAUCAAACAAGCCAAAAAAAAUUGAAAGCAAAGAAAGUUAAGAAUUACUUAAAGAUUUUGCUAAGAAGUCAGUGUUUCAGACCCAAGAUUGUGUUAAAGAUGUCGAAUUGAGGCCAAAAAUGAAUUGGGAGUGAAUAAUUUCGAUGGAAGAAGAAAAGAAUUGAAGGAAAAAAAAUGAUGAAAUGCGCGAAAAAUUGAAACAGCCGCAUUUUAAAUAUAUAUGUCGCUCGAGCGAGACCGGGGCGAAACUCGAGCGACAUCCUUUCUGCUUUUGUCGCUCGAGCGAAGUCCAGGCGAGACUCGAGCGAAAAUGAAAUGUCAAAAAUAGCACCAAACAUUUGAAAUUUAUGAAAAGUAGCACAAUUUUGGAAAAUAACGAAAAUAGGUCCAAAAAUUUUUAUUUUUAUUUUCAGUUGUAUGUAUUAUUAUUUUUUUGUUUUUGUAAAGACAAACUAAAAAAUCGAUGAUGAAACACGUACCCAAAUAUGUAGACGAUACAAAUAAUAUGCACAAAAUCACAAACCCGACAUUCAGAGCGUGUAGACAAAUCUUAAGUCCACACAUAGUUUAAAAUCCCAUAAGUAAAUUUUAUACAGAACAUCAGCAUGAAAUGUGUCACGUAGUCCAUGCAAGUUAGACUCAAAACCUNNNNNNNNNNNNNNNNNNNNNNNNNNNNNNNNNNNNNNNNNNNNNNNNNNNNNNNNNNNNNNNNNNNNNNNNNNNNNNNNNNNNNNNNNNNNNNNNNNNNNNNNNNNNNNNNNNNNNNNNNNNNNNNNNNNNNNNNNNNNNNNNNNNNNNNNNNNNNNNNNNNCUCGUCACAGAUCAAGUCAAAUGGACAAACAACCCCAAUCACAGAAGAAUACCAUCCCAAGUCUCACCCAUGCGGUCAAGACCUACCUACAGGACUACAGUGUGUACUGUGCGAAAAUGCAUGACGAGCCGUAUACUAAGAACUCCACAGAAAGUGAGAACUACGAUGGAACCUCAGAUUCGUACAUAUGAUGAAAAAUAGAGUUUGAUCCUGAAUGCAAACAUCAUAACAUCAUACACGAUGCACAUAAAAUUUUUUAUUUAUUUUUAUUUUUUAUUUUAAAUUUCAAAUGCAAACUUAAUACUCAAAAUAAAAACUAAAAAAAUAACUAACAAACAAAAUGCACCACACACACAUUUAUCACAUACAAGAUAUGAAAUGAAUAAGUGUAGAUAUGAUAAAUGCAUGAAUAUGCAUGAAUUCAUGACCAGAUAGGCAAACAAAUACCAACAGCCAUCCGAAGCGACUCAAACCUCAUCCCAUCUAGUGGUUUCGUAAGUAGAUUGGCUAAUUGGUUGUCAGUAAAAACAUGAUCUAAGGAGACAACAUGUGUUUCAACAAGUUCACGAAUAAAAUGAUGUCGUAUGUCAAUAUGUUUUGUUCGAGAAUGUUGAAUGGGAUUCUUAGAAAUAUUUAUAGCACUGGUAUUAUCACAGAAAAUAGUCAUGGUCUCUUAAUUAAUCCCAUAAUCACUCAGCAUCUGCUUCAUCCAGAGAAGCUGAGUGCAGCAACUUCCAGCUGCUAUGUAUUCGACCUCUGCCGUGGAUAGGGAUAUGGAAUUUUGUUUCUUACUUAACCAGGCUACUAGAUUGCUACCCAGGUAGAAACAGCCCCCAGAAGUACUUUUUCUAUCAUCUGCAUUCCCCGCCCAAUCGGCGUCGGAGUAGCCAGCCAAAUCAAGAUUAGAAUUUCUAGAAUAGAAAAUCCCUAGAUCAACAGUACCACUCACAUAUCUAAUGAUGCGUCUAACAAAGCUUAGUAUGAUUCUUUGGGAUCUGCCUGAAAUCGAGCACACACUCCAACACUAAAAGCAAUGUCAGGUCUAGUAACUGUGAGAUAGAGAAGACUACCUAUCAUGCUUCGAUAUAGGGAAAGAUCUACAAUCUUACCUGAAGGAUCACGACCUAACUUCAAGCUAGUACUCAUAAGUGUCCUAGUAUGCUUCUUACUAUCUAACCCAAACCGCUUAACUAGAUCUUUUGCAUACUUAGACUGUGAAAUAAACAAGCCAUCCUCAGUCUAUUUCACUUGAAGUCCAAGGAAAUAACUCAACUCACCAACCAUACUCAGCUCAAAUUCUUGCUUCAAACACUCGGCAAACUCAUAUGCUAGAGACUCAAUAGGAGAACCAAAAAUGAUAUCAUCGACAUAAAUUUCAGCGAUAGUGGUAGUUUCUUCAAUGUGUCUAAUAAAUAAGGUCCUAUCAGCACCACCUGGAGAGAAACCAUGUUCCUCAAGAUAUGACGUAAGUCUCUCAUACCAAGCUCUAGGAGCUUGUUUCAGACCAUAGAGUACUUUGUGGAGUUUGUAGACAUAGUGGGGAAACUUUGGAUCAACAAAUCCUUUUGGUUGUUCCACAUAGACUUCUUCUUGAAGAAGUCCAUUCUAGAAAGCACUCUUAACGUCCAUUUGAUGUAGCUUGAACCCUAAGAUACAGGCAAUAGCAAGCAGAAUCCGAAUAGACUUAAGUCGUGCAACAGGGGCAAAAGUCUCAUCAAAAUCAAUUCCCUCAACUUGAAUAUAACCCUGAGCAACUAAUCUGGCCUUAUUCCUAGUUAUAGUACCUUGGUCAUCUGUCUUGUUCUUAAAGAUCCACUUAGUACCAAUAACGUUACAAUUCUCAGGUCUGGGUACUAAGAUCCAUACAUUGUUUCUAGCAAAUUGAUUGAGUUCCUCAUGCAUUGCAUUCACCCAACACUUAUCACUAAGGGCCUCUUCGACUUUCUUAGGCUCUACCUGUGAAACAUAGCUAGUAUAUGCUAGAUUGUUCAGUACUCUCUUACGAAGCCUCAUACCUUCAUCCAGAUCCCCAAUGAUAUUAUCCUUAGGAUGAUUAGACUUGACCCUAGUUGAUGAUUCCUUAGGGAUUGUGUCUUGAUCUUGUGGAUGUGUUUCCUUUUCAGGAGUUUCAGGAAUUUUAAGAGAUGAUUCAGGCACAAGCGGUUCAGUAGGAUCACUAGACCUUAUAAGAUUACCAUUUCUAUCAUAAUUUUCAACAUUCUCCCCCUCACUCACACCAUCAUCUAUCACAACAUUGAUUGACUCCAUCACAGUACGAGUAUGUGAGUUAUAUACUCGGAAUGCUCGACUAUUUCUAGAAUACCCUAAGAAGAUUCCUUCGUCAUUCUUAGAUUCAAACUUACUCAAGUUCUCUCUAUCACGCAAAAUGUAGCACUUACUCCCAAACACACGAAAGUAUUUGACAGUAGGCUUUUUACCCUUUAGAAUCUCAUAUGGAGUCUGAUCGGUUUUGGGUCUAAGGUAGACUCUAUUGAUUAUGUGGCAUGCAGUAUUAACAGCUUCUCCCCAAAAAUGUAAGGCUAGCCCCUUGUCAUAAAGCAUGGCUCUAGCCAUGUCCUGAAGAACACGAUUCUUCCUUUCAACCACCCCAUUUUGUUAAGGAGUGAUAGGGGAAGAGAAGUCAUAUAGUAUCCCUUCAUCCAUGCAGAAGCUCUCAAGAUUGAAAUUUUCAAACUCUUUUCCAUGAUCACUUCGCAUCCUGGAUACUUUGUGAUUGAGUUCAUUACUAAGCCGUUUACACAAAGAUUUUAUAAGUCAUGCAUCAGAUUUUUUCCUAGGCAAUUCUACCCAUGUGAACCUCGAGAAAUCAUCUACCACAACCAGAAUAUAUCGCUUAUCUCCUAGACUCUCAGUCCUAGAUGGUCCCAUUAAAUCCAUGUGUAUCAAUUCCAAGGGUCUUUUGGUUAAAAUUUUAGAAGUCUUUUUAUGGAUUCCUUUAAUUUGUUUACCCAGUUGACAUGGUCCACACACAACAUUUUCACUAGGACCUAUUUUAGGCAAACCAUCUACCAACUCCUUUUUAGCCAGUUGUACUAGACUCUUAUAGUUUAAAUGACCCAAUCUUUUAUGUCAGAGUUCACUCACAUUAAUUUUUGCACUCCUACACACAUAGUUAGAAUUAGGUAGGACUCCAUAACAGUUAUUAGACGUUCUAACCCCUUCAAAGACCACCCCACGGAAUGAAUCAUACACGGUACAUCUCUUUUCCACAAAGCUAACCUCAAAAUCAGCAUCACAAAUCUGACUAAUACUUAACAAGUUUGACUUUAAACCUUCCACAUAAAGCACAUUUGAGAUCACAGGUAAUCUAUGUAUUUGUACAGUACCUUUGCCAAGAAUAGGUGCAGAGCCCCCAUCUCCAAAGGUAACCAUAUCCCCAUUGCAUUCAUCAAGGGUAGUGAAUAAAGCCUUGUUACCACACAUAUGCCUAGAACAAGCACUAUCAAGGUACCACAUAUUGAAAUCUUGGGCUUUUAAUGCAACAUGAGCAACUUAGCAAUUUAGCUGACCUGAAAGUCCAGCUAGAUCCUCCUUUUUAACCCAAACUUUCUUAGAUGACGUGGUACUCCUAGUCAGCCUAGUAAGCAUCUCAGUCAAAUGACUAACCUGAUUAGUCAAAAAACUAACCUGACUUGGAAUAUUCUGAUUUCUACGCUCAUUACCUAACUUAUAACAUCUAGGCCUACUGUGUCCUAGAGCUCCACAGUGGUGACAGGCGGGAAUGAACCUAGGCUCAAAGGUACGUAUCUGUAGGUGUUUGGGCAUAAAAUUUCUACGUGAUUGAUGACUUUGUUCCCUCAAAACAUUCUUACCCUUAUUUGGACUGUUGACAACGUUAGACUUUCUAGAGGUAGAAAUGAAUACAGUUUUAGAUGGACCAGCACCAUGUAUAUUACCCUCAACAUAUCCUAGACCUUUCCUAUCUCCUGUAGGCUUAUUCAUUCCCAAAAUAUCAUCCAAUUUCUUAGUUCCACUUAUAAAAGUCUGAAGAUGAGCAUUAGAUUUCUCCAAUUCACUAGUUAAUGUCUUAACCUUGUCUUCCAACUUCUCAUUGACACAUUUUAACUCACUGACACUCUUAAGUGAAUUCUGGAGAUUACUAGCAUGUCUCUCUUUUUCUCUUUCAAGUUCAUCAACCUUUUUGAGUAGGGCUUUAUUGAUCUUUUUAAUUUUAAGACUCUCCUUGAACAAGAGUUGAUAGGCCUCAUGUAUGUCUAUGUCAUCCUCAUCCUCAUUAUUAGAAUUAUUGUUGUGAAGUUCUUCCUCAACCUUGUCACUCUCCUUAUCAGAUUCACUCUUAAUAGUCGACACAAAUGCCAUAUAGUUCCCUUCAUCUUCACUACUAGAUGACUCCUGCCUAUCACUGGUCUCAGACUCGUUACUAGUAAGUGAAACAACUAAGGCCUUACCCUGCCCUUUUCUUUGAUUCUUCUUAUAACUAGGGCACUCAUUCCUAUAGUGACCUAUACCUUGACAUUCAUGGCACCUAACCAAACGUGGUUUAUCACUAGAACUUUUAUUGUUAAACCUUUCACUUUUUUCUUUUGAGAAUCUGCUAGGGACUCCACUUUUUCUAUCUUGAGGCUUUCUCCUAUUCUUGAGAGCCUUUUGAAAUUUCUUCACAAAGCAAGCAAUUUCAUCGUCCCUCAGAGACUCAGUAUCGGAAGAUUCAUCCUCUUUGAUGGAUUUUAAAGCAAUGAACUUUCCUUUCUUAGGUUGUGUGAUAGUGAGUUUAUAAGUUUGCAAGGAUCCUACAAGUUCUUUAAUUUUAACUUCAUCUACAUCCUUACUUUCCUCAAUGGCAGUAACUUUAGGCCUAAAUCUCUCGGGCAAGGACCUAAGUACUUUUCUAACAAUUUUAGACUCGGGAAUUUUCUCGCCUAAAUUGAAACUAGAAUUAACAAUAUCAUUCAAUUUUGCAUAAAAUUCAUCAAAGGUUUCGUCAUCUUUCAUCCUCACUUCUUCAAACCUAGAAGCUAGUAUUUGUAAUUUCGAGUUCUUUGCCGUUUUAGUUUCCUCAUGUGUAGUUUCAAGAAUAUCCCACACCUCUUUAGCAGUUUCGCACAUUGACACUCUCCUAAACUCUUCGGGAGACACGGCCAUAAACAAGGCAUGAAGUCCCUUGCUAUUCCAAUUACACUCAGCUAUCUCAUCCUUAGUCCAUAGUGAUAUAUCAGUAAGGUUAACAGUUCCUGAUACGAUAGUGGAGGGAGGUUUCCAGCCAUUUUGCACACUCAACCAAACAUGCUCAUCUAAGGACUUAAGAAACACACGCAUUCUAACCUUCCAGUAAGCAUAAUUACUUCCGUCAAAGUACGGAGGUACAAAAAGUGAUUGACUCAUCUAGACAACUAUGGGUCAAGACUCGAGAUUUGGCUCUAAUACCACUUGAAAAGGCUAUAGUUCGACCCAACCAACACCUAGAGGGGGGUGAAUAGGUGUCUAUGCGGAAUUUAACAAUUUAAUUAAGUUAUGCAACAAGUCACAUAAAUUAAACGUUGUCCAGAUUCAUUCACAUGAUUUAACUACCUAUGUUGAAUUGUCGGUUGAAUUGAAAUUGACAGAAAGCAAUAAAUAACACAAAAAUUGUUGACGGAGAAAACCCAACUGGGAAAAAACUCCCGGCACAAGCCAGUAGGGAUUCACUAUAGAAGACUCUAACUUACAGUACGUUAGACAUGACUGUAUCUAACAACAUCUGACCUCCUUACUGUAUCAACCAAAGCUCUCCUGGAUUUUGCAGAUUUGCGCUAAAAUCCCAGCCCUGUAUUUCUUCUAUUUCACGUGAAUCAACAAGAACUCUAGUUCUUCAUUCAACCUCUUUCCCGGAUCUUCAAUCAACUGAUCUUCUGGAAGUAGUGAGGAUUUUUUAUAGGUGUUUUGUUUGAAAAGGUGUUUAAUGUUUUUUUUCAAUGAAUCAUAUGGUGAAGAGUUUUGCAAUUGAUCCUUUGGUAGAGAGGAAAAUAUUGUGCUAUGUGUUUUGCCAAAGGUUGUUAAUGAAAAGCGGAAUUUUUGUUUAUAUAAUAGGUCGUUUUUGGUAGUAUGGAGCGUUUAAAAUUCGCGAGGAAGGAAAAUUACCAAACGCCGAAUGACACUGACACUCGAACGAAGUGCCGGCGAAACUCUAGCGACGCACUCUCGAUCGAGCGAAGUGGUGACGAAACUCCAGCGACACAGGUUUUGUUAUUUAGGCUCGAGCGAGGUCAAGGCGAAACUCUAGCACCAAUCUUGUGCCGUUUUCAUCUUCAAAGCAUCCAACUUUACCCUAGACCUACACAUUAAUUAUUGCAAAAUUGCAACACAAGUCCCUGAACUUUUAGACAUUGACAAAUUGGUCCUUGACUUUACAAACUUGACAAAAUUAGUCCUUUUGAUCACAGAUUGCCAAUUACAAUAUUUUCCUAACAGGUAGCCUCCCUGAUAAAGCCGUUUUGAAUGAGCUUCUGGACCUCUUCCUUCAGAGCCUUGUACGUUUCAGGAUUGAUGGCUCUCCUUUUUUGUCUGUGUGGGGCAACCUUCGGAUCAACCUUCAGGUGGUGGCAAGUGACCUUAGGGUCUAUGCCUACCAUGUCCUCAUGCUUCCAAGCAAAGACAUCAAUGUUCUUACUUAGGAAAUCUUUAAUCUUUUCCUUCAGAAUGUUGGAUAAGCCCUUGCCUACUCUUAGCAUCUUGGAUGGGUCUCGGGGGUCUACCAAGAAGUUCUCAAGUUCCUCAACUAGGGAUGCUUGAGGUUCGUGUUCAAUUAUACGGGGAUCGAUCUCAUCAAUGACCAAGACCUUCGGAUUGGGUGGUGCAUUUAUCAUAUCGAUAUCUUCUGGUUCAGUGGGAGCGUUACCUCGGACGUCAGCCAUAACUAUAUUAGUUAUAAUUACAUGGACGUCCCGGGGCUCUACCUUUUUUAUGGAACUUAGAUAACACUCUCUCGACCCUCUUUGGUCACCUCUCACUGUUGCUACCCCAUUUUUCGUCGAAAAUUUCAUGCAUAGGUGGUGGAUGGAGGUGACUGCUCCCAAUUCCUUUAGGGCUGGCCUGCCUAAUACUCCAUGGUAAGCCGAUCGACUGUCGACAAUGAGGAACUCCAUGAAGUUCAUCGUAGUUUGGUGAGACUAUCCCAUCUCCACUGCAAGUGUUAUCUUUCCCCUUGGAGUGAUGCUAUCUCCGAUAAAUCCGUACAAAGGAGUUGUAGUGGGUGUCAACUGAUGAUCCAAUAUCAUCUUGUCAAAUGCGGAUCCAAAUAGAAUGUUGACAGAGCUACCGUUGUCAACUAACAUUCGCUUGAGCCCAUUUCGAGUUAUGACGGCUCUCACAACAAGUGCAUCGCAAUGGGGGUAGUGAACUCCUUCGACGUCUUCCUGGGUGAAGACAAUGGGUGGAACUUAGUUCCUCCGGGAGCUGCUAUCCACAAUGUAGCUUGCCAAAGGGGAGUGUUUAGCUUCCCGGGUGUAAUUCCUUUUGGCGUUUCGUGUUUCACCGCCGACAUAUGGGCCUCCAAAUAUGGUUUCUAUCUCGUGGAUAGGGGCCUCAUCCUGGGCUUGUCAGUUUCUUCGGUACCUGUGUCCUUCCAUAGGCCUCUCCGUUUCACGCUCCCUCCAUUGUGGGGAAACAUCCAUUUGAUGGGGAGCAGCCUCCUCACGCCCACGUCGGUUGUCGUACCUGGGCGGGGGCCUAUUCGCCUGGGGCGAUUCAUUUCUAUCCCUAGGGGGUUCUAGUCGGGAGUGGUGUGCAUAGUCUCGGUAAUCUAUUGUGUCGUGUCCAUAGGACCGGUGGUGUACACAGUAUCCCAGUGGGUUCUGAUUUGACCUAUUUCUAGGUCCCGAACCCUGGCCUCGGAGUCUCCUCCUAUAAGAUCCUUGUGGGGUCUCCAUCUGCUGGGUGUCAGUAACCAAGUUGAUAUCUUCAUACGCCAAGGUAGGAAUCGCGUUCAAAGUGGUGGUGGCAAGUGCUUGGCCAGAACUCUCAUUUCCAGCCUGAUUCAUUUGGUAGUCCAUCAGGUGGGAGGUCGGCCCUCUAGCGCGCUGCCUUUGAGGAGGUGGGAGGUCUCUACUUGCCCUGUUCCUAUGCUCAAUCAAUUCUUUAUUGAUGAUUUCCCACCUCAUCAUCUCUAGUAGGGCAUCAUAGGUGGUGGGAUCUUGAUUUUGCACGUCCCUCCAGAAUAAGGUAUUCAUGUUCAAACCUCCUCUUAAUGCGGAUAGUGCCUCAUGGUCGGUGACUUGCACACAGUACGUCAUCUCAUCGGUAAAGCGUGAUAGGAAGCUCUCUAGGGACUCCCCAUAUGCUUGUCUCAUAUCUUGGAGAUGUUGGAUGGGGGCCUCUCCCUCUUUGCUUACCGCGAAUCUCUUCAAGAACGUUGUCUUAAACUCGGGCCAGCUUCUUAUGCUCCCAGGUGGUAACCUGCUAUACCAAAUCUCAGCCGCUCCACUCAGUGUCAAAUGGAAAGCUCUGUACUUCACAGCUGGGGUGGCGCUCCUUAGGCUCAUGUGAGUUUUAUAAGCAUUCAAGUACUUCUCUGGGUUGCCUCUCCCAUCAUACUUAGGUAUCUUUAGCAUUACAUAGUAGUUUUGAACCUGGGCACUCCUUAGUUCCCUUGAGAAUGGCAAAUUCUCAUCGUCGUCGUCCAAGUCAUAGGACCUCUGCUGUUCAUCUAAAUCAUAUUCUUCGGCCUCUUGCCGUGGUUGUUGGUCAGAGGUUCCGGGACGGUUCCUAGCCUCUUCCUCCCUCCUCAGACGCCUAUUUCUUGGUGGUGCAAUACGGGGGGCAGUUUCAUGCCUUUUUUUCGGUUGCUGGGGCUUGGAGGUGGAAUAGGUGGCCUUGUCCAAGGCUGGUGAGUCUGCUGUUGCCUAAACCUUGGUUUAGCGGGGCUGAUUCUGUCAAAUACACUGCCUGCCCUCCUAUGUCUUGACUCCUGCUCAUAUGGAUGUGGAAAGUUAUCAUGGUUCAAUGGGACCUCGACGGGUUGGCCAAAAGCGUAGUUGGAGGAAACAUCAACUUCAACUUCCCUUUCAAAUGGGCUUCUACCUCGGCUAUAGUCCGGCGAGGCAGUUCUAUGACUUUGAAUUUCAUCUUCUUGCUGGUAGUGCCCUUGAGGGGCGUAUGGAGGAAUGGGGAAGUCUCCUUGGCCCUGUAUUUGGGCCAUGAUCUCCCUCAUAGCCAAAUUUUGGCUAGCAAUAUCUCUCAUAUUGGCCGCCAUGGCAGCCAUUUCUCUUGACAGCCAUGCCGUCGCUCGCAUUCCACCUCUUCUUUGGUGGUGGUGGGGUCUUUGCCGAGCUGCUGGGGCAGCGGGUGGAAGAGGCACAUUUGCAUUUUCUCUUACCCUUCUAGGGGGUGUGUUUUCGUUUGAACUCAUUUUCGUUUUGUCCGACUCUUCAGAUUUUGCUAAGUUGUGGGGCUUCCUCUUGUUCUUUUUCAAAAACAAAUCCUUUUUCAAGAGGGAUGCCCAAAUGCUCUUCAAUAAACUUUCACCACAAGGUUGUUCAUGGUUAUGGUAUGGUUUUCCACAGACAGUGCCAAUCUGUUGACCCCAAAAAGUGUUGCCAACAGAUGCUGGACCUACCCGCGCACACGUGAGCAAAGGUCCUACACGCUAAGACACGUGGACGAUCUAGAACGAAAGAAUCAGAGGCGUGGGAGUAGCUCAACGACGCAAGACGAGAACGUUCGAAAUUCGACGGUAUGUUCGUAAUCUGAUUGUACGAUAAUUACCAAUCGGUGCUCAUGCAUGUGAAUGUAAAUAUGUAUGAACUCAUAUUGUGUUGUAAGAUAAUAUGAAAGAGAGAGUAAAGUGUGGUUUCUUGUAUUGAUUCUUGCAUUAGUCCUUCAAUGUUAUACAAUGGAAAUAUUUAUAGUGUUACAUGUGAAAUGGCAGCCCUUAGAUGAGGUGGCACGUGGCUUCAUCUCUUUAAUUCAAACAUCCAAUCCUAGGUAUCAUCCUUGACUUGCUAGCUUACUGCGCAUUUAUUGUUUAUGCAGAACCCCCAUGCGAAUGACAAGACUUGACAUGUAUACUUAUGACAAACGUUCCAUCAAUCAUUCUAACAAGAUCUUUAUGUAGAAGAUCUAUUGGGAGAAGUGAUCAUGAAAGAUGUUCCUUCAUGGUUCGGGGGCUUUUGCUUCAGCUUCGGAUUUGAGGCUUCUGCCACUCACGUAGUACUUCAACUUUAGGGUUUCGGCUAUCUUCACAGGCCUCGAUAUAUGAGCCUCGGCUUGAAGGGCCUCGGAUAUACAAACCACCUCGGCUGGAUCGCCACGUGAUUCAGAUUGAGUGGGCCAUAGGCCCACGUAGGUUGGCCAAGUAUGAUAACACGUAACAACAUGCAAGCAAUACAAUCCUUUUAAAUAUACUACAUAGAAACAAUCUCCACUCCCAUCAACCAAAUAAACACAUAACAAAAGGGAAUAUGACCAAAAAAAAAAAAAAAAAAAUAGAAAAGCAAGAAGGUAGCUAUCAAGGAAAAACAAAUAUCAUUAUGCAAAUUGAAAGAUCACAAUGCUUGAGAACCAAUUAAAUUUUAGUAAAAGAUGAAUCUCAAUAACAAAUUUAUUGUCUUUCCUCAAAGAUCAUUGAGUACUGUUACACUAAACUCUCAAUACAAACGAUUCAAUCGAUUUUCAAAAUUUGUGCAAUAAAAUUUCUUGAAAAUAUCUGUCAGUUUCUUUACUAACAAAUACCAUUUUCCGAUCCUGGAUUUCGGGCCCACAAUUUAUUCCUGUUUGGUUGGAAAGUUUACUUAUAUGUACUUUUAUCCACAAAUUUCCCAGUUUUUACAUAAUUAAAAAAAGUAAUUGAGUAAAAAUCAGUAAGAAUCGGUUAAAAAGUUAUACAUAUUUAAACAUAAAAUCAAUAAUCAACAAAAAAAGAAGAAAAGAAUUUGGGCUAAAAAUUACAUGAAAAAACCCAAUCUAGAUAACCAAUAUCAUAAAUUCAACUUGAUAAAGCUUACAGCCUACCUUGAAACAAUGGAGGACGAGAUUUUCAGAAAUUAUAACAAGUGGAUUUGGGCUGGAGCUGGCACGGGCUAUAGCCCAAGCUAGCCGAGCAUAGAUCUACCCUGAUUGAGACUUUUGUUUUGAUUUAUUUCAGAGCUUUCUUACAUCUCAUAAGUGAAUAAAGCUUGAAAGUUUUGCAACUUGUCGGUUAAAGACCUAGUGCUAAUAUGUUUGGCUAAUCUUUAUAAAUUAUUUACAAUUAAUAAAUUUAUUUUCUAUUCACAUAUUUCAUGAGAUUCCUAUAUAUUACUAAUUUUCACCAUUAAUUUAUAAACAAUUACCUAUUUUGAUAUCAAAUUAGCGAUACAAGGUUCCACUCAGCAAGGCUCAAGUUGUGAGGUUUCAGUUGAGAUCAACUUAAGUUGACAUAGGGAUGUCAACGAGCCGAACUGGCUCGUGAGAUGAAACUCGAGCUCGGCUCGAGUAAAAGUUCGGCCAAAAAAUCGAGGUUCAAUAUGAACUUUCGGCUUAGACCUCACCAAGCCAAGCCAACUCGAAUUUUUUUUAUAAUAUAACACAUUGCUGCCUAUUUAAAAAUAGCUACAUAGCUACUCUUUUUUUCAAUGAGUCGGCCAGACGGGUUGGUUCAGGCUCCACCUGAUGUCCCAAAAUGGGCUAGAUGUGAGCCUUGAGUGGGGCCAACCGGGUUUUUUUUCGAGUCGAGCUACAGACGAUCCGAGCCGGCGAGCCAAAUUGCCAUCCCUAAGUUGACAAUGUCAAACUUUUGCUUAGUCAACUUAAAUUGGACUAUCAUUGCAUAGUAUACUGAUUUCUUAUACAGUGUUUUUGGUAAGUGGUAUUUUUUUAUGCAAUUUUUCUACAUAUACAAUUUGGUUGAUAACUUUGUUGAAAGUAUGUGAAGUGACCAAUAUUUUUGUCAUUAGACACUUAAAAAUUAAUGACACAGAUUUUUACACAUUAUUGAUUGUCAACAAAGUUGUAUAUAGCAUAAUUCUUUUUUAUACAAGGGCUAACAUGAGAGAAUGAGUGCCUCGAAUUAUACACAGUGUUUUUAGUAAGUGGUAUUUUUUAUGCAAUUUUUCUACACGUACAAUUUGAUUGAUAACUUUGUUGAAAGUAUGUGAAGUGACCUAUAUUUUUGCCAUUAAUUUUAACAACACUUUAAAAAUCAAUGACACGAAUUUUUACACCUUAUUGAUUGUCAACAAAGUUGUACAUAGCAUAAUUCAUUUUUAUAAAAGGGCUAACACGAGAGUAUGAGUGCCUCGAAUCAUAUGUAGUCCGUGGCACCCGCCUCCUAUUUAAUCAGGAUGACAGAAAAUCUUAAAAAGAGAUUUUAUUUUUUAUUUUUUAUUUUUUAUUUUUUUUUAUAACUUAGCCCCUGCUUGUCUUUUUAAAAUAUUUUGUUUAUUCUUAUACUUAUUUUUAACUAUAAAUUCAUACAAUAAAAUAUUUUUUUCAUAAACCAAAAUUUCUUCUUACUUUUUAACCACACAUUCUUCAAAAAAUUACUAUUCAAAAUAAUAAUAAUAAUAAUAAUAAUAAUAAUAAUAAUAAUAAUAAUAAUAAUAAUAAUAAUAUUAUUAUUAUUAUUAUUAUUAUUAUUAUUAUUAUUAUUAUAAAUAAUGACCAUCGACAAUGUAUAAGGAAAAAAAUUAAAAAUUUAUUAUAUUACUUUGUAGAAUAUAAAACUACUACAUGUUAAUAUAAUACUUCAAUCUGUUUCGAAAGAAUCUUACAGUAUUUUUGCAAGGGGAUAAAAGUAAUUUUCAGGAGAGUUAAAUAAAUAGUAUUUUACCAUAUUUCAAUAUAUUAGUGAUUACAUCAAAAUUUUCCUUUUGCUUAUUUAUUGAUUAGUAUAGAUAUUUGGUGUAUAUAUCAAUUUUUUAUUUUAUUUUAUUUAUUGGUUAUAGUCUUCAACUUCUUCUGUUUAAAGAGAUUCAGCAUCUUAAUUGAAGCUAGCUUCUCAAUAUUCACUACAAGAAAUAUGAUUUUUCCCGACCAAAAGUUUGGUCACUAAAUGUCGCAUAUUAGUCGGCAUUUCCAAUUCUCGACUAGAAAAUGUUUGUCGGUAGCUAGGACUGCCAAAGGCCUGUCAUUGAAUGUUUUUACUGACCAAAAUAUGUUUUAGUCAGGAAAUAUAGAGUUUUUUACUUACCCACAUAAACUUGGUCGGGAAAAAUACAGGUUUUCCUGACUAUUAUUUGGGUCAGUAAAAGUUUUGAAUGAAGUUACGAAAAAUAUAGGGUGACUAUAGUUUUCCCGACUAUUAUUUCGGUCAGUAAAAGUUUGAAUGAAGUUAGGAAAAAUAUAGGGUGACUAUAGUAUUUUCAUCGGAGAAAGUAUACCUUUGCCAACCAAGAAAUUUAGUUGGUAAAAAUAUAGCUCGACUACAAUUUUUGAUCAGGAAAAACAUUGGCCAACUAUAUUAGAUUAGAUAGGAAAAAUCUCCAAUAUGCCGACCAAGAAAAAUGUGAGCUAGUGAAUUUGAACCGGUGCAAUCCACAAUUCACGAAUGCGAUUUCAUGCAAUAAAUGUGGUUUAAUUUAAAUGAAUUUUAACCAACGCAGUAAUGAAAAGCCCAAUUCAAACACAAUGCGCCAACAAAAAUUAAAACCAGGAUGUAUUUGAAAUCACAACGCAAUAGUCACAAUUCAAAAGCCUUUAAGAAAGUUGAUGCAAGGCAAAAUACAUUUACAAGUCAGUUCUAAUUCCAGAAUGAGUAACAUGUACAUAGACAUAGUCCAAAACAAUAUCAUAGACAAUAAAAAAACCUAGUGAAGUUCCAAAAAAUGAGAAGAAUAGUGCAGUCCAAAAUAAAAUCAUAGGCAACAAUAGAAUUGAGUUGCAAUCUUGUGCAGUAGUGAGAUGUAAUCCUUGACUCUCAUUCUUGUCUCCCUCAAUUAUGUUCCUCAUGAUCUGCAUGCAAGACAAUAGGAAAGGAAAGUACUAAUAUUGUAUUUAAAAGUUAACGUAGAAAUUAAAUAUAAAUUUCUUAUUCAGGAGUUAACGUACAAGUCUCUUUCGAUGCCAACAUUAAUAAACGAUGAUAUCCCUUUCUCAACUUGAGCAUAUGUAGUAGUGCAUAUAAUUGACCACCGUGCUUGAGUAAUUUGAUAAAAGCGUCGUUAACUACUGAAUUAUUAAUUACUAUGUGCAAUAGACUUGUAAAAAUUUAAUCCACUGCUUUAUAGGUAUGCAUGUAAUAUGAAAUUUACGGACUACGUCUGUUGAGCUCAAUAUAAAAGCAACUAGCAAAAAUGAACUAUUAUUACAGAUUCAACAUCAAAGUUACUUAUAUACACUUACUAUCACAUAUUCAUAUAAGGAACAACUAAUUAAUGGUUUAACUAUAGAAAUCAUUAAAGCAUCCAAAUUAGUUUAGAGAGUACCUUAAUGGCCAUGAUUUAAUCCUCAACCUUUCGUUCAGAAGCCAAAACCAACAAACUCCAUUUAUUACAAACACACAAAAAAAAAAAAAAAAAAAAAAAAAAAAAAAAAAAAAAGAAAAGAAAAGAAAAGAAAAGGUGUUCAAAGGACUUUGAACCAAACUAAGAGACAGAAUCAAACUCAUUUCCCAGAAGAUGCUUCACACUAUUUAAACAAUGUCCAAUGAUUUUAAUUAAAAGUACAAGGAGGCUAAACUACGUGAAAAGAAUUCCAUAUUAGGCCAUCUGCCUCAUUUCAAAGAAUCUUCAGUUGCCAAAUUUGAACAUUAGAUUCACACCCCAUCUACAAUGUAACUGCAUCUUUGAUGAAGUAAGCAAUAAUUUGUUUCAUUAGGUAAUCAGAAUUGUUACAGAUUAAUUUCCAAUUCAAUGUUAUUGAAGCCUUUCAGAGAAAGUGAUUGAUGUUCAUGGGGAUAUCAAAAUAUCAUCUGACGGAAGCUUUGAAAUUUAAUGCAUAUCAAUGUAUAGUACUGAAUUCCGAAAUUGAUAUUCAUGUCAUAUGCUUCGAUAUAUUCUGCACAUUAAAAACAGUUGCUGGAAGCAUACCUAUCAGCAUCAUAUUUGUGCGAUAAGUGAGAGGAUGAGUUGUCAGAGAACAUACCACCUCUUACCCUGUGUCCAAAACAUGGGAACGAAGAAGUUAAAAUUCUGUAAGCUGUACCACCAUCAAUUCAUGUUCACUUGAUAAGUUUUAGGCCAAAUGCAAGUGGUGAAAUCUUCACAAGGCGAGAGAUGCAGUGCAGAACAAGAAGUAAUUUCCCCAUCUGCAAGGGCAUUUACUGAUGAAGAGGAAGUGAGACUAAUGGCUGCUCAUAGACUAUAUGGGGGAUUGUGGGAGUAAAAUCACAGAAGUUUCAACAACAAAAAAGGUCAGAAUGGAGAUAAAUGCAAAUGACCAAAAUAUAUGAUCUUAAGAAGUAAAGUAGAAGGGAAAUGCCAAAUCAGAGAAAGGAAUGCAUUUUCUGAAACGAAACAAGUGCAAUGUUAAUGCCAUUUUCCAGCUAUCAAAAGAAAUAAUAAGUAUCUUGUUUAAAUUCUUGUUAUACAAAAUCUAUUCUAGUGAACAGGUAAUUUGAUAAAAAUUUCAAUUUACUCGACAUCUUAUUCAACUGUGAAUAGACAUUUCCUAACUAUCAGAAUAUUCCAUUCAUUUAUAUCGAAGCUAAGUUUCUCAUUCUCUGUUGAACAUUCAUUUGUAUUCUAAAUGAGUUGCCUCAGGGUGUCAAAGUGAGUUGCAGAAGCUUUUAUGAGUUUCUCUUGAAGCUAUAUUUGUGUGUGUUUGCAAUUUAAAGGUUUAAUAACAUGCCACAGCCAAUUUAAAGCUUUAAUUAAGUGCUAAGGUCCAAAAGUUCAGGUGUUAUCAUAUUCCAUGGACAAUUUAAAGGUUUAAUAAUUUUUGGUAAUUGAAGGAGUAAAUUUUAGCUGCCUUAUAGACAUCUAUUGCCCGGAGUCAUAAGUUCAUACGAAUAGCGAGAUACAGACAAAUAGAACAUAGUAGACAAUGUGUAAGUAUUAUGCCUUAGGUCCAAUCAACUUUGGACAUAAAUACUUUUGAUAUAUAAUUAAUGCAAUUUAAUGACAGAUCUAUUAUUUAAUUAAUAGACAAUUAAAUAAAUAAUAGAGUCCGUAGAUUCAAAUCUUCGUAAUUUGUUAAUCACAAGGAGUUAUGAUUGUGAGAUACAAAUUACAUCUAAUUAAAUCUUAAAUCGUCCGUGGUCGUAAGUGAUAACGAGAUACGGAUAUCAUUAUUACGGAUAGACCAUCACGUGUGGCAUUUCUUACUUGUGAAGUAAGUAGCUGAUCUCACAAGUUAAAGUGUGGUGUCACUUAAAUGACACGUGGACGUUUUGUUAUAGAACAAAACAUUGGAGACCCGCCAAAAGAUUCCACAUGGAUAACUAUCUGAGUGUCAGUGGUUAAUCUCUAACGUUCGGUAGUGGAAUUGGUCCUUAGACUUGAGGUCGUCAUGGUACAUUAUAUGAGGACAAUCAUACUUUGGCGGUGUUGGAUGUUGCUCUGCAAAGGGCCGCUAAUAUGAUAUCGUUCGGGUACGUCAAAAAUCGUAUGAAGGUUGUAAUUGACCAAUAAAGGAUUCGUCACUCUUAGAUAGUAGGAGAUUAUGAUCUAUGUUUCAUUCAAUUAAGUCGAUAACGAAAUUCUUGGCCAAGGUGUACUCAUAAAUUGAAAAGAAAUUUUCGACUUAUAUUGACUUAAUAGUGGAGUGAAAAAUAUGAUCAAAAUUCGAGAUUGACACAAUUCCAUAUCUCGUAAUUGAUCGGAUUAUAUUAACGAAGGGAUUAUAGUUUCACGGUAAACGGACGAAUUUAGUUUUGUCAUACCACGUGACAUUUUGCAUCACAUGUAUUGCCCUGACACAUUGUUAAAUGUCAAUCAGGGACGACGAGUGUGAAUUGACGAUAAAUUAAAAGAGUGUUUUAAUUUAUCAAUUUUGAUUAGAUAAAAAUAAUAUUUCACGUCGUUAGACAUUGUGAUCGGGAACCUAAUGGGUCGUACACAAAAGAGAAUUGGAAGAUUGCAAAUUGCCAAUUGGUUAAUUUAACAAUCAUUGGAUAAAUUAAUUAAUUUGAUUUGUUAUUUAUAUUCCCGAAUUAAUUAAUUGGAUUAAUUAAUUCACGGACCAGAUUUAAUUAAAUGGAUUAAUUAAAUAUUGGAGCGGACCGGGUCAAGUCCGUUUGGGUUUAUAUAAAUACAUUGUUAAGGUUUGAGAUCUAAAUGUUUUUCAUUAUUUUUGUUGGCACAAGAGAGAAAACCUUGGUAGCUGCAAUCUUGUUAUCUGUGUGGAUUACCGUUGGAGGCUGAACAAUUGGACAGCUAUGGAUGGCGAAUCAAGAUUGUUGGAACGAAAAAAAUAGCAAAGAAGUUUGCAGAUGUGGAAAAUGUUUUCUUAUCAUAAUUUCUAUCUAAAUACAGAGGCGAUUCCUGGUAGGAAUAGAAAAUUAUUUUAAAUUUUGCUGUGCAUGUAUAAGUAGAUUCCCAACACAAUGUAGAGACAAAUAGGAUACAAAUAGAACGAUAGACAAUUGGAGCCCAUAUUACACUACAAGUUCAUAAAAAUAGAACACCUUGAGCCAUAUAUCAUGUAAUCUUCCCAUACACAGAACUUAAAAUGUAGAUAUAAGAAAACCAGGCAAAAAAAUAGACCGUCCAAACCCCCACAUUAGCCGAGCCCACUGCCACCAUUGCCACUGCAGCCAAGCCUUAAAUCCACAGUCCAACAGAAACGUAUCGAUUUUUUUUAUCAGAAAUCAAUUCAAAAUGCUCAAUAAAUACAUAAAAGAGAGAAAAGAGUUACCUUUUAGGAAGUGUAUUGAGAUGUGCAAAGAAAGAAGGAUUGAGGAAGAGAGACAGAGAGGAGGCAGUGUCGAUUAGGUUAGCAAAUAGCAAUUGAACACGGGAAUUGUGAGUAUGCGUGUGGGAAGGGGGGAUGACGAGGAAAAAUGGAAGUUUUUAGAGGAUGCGGAAAUUAUAAGCGGGAAUUGAAAUAUUAAGAUUGGGGGAAAUGAAAUUAAGUCCCUGUUUGGCAAUUAUUAAAAAAAAAACAAAAAAAAAUUGCACGUAUUUUUUGUUUUCAAAAUUUAUUAAAUUACUAAUAAAAAUACUUAAUAAACUGAAAUAAUUUAUAAAGAAAUGUUGAUAUUGAAUUAUUUUAAGUUAUUAAUUGUAUAGUAGAGAAUUGUAUGUAAUUUUUUCCCAUUUCAUAAUUUUAUUUCCAUAGAUGAAUUUAUUUGAUGUUUUAUUAAUUUUAUAAUAUUUAUUUAACAUUUUUAUUAAUACUUCAUAUCAUUGUGUUUAUUUUCAUUAUUCUUAUGAAUUUUACAUGAAUUAUAUUUUUAUGAAAUUACGUGAAAUAAUAGGUCGUCUGGAUAAAAUUGGUCAAUUUUAAUCACGAGUUUCCACUUCAAACCUUCUCUUUGUUGAAUACUCGUGGGAAAAAAUCGUGAAAUCACAAAUCGAUCGAAAUUGUUGGUUUGAGUCCACGUGGACUCACGAUUUUUUUUUUCCCGUCAAGCCGAACCAACCGUUUUGAAAAUGGUUUGGUUUAGGUUUCAAUUUUCAAAAAUCACAAAAAAAGAACCGAACCGUUUUAAAAAAUUUUAAUUAAAACAUUAAUUUUAUUAACUUAUAAAUUUUACAGUUUUCACUUUUCAAAAAAAAAAAACCAAUUUAACAAUACAAAUUACAAUCAUCCCGUUGAAAUAAUCGUAGAAAAUAAAUUAUGUUCACUUAUUUAAUAACUUUUUGAUUAAUUAGUCUGUAGUCUAUUUUAUCACGUGUUAAGUUUUAAACACCCUUCAUUUGAAAUAUCUAAAUUAUACUUCGCUAUGAAUAAAGCUAAAUAAUUCAAAUUUCAAUUAUAAGAUAAAAUGCUCAACAAAUUGGCUCAUUCAAAUUGUAUAAGUCUUAUAUGAUAUUCCAAGACAUGAUCGGCUUGUUUUGGAGUGAAAUUGAGAACCCAUAAUACUACUGUAGUAAUUAUCUUUUGGGGAUGGGCAUCCUUUUCUCGGAACUGGACUAAAACCAAAUAGAACCAAUCAGUUCGGUUCGAUUCCUCUACUAAAUGGGUCAACUUUGGGACCAUACGUCAAGAACCAAUCGAUUUUCAAUCCAAUUUUUUGGUACUAUCUUCGGAAUUAGUAGUGAAUUUGGUUCUCUCGAAUUUCUCUGUAUGCUUGCAUCAAGAUGCACUGGAUCUUUGAAUAUUAGACCCCCAAAUUAUCUCGCGUUAAGAUUUCAUUUUCCAUAUGCUUCUUCUUCUUCUUUUUAAUGGGUAAUCAAAAUUAAAAUUUAAAUAAUUUUAUAAAUACUUUACAAAUUCGUAGUUUUAAUGCAAUCUAAUAGAAAAAAAUAUACUUUAAUAUUUUACAAGAAUUCAAAUUUUCCAUUGUUUUCAAAGUGAUCGGCCAUUAAGAAUCAAGUUCCUGGAGGAUUACUAAAUAUAAUCAGUUUAUUGUUAUAUGAAUCUUUGUAAAAAAAUUUAUUAUUUAUGAUGCAUUCAAUAGUUUAUUCAUUUUUUCGCCUUUAUGAGUUGAUCUUGAGUUUUGGAAUGAAUUUUUGUUUGUUGCCUUGUUUGAUUGAUUUUUUUAUUAGAUUACAAGCAUGACAAGUGAUUUCAUACUCUUUUUUUUUUUUUUUUUUUUUUUUUAUCUAUUUCCAAUAUCACAAGUAGUUUCAUAUUUUAUUUUUAAAAUUUUUUCAAUAUAAAGAACCGGACCGAACCGUAUCGAAACCUAGACCGUACCGUAUCAGAACCAAUUGGUUUGGUUUCGGUUCGGUUCGGUUCUAUAGUUGGAUACCGAUUCUAAAUGGUUUCAUUUCAAAUAUUCCCAUUGAUAUUAAACAUGAUUUGAUUCCCUUUAGAAUCAGAUCGAACUAGACCGCGCACACUCCUAAUUAUCUUACUAUCUCUACAGGAGGUUGGAGAACAAUACCGAUUAAGUAAAAUUAUUUAUAUACAUCAUCAGAUUUUUUUUUCCUUCUAAAUACAUACGAAGUCAUCUAUUGGAAAAUCAAUCGAAAAAUUACUAGUCUAUUUUUAGCAAUGAAUUACCUUGGAUUUUAUCGAAGAAAUUACUACAGGUUAAAUCCAUUGAUAAUUUAAUUUUUUUUAUUUUAAAAAAUGAAAAAAAAAAUUAGUAUUAGUUAGCCACGAUAAAAUCCAAAAUUAUGUUGGUAAUAGCAAUGGAAAUUUGUCAUUGAUAAAUUUUUAGUAGUGAGAGGAUUGAUAACAAUUUCUUACCCUAACCAAAUGUAUUUUGGGUCUAAAAGUCCAAUUAAUUAUAGCAAUCAUAUCUCCACAAGAAAUUUUAGCCAAAAAUAAGAUAUUCACCGAUCCCCCUUCAUUUGGUAAGCAAUAAUGUCUUAUGUAGGACGAAUAAUAACUAUUUUGAUCAUUACAUGUUGUGGUGCCAUAUCCCCUCAAGAGAAAAAGCAAAAAAAAAAAGACAUUCACUAACCCCUUUCAUUUAAUUGGCAAGUAUAUAUGUCUCAUGUAUGUCGACUAUGAAUUAUUUUAGUCGGUAAAUAUCUAAUCGCUCUAUUUUUCACCAGAUAAUUUGGUCCCAAAAUUAAGAUAUUCGUCAACCCCACAAAUAUAUCGUGUCUAGGCCUACCAAUAAUUAUUUUUGGUUGGUAAAUGUAUAGGCGCCGCAGACCCUCCAAAUUUUUUUCCCAAGAAUAAGAUAUUCACUAACCCAUUUUAUCUAGUGGGCAAAUAUAUCUUGUCUAGGCCGAACAAUAAUUAUUUUUGGUUGGUAAAUGCAUAGGCGCCACACCCCUCCAAAAAAAUUGCCCAAAAAUGAGAUAUUCACCAACCCAUUUUAUCUAGUCGGCAAAUAUAUCUCGCCUAGGCCGACCAAUCAUUAUUUUUGGCUGGUAAAUGUAUAUGCGUAUGUCCCCCGCCAAAGAAAUUGCCCAACAAUAAGAUAUUUACCGACCUGUUUUUCUAGUCGACAUAUACAUCUCGUCUAGGCCGAUCAAUACUUAUUGUUGGUCGGUAAAAUGUUUAGGCGCCAUGUCCACCGCCAAAAAAAUUUACUCAAAAAUAAGUUAUUUACCGACUAGAUGAAAGUAGUCGGCAAAUAUAAUUAGUUUAGGCCGACCAAAAAUUAUCUGUGUUCGGUAAAUAUUAUUUUUAAUGACUAGUUUUUGGUGGGUCGAUAAACAGUGGUCGGCAAAGAAGGUUUUUAUUGACUACUUUUAUUGGGUCAGGAAAAAUGUGGUCGGCAAAAUAAUUGGUCGUCUAAGUGAUUUGUUUGGUCGGUAAAGAGGCAUUUUCAUCGACUAUUUUUUUGUUGGUCGGGAAAUCCAUAUUUUCUUGUAGUGAUUUAGUGUUAUAUCGAAUUGUCGAGACACAUUAUAUUUGAAUAUUUUAGUGUAUAUAUCAUUUCAGUAUUAUAGUCUUUUAACCUAAGAUCCCAAUUUCACAAAACAUGCUUGCUUAAAGUUAAAGUGAGAGUAAUUUUCCUUUAAGAGUUAGAAAUCACUCUCUAUUUUAAAAUUUAGUGCGGAAGACUUGAAAUUGACUCUUAAUAAUUUAUUAACUUGCUCUCAGUUAGAUAUUUGUGUUCGCUUAAACGAAUAUGAUAACAUUUUUGAAACAUGAAAUCUGAAAAUUGUAACAUGGAAUAUUGUUAAGCACUAAAAUCUCCUAAAAUUUAGAUAUUCUCUAUUUAUAUUCUUUCUUCAUCUCAUUUCGUAUCCUUUCAGUUGUAUUAUCCAUCCGCUGCAAAAAAUAAAAAAAUAAUGAAUCUUAUUAAAAUAAGAGAAUAUUAUGCUAACAUGUAAAAAAUGCAGUAAGUCCUCUGCACCCCAUAUAAUGAAUUUCUAACUCAUAAUAUUAAAAAAUAAUAUAGAAUUACGGAGUUUAAAAUUUUUAAGAAACGUCAUAUGACUUGCCUACACUAUGAAUGAAAGUUCAACCGCUUCACCUAUGUCUGCAUAUCCUCAUUUUUCUUCCUUUGUGAUUCUAAUUCAACUUCAAAGAUUUCAACCUCUUUUUCACCUUAAAUCACAAAAUCAAUGAAGUUGAAAGAAUUAUAUGCUAAUUUCAUCUUUACUGAAUGCCACUAAUUCUUUUAGUUCCUCCACUAUUAGUUCUUCGGUCUCUAUAAGCUAGCUCUUUUAUUUAGUUAUUUCCUCUAGUUGCCAUUUUGAGAUCAUGUUUAUUUGAUUUUCAAGUUUUAUUUAUAGACGUGUCAGUCGUCUGCAUGAAUUGAGAUAUGAUGUCCUCUAGUUUGAUUAAUGAUUCUUCCAAUGUGUUGGUUGGAGCAUCCGAACACCUCAUCCUCUAUAUUGUGGUAAUCUCCCACAGUCAUGCUUCUGCUUCUCCUCAUCAUCAUCAUCAUCUUGUCUUAUUUGGGCUCCCAUCCUAUCAAUGGUCAAGUAACCCUCCAUAGUCAUGUUAUUUUGAUCGUUCGAACUUAUUUGGGCUUUCAUUCUAUCGUACCCAAGUAAUCCCCCAUGGACAUGUUUGUCUUCAUCAAUUUUCACAUAAGGAUCAUCUUGGAAAGAUUUAUUUUGUUUAUCCUCUGUUGUCAAGCUUGACUCAUUGACUUCAACAAGUGCAUUAUACUUCUUUAUUUAAAAGUAAUUAUAGUUAAUGAGAUUCCCAUCAUCGUGUUAUCUUCAUCAAAGUUGGAAUCCCACAUCUUGAUUGUAGCUAGCCAUUGCUUCUUUUAAUUUUCGGUCAAUGAAAUCAAGAAAACAUCAACCGAAGAGAAUAAGAAAAAUAAGAAAAAAAUUCAAAUUAAAGAUAGAAUUAAUUAAAAAUUAAUUAAAUAAAUUUGUCCCUUGCAACGGCUAAAAUAAUAAUAAUAAUAAUAAUAAUAAUAAUAAUAAUAAUAAUAAUAAUAAUAAUAAUAAUAAUAAAAGCUUGUUAACUAAAAUUCUGUAAUUCUACGAUAUCGUAGUCAAGUAAUAAAGAAUGAAUAAAAUAUCGUUCUCAUGAGUACUAAGUAUUUAAUCUAAUUUUAAUUAAACAUAACUUUAAUGGAUUAUAAAGAUCUUAUAGAUGGAUUGAUGUGAUCUGGAAAAGUUUUAUUUUGGUCCAAUUUCUUAUUUUUGGUAAUUUAGAUAUUUUAAGAUUCUGUUUCCGAUUUUAAUAGAUUUCUAGGUAUUCUAGAAUUUUAUUCCAUUUAAACUCUAUUCUAGGUUUUUAGUAUAAAUAUGUUUAUUUUUCUACAUUGUAUUACAAGACUUUUAUGAUGGAUUAUUGAAUGAAUUUUAUUUCGAAGCUUUGCUUCAAAAUACCGAACUUAUCAAGAUUUGAUAUCUUGUGGCGUUCAAACAAAACAUCGGGUGUGAAUCAUUGAAUUGUGUAAUCAAAAGGUCCUUCGCAUCGCCGUUAUCGUUGGGUUGUUUGAUUCAUUAAUUCUUUGGGUCAAAUCCACAAAUUUUGAGAAGAUUUUAAGAUUGUGUGAUUAAGAAAUUGUUCGUUUCAUAUACGUUCGGUUGCUUAGUUCACUUUUGCGGGUCAAUUUCUAAACUUCAUCAUUAUUUGGGCAUUCUUGAGAUCCAUUGUCAAUUCCUGUGGGUUCGAUAGCAACCUUGCUAACCAGGUUCGCAUCAUUUGGUAUCAGAGCUAAGGCACCAAGAUCAAGGUUAUACCCAAUUUUUAUUUUAUUUUUGUCGAGUCCUUUUGUUUUUCGCAUUUUCUUUGUGUUAUUGUAAUUUUCAAUUUUUGUUGAGUCUUUGAUUCGUUGUCAAGUUUAAAAAAAAAUUACUAUUCACGAGGUACUGUUCACGAUCGUACGGUACUCGAAAAAAAAUUUCGAGUAAAAAAAAGAGAGAGAGAGAGAGUCAGUAAAAAAAAAAUAAAGUGUAAAAAAAAUGUCGGAAAGAAUGAUGAGGCGGUUUGAGAUGAUAAUUGAGAAUAUGGAAAAUAAGAUGGAUGUGAUUGAUUCGAAAUUGGCUAAGUUGCAUAGGGAUCAAUGUGAUGAGGUGCAAAAUGUUAGGAGACAGGAGCCUAGAAUUAAAAUGUGUGAUGCAUAUGGAUAUGGUUGUGGUAUUAAUGAGGUAUGUGGAUUGAGGAAUAAAUAUGAUAGGUUCAAAGGAAGGGAUAUGAGAGAUCGGCGUGAACGAGAGUUUAGGGAGAUGCCUAGGAAAUAUUAUGGGGAUUAUCCAGUGGAGAAGAAAACAUCAUUUGCUAAGUAUGAGGGUAGUACAUCAAGUAAGAGUGUUGGGCUGAAUUAUAAACAGGAAUUCUUCAAGAUUCUCGACAUUCUUAAGUCUCAAAUUAAUCAUCGGAAGGAACGGAAGGAGCAAGAGAGUAAAAGAGAAAUUAGUAGGGUGGUUGAUUAUGAGAAAGGAAGAAGAUAAGCCACAAGAAAGUGAGAAGAAAAUAGAAAGUGAAAGGGGCGAAGUGGUUAAAAUAGAAGUGGAGUCACGGGAUGAAAAUGAAGUAGAGUCUUUGGAUAUUGAAAAGGAGUUGGGAGUGAACUUGCAUGAAGAGGAGGAUAAAAUUGAGGAGGCGUUGGCGAACACUAACAUUUCCCUCCCUAUUUUUGCUAAUUCUAUUUUGCAGGUUAAUGAAGAUUCAAUUCCAGAAAUUAAUCAGAUUGGAAUCCCUUACAAUCAGGGCAUUAAUUACCAAAUGGUGGAUACAAUUCAACAACAACCACAUCCUAGUUUGGACAUCACUAUAUUACCGAAGAUUGAUUUUGUUAUCUCUAAGGAGACGAAGGAAUUUCAAAAGCAAUGGAAGGAAUUAAUAUGCAAGGAGUUGAACUACAAAGUCGAUAUGUUAGGAAACAUGCAUCCCGUGGAAGUAAUAUUGUCACCAUCACCUAGACCGAGUAAAGCAUGGAAAAUGAACAGUGAUUUAUCAGCUGAAAUCAUUCUUGGAGUAUCACAAAAUGGCAAAAAGAAACCGUCAAGGUGUACACACUUUGAUCUGUGUAAGGAUGAUUAGGUCUACAUUCAAAAGAGGAGAGUUCGAGGUCAAAAGAGGCCUAAAUUGCAUCCGAGAGGUGAUGGGCCAUUUCAUGUGCUUGAGUUCAUUGAAAGUAAAGACUAUAACUUGGAUCAGGAUUUGAGGACGAAUCCUCUUGAAGAGGGAGGGUCUGAUAUGAUCUGGAAAAGUUUUAUUUUGGUCAAAUUUCUUAUUUUUGGUAAUUUAGAUAUUUUAGGACUCUAUUUUCGAUUUUAAUAGAUUUCUAGGUAUUCUAGAAUUUUAUUCCAUUUAAACUUUAUUCUAGGUUUUUAGUAUAAAUAUGUUUAUUUUUCUACUUUGUAUUACAAGACUUUUAUGAUGGAUUAUUGAAUGAAUUUUCUUUCGAAGCUUUGCUUCAAAAUAUCGAACUUAUCAAAUUUGAUAUCUUGUGGCGUUCAAACAAAAUAUCGGGUGUGAAUCAUUGAAUUGUGUAGUCAAAAGGUCCUUAGCAUCGCCAUUAUCGUUGGGUUGUUUGAUUCAUUAAUUCUUUGGGUUAAAUCCACAAAUCUAGAGGAAAUUUUAAGAUUGUGUGAUUAAAAGGUCGUUCAUUUCAUAUACGUUCGGUUGCUUAGUUCACUUUUGCGGGUCGAUUCCUAAACAUGAUCAUUAUUUGGGCAUUCUUUGGAUCCGUUGUCAAUUCCUGUGGGUUCGAUAGCAAACUUGCUAAAGGGGUUCGCAUCAUGGAUUAUGCAUUAACAAACUAAAAUCUAUGACUAAUCUAACUAAGCUAUGGGAAGCAUUUUUGAAUACCCGUUUAAUGAACAAACACCACCUACAUUUUAAUAUUAUUUUCAUCUGUUGACAACACCUAUUCAAAUAAGAAGAUCAAUUUUUCAAAUUUAUUUAGUAGUAUCUUUCAAAUAAAAUUAAAACUAUCCUCACAUAUGAUCAUAUAUCUUUGUAAAGGAUGUGAACAUAUAAAGAUGCUUAAAUCACAAGAACGUCUAAAGAUCAUGUAAAGUAUAGAGGUAUAUCUCUAUUCCCGAUCAAACUUUACAAUGAUUUUUACUACAUGCCAAAUUCCUAUUCCUUCUACUGAAAUCAGUAGCUACACAACAAAAUAAAACUAAUGAUAUUAACUAAAUAACAUUAAUCCCCUAACAACCAUUCAAAAUCAAACAAAUGUUUAAUUUCAAAGACAACAUAUUGAAACUUAGGGUUCAACAUUAUCUUAGCAUCUAUACAAUUAGUCAAGCAUCACGUGAGUAUAUAAACACAAAUUAAAUAGUUAUAACAUCACCCAAUAAUGUUUGAAAAGAAGAUGGAAAGAAAUCUUAAAAUUGUUGAAUGUCUUCUUCAAUGGCUCCUUAAUCAACUCUAUUGAUUCUUCUCUUCAUCUUUGGCUAAUAUUAAGAUCCCACAAGCCUUCUCUAAUUUUAAAGUAUGUACUUAUUGGCCAAGAAUUAGGUAAAAAAUUGUAACCUAAUUUAUUUUCAAACAAAUAGAUUGAAAAGAGAAAGGAAACAAAUUAGGUUUGCCGGAAACAUGUUGUGCAUACGCAUAGUCCAUUUAGUUGCAAUCGCAUAAUCUUUCAAUCUGCUAAGCAAACACAAGGGCAUGAGCAUGCCUCCAUUUUCAUUUCAUUCCCAACUUCCUUCUUUUGGUUAGCUCGAGUUCUUUAUGUGUGCAAGUUUAUUCCUUUAUUGUCUACUCUUCACAAUUUAAUCAUCAUCAUUCCAAAAUUAUUAAUAAUUGUUAACAUGCAAAUUCUAAAAUUUUGUAAUUUAAUCCUUGAACUUCCAAAUUGUUUAAUUGAACCCCAAAAUUUGAUGAAUUUCUUCUGAAUGCUCUAAUAAGUCUUGUAAUUGAUCACGUGCUUUGUAUUGAUAAGAGAGCCAUUGGCCUUACGCUUGACUCAAUAUACCCACCUGCACUCAAACGAGUUUUGGAACGGGUGAAGAGGUAAAUGUGUACAGGUGACCUUCCGUAUUAGAGCAUUAAAUGUUGAACCAAAUAAUAUUCCAAAAUACAAUAUGAUACUGAACUCAAAAAGAAACCGCAGUGAUGAAAAUAUUUUAUGGAUAAAAAUAUUUGUACAUAAUUUUUUAUACAUAAGGGUAUCCACUCUUUCAUAUGGUAUGGAGCUCACUCAAAUAUUUUAUUCAAGUGGGCCCCACCCAUGUAGGAGGGGUGGACACCCCUUGUACCAAAAAUUAUAUACCUCUAGCAUUUCCCGUAUUUUAUUAUUUCAGAAAACCACAAAUGACUAAAGGAGAACGAAAAUUUGCAAACCAAGACUUGUGUAUUACAUAGUAUUUAUAAAAUAAAUUUGUCCCCUCACAGUAGUUGCUUAAAGAGUCGCACAAGAGUCUAUCUUCCAGGAUAUAGUGAUAAACUAGUAAAAAUUGACCACUUCGUUUUUAGUCCGACGAACUGAAUUUGUGUCACAACACUACCAUCAAGACUUAGAUGAAAUUGAAAAAUUUCGAGAAGACAGUAAGAAGAGCAUGAAAUAUUUUCGAGCAAACGGGAAAGAAAUAUGGAAUUUCAUGGGUUUAGAAUAAUGGGAAAAAAUGACUGUAUAAGUAGGCUCUAAUGGAGAAUUAUCAAGUUUGGAGUUAUUCGAUCCUUGAUUUGCACCUAUAAGUGUUAUACCCUAGAUCCAAUCAACUUUGGACAUAAAUGCUUUUUAUAUGUAAUUAAUGCUAUUUUAUUGCAAAUCUAUUAUUUAGUUAAUAUUCAAUUAAAUUAAAUAAUAGAGUCCGUAGAUUCAAAUCUUUGUAAUUUGUUAAUUACAAGGGGUUGUGAUUGUGAGAUACAAAUUACAUAUGAUUGAAUCUUAAAUCGUCCCUGUUCACAAGUAAUAACGAGAUACGGAUCUCGUUAUUACGGAUAGACCAUCAUGUGUGACAUUUCUAACUUGUGAAGUAAGUAGCUGAUCUCACAAGCUAAAGUGUGGUGACAUUUGAAUGAACACGUGGAUGUUUUGUUGUUGAACAAAACAUUGGAGACCCACCUAGAGAUUCCACAUGGAUAAUUAUCUGAGUGUCAGUGGUUAAUCUCUAAAGUUCGGUGGUGGAAUUGGUCCUUUGACUUGAGGUCGUCAUAGUACCUUAUAUGAGGACAGUCAUGGUUUAACAAUGUUGGAUGUUGCUUUGUCAAGGGCUGCUAAUACGGCAUCGUUCGAAUAUGUCAAGAAUCGUAUGAAGGUUGUGAAUGACUGAUAGAGAAUUCGUCACUCUGAGAUAGUAAGAUAUUAUAAUCGGCAUUCCAUUCAAUUAAUUCGAUAACGAAAUCCUUGGCCAAGGUGUACUCAUAAGUCAAAAAAGAGUUUUCGACUUAUAUUGACUUAAUAGUGGAAUGAAAGAUAUGAUUGGUAAUCGAGAUUGACACACUUCCAUAUCUUGUAAUUGAUCGGAUCAUAUUGACGAAGGGAUUAUAGUUUCAUGGUAAACGAACGAGUUUAGUUUUGUCAUACCGGAUAUUUUCCGUCACAUGUAUUGUCCUGACACAUUGCUAAAUGUUAAUCUGGACGACAAGUGUGAAUUGGUGAUAAAUUAAAAGGGUGUUUUAAUUUAUCAAUUUUGAAUUAGAUCAAAAUAAUAUUUCAUGUCGUUAGGCAUCGUGAUCAGGAACCUGAUGGGUUGCACACAAAAGAGAAUUGAGAGAUUGCAAUUUGUCAAUUAAUUAAUUUAACAAGCGUUGGAUAAAUUAAUUAAUUGGGUUGGUUAGUUAUAGGCCUGAAUUAAUUAAUUGACAGGCCAGAUUUAAUUAAAUGGAUUAAUUAAAUAUUGGAUCGGGUCAGGCUAAACCCGUUUGGUCUUAUAUAAAUAACUUAUUAGGAUUUACAAUUUAGUAGUGAAUUCAUUAUUCUUGCUAACACAAGAAAGAAAACCUUAAUCCUACAAUCUCGGUCUCUAUGUGGAUCACCGUUGGAUGCUAGACAAUUGGACAGUUGUGGGAUACAAAUCCAAGUUGCUGGAUCAAAGAUAUAGCAAAGGAGUGUGCAGAUCUUGUAAAAUGUGCAUCUUUAUCAUAGUUUCUAUCUAAACACAAAGACGAUUUUUGGUAGGAAUCGAAAAUUGUUUUAAUUUUCGCUACGCACGUUAAGUAAAUUCCCAACAGUGGUAUCACAGCAUAAUUUGUGUUUAUUAGAAAUUAUUUAACAUCUUUGUGGAAUCAAAAGUUGAUUAUUACGCUUUUCUGGUUAUUAGCAAUUAAAGAAAUUUGAUUUUCAUUUUGUUUGGAAUCUGAUAUAACAACAACAUCAACAAAAAAAAAAAAAAAAAAGGGGAAAACUGGGUCUGAACAUGGACGAGGCGACUGGCGAGAGAGGGCUCGCGUGGGGCUGCUACAGCGGUGACAGUCCACGCUGCGCGUUGCAGCAGCGACUAUCACUACUGCUGUUGCAGCAGCGCUCGUCGUCGUUGCAGGUUGCAGGGGACGAGCGCUGUUGCGGGUAAUGACAGAAAAAAAAAAAAAAAAAAAAAAAAAAAAAAAAAAAAAGGGGAAAACUGGGUCUGAACAUGGACGAGGCGACUGGCGAGAGAGGGCUCGCGUGGGGCUGCUACAGCGGUGACAGUCCACGCUGCGCGUUGCAGCAGCGACUAUCACUACUGCUGUUGCAGCAGCGCUCGUCGUCGUUGCAGGUUGCAGGGGACGAGCGCUGUUGCGGGUAAUGACAGCAACGCGAAUGUUGCUACUACGACGCAGCCGUUCACGCUGCCGCAGAAAUCUCAGAAUGGCGCUAGCCUCUCAAAAAAAAAAAAAAGGGGAAGAAAAAAGAGAGAUGCAAGUCCUAGGUUUUCAGAUUUAGGGUUUCUGAAAAUGGGUGGUUGAAUGUAGACAGGGGCUUAAGCUGCAAUUUGGGAAAUUGUUGGCCCUUGAAUGCAAUUAUGUAAAAGGAGGUCAUUGUGCAACUUUAAAUAAAAGGGCUUCUGUGUAAUUUAUAGAUUUCGAGGACCCUGCCAUUAAUUUGAAACUUGGGUCAAAUUGCAAUUUUCAAAAUGGUUUUGAAUUUGAAAUUUAAAUUGGUUUUAAAAUUAUUUUUAAAAAAGGGUUUGACCCUAAAAUUUCUAUUUUGACCCAUUUUAAGUUUUAUUUAAAAUUGACGACUUUUUAUAUUUUCGUUAAAAUAUGAUUUUAGCUUAAAUAUUAAAUUAGACCCUAAAUUGAAUUUUAUUUUAUUUAGGAGUUUUAUCCUAAAUUAAAAUAUUAAUUCAAUUCAAAUUAGAGUUGGACUCUAAUUUAAUACUUAAUUAAAAUUUAAUUUUAAUUAAUUAUUCACCCAAAUAUUCUAGAAAUUAGAAUUGGAUUCUAAUUUAACAUUUAAUUAAAAUUUGAUUUCAAUUAAAUUGUCUUACCCUAAAAUUUUCCCUCGAAUUAGAAUUGGACUCUAAUUUAACAUUUAAUUAAAAUUUGCUUUUAAUUAAAUAAUUCACCCUAGCAUUUCUUGAAUUUAGAAUUAUAUUCUAAUUUGACAUUUAAUUAAAAUUUGAUUUUGAUUAAAUUGACUCGCCCUAAAUUUCUUUUUGAGAUUAGAGUUAGACUCUAAUUUGACAUUUAAUUAAAAUUUGAUUUUAAUUAAACGAGUUCAUUCUAAAAAUCUUGGAAUUAAAGUUGGACUCUAAUUUUGCUGUUUAAUUAAAAUUUGAUUUUAAUUAAAUUUAACUGCCUUAAAUUUUGAAAUUAGAGUUGGACUCUAAUUUGAUAUUUAAUUGGAAUGUGAUUUUAAUUAAAUAGUCCUGCCCUAUAAUUGUGUAGAGUUGGACUCCGAUUUGGUACAUUUAAUUAAAAUUUGAUUUUAGUUAAAUAUGCCUGCUGAUUAAAAUAAUUGAUUAAUAUGAUUAAUUAAUUAUUUAAUUGUUCCGAUUCAUUUGUCUAAAAUAGUUUAGAUGACCUUAAUUGUUAGAAACUUGAAACAUGUCAGUAUAUAAUAUUAGAUAUUAUAUAUGCAUACAUUUAUUUGAUAAAUGUAUUAUUAGUGGACGAUUAUGGACUCGACCAUGUGGAUGUGUUAAAUGGUUAAUUUUAUUUUUGUCGUUUUAUGGGCCGAGAGCUCUUAAUCAUUCUGGAUCUACGAGUCCGUUAUUGUUAUAGUUAUUAUGGGCUUGCGAAUCUAAUUUUAUUUAAGCCUGCGUGCCAACUAGUAUAGGAUACAUGUUGCAGCUGCACUAAUUGAAGAAACAAGAAGAGGAGGAAACCAUGGAGAUGGACCACUGUAUGAGUCAAUACUAUACCCCUAGGAAUUGACCAACUAGUCUUCCUUAUGGCUCGAGAAGACUAGAUAGUAAAAAUUCAUAAUCGUCCACACUAUUAUAUUAUAUAUAUGUUUAUUUGCAUGGUAAAUGUAUAAUAUAAUAUAUAUGAUUGUUACGAUAGGACUUUUGAAUGCAAAACACCUCAAUAAAAUAUUAAGUCACAUUUAUAAUUAUCUUCCAUCAUUAUAGUGAAAAAUUAGAGUCCCAAAUCAUCUCAACUUAUUGAGUACACUCAAAGCUAGUCUAUUAGGGAUAUAUUUGACACUAUGAAAUAUUUGAUAUUUCUGAAUGACGAGUUUGACUUAACUAAAAUUUAUUUUUUGUUGAGUAUUCUCAAGGAGAAAAAUUUUAUAGACAUGUUAAGCUAACACAUAAGAUGUGUAAAGACAAAGAGUUGUCAGCUUAAUGAUCUGGGAGUUGUAUGAAAAUACAAUUGAUAAUAGUAUCUACCCAAAUGUUUUAUUAAAAUCAGUUGAGUACACUUAAGAUCUUAAUAUAACAGAUGGGAUCCCAGCCCACUGGGGUCAAGUCUGGACUCCAUAAAUUUAUGUGAGAGGGUCAUAAGUUUUAGUUAAACAGUGGGAGCAUAAUUAAUUUAACAAAAGUCCGUGUUAAAUUAAUUGAUGCAUUUUAUAUAUUAUUCUUUUCUUUUUCGUCAUUUAUAUUUAUAUUGAAUCUUGAGUAACCAUAUGUUUGAAUGGAAUACUGGAUGUUAACAACCAAAUUAAAUUUUCUUGAUUAGCAUCACAACUUGAGAAUUGUUCUCAGGCAUAAGAAAAUUGGUUAUGUUCUUGAGUAACCCUUUCCAGAGACACCUACUGAUGACUCGAUCAAGGAAGAGGUGGCUACUGUAAUAAACACAGUGAUGACGGUAGUACCGCACACAUGUGAUGCUUGCAACUAUGUCACAUGAGUUACAAAAUCAACUUGAGAGUAUAGAUAUUAACAUAUAAUUCUUCAUUACAAGGAGUUGUAUGAUAAUAUUCAUGUGUGGAAGGAUAUGAGACUUCUAAACAACUAUACCGGUGCAAAAUGACAGAGCAAUCUUCGAUCGGUGCUCUUGUACUGAAGAAGAUUGUCAUUGAGAGGUUGUCUCAGUGAGGUUCAGUCAUGAACUACGAACUAAGUAUUGACUUAGUUUUGUAAUCUCUGUUAGAGAGUUAUUCAUACUAAUUAUAAAUUAUGAUAUGAAUAAAUUCGAAUGCACGCUCAUUGAGGUCCUUGACAUGCUUAGGACUAUUUUGCCCAAUAUCAAAGUUACAAGUGGGCAAGCCAUUGAUUCCUCUAAGGGUAUUAAGAGAAAGUCUAAAGGAGCUUUGGGAAAGCGUCCAAUAUGGCUAAGACCGUCAAAGCGAAGGACUUAGGUAUUUGAUACUAGAUGUAAAUCUCAUAUUUAUACAAAUAUGGAGAAACUAAAUAGAAGUAGACCACUGCGAAAGGGAAAAGUUGACCUACACGUUGAAGUUAAGCAAAUGUUGUUGCAUUGCUUGUAGGAGCAUACUUCUUGCCGUUGCUUUUUGACUUAGUAUUGGAAUUAGAGAAAUGUUCCUUUGUACCUGCCAUAGCCGAAACAUUAAAUGAAUUUCAUGUUUGAACAUGAAAUAUUUUAAUGUUAAGAACAAUUGUUGUUUAUGCCUAUCUUGAUUAAGAUCUUUGUGGUAUGGUAAGCUACAAAUAACAUUUAUAUUCUGAAUACUAAGCAUUCUAUAAUGAGUAUAGAAGUUAAAGGGCAUAAAAGUGAUAAUCUAAAUAAUACUGAAAUCUGUGAUGCAGACUUGGUCAUAUAAAUGAAAUGCAAUUCCAAUAUUAUAUAGAGAUGUGUAUGUGGAAUCAAUUAAUUUUAAAUCAUUUGAUAAGUGCAUAACAUGUCUGUUUGCCACAAUGACCAAAAUCCCCUUUUACUUGAAAAGGAACAAGUCUGCAUAAAUAUUGACAUAAUACAUAGUGAUAUAUAUGGAUCCAUGUCAAUUAAUGUCAGAUGAGAUUUCUCUUAUGUCAUCAAUGAUCAUAUAUACUUGAUGAAAUUCAAGUAUGAAGUUCUUGAAAGGUUCAAAGGAUUCAAACUGCAAGUAGGGAAACAAAUAGGUAGAGAUAUUCUCGCAUCAAGAUCCGAUCGAGAUGAAAAUAUCUUAAAGAUAAAAAUUUAGAUUAUCUAAUAGAGAAUGAGAUUCUCUUGUAGUGAACUCCUCCAUAUACACUGCAACAUUGUGGCGAAUUUCAACGGAGGAAUCGCAAACUAUUAGAUAUAGUCCAAUUAAUAAUGAGCUAUGCAAAUCUCCUAAAAUCAUUUUGAAGUUAUGCACUGAUCGUAGUGUGCUACACACUAAAUCAUGUCUCGUCUAAGUUGGUUAAUAGAACUCCAUAUGAGCUAUGGAAAGGCAAUAGUCAUAACUUAUUUCAUAUAAAAGUUUGGGGCCGUCAUGCUUAUUUGAAGCGCAUUGAGUCAGAUAAACUUGAGCAUAUAUAUAUAUAUAUAUAUAUAUAUAGCAGUGUGCUGUACACUAAAUCAUGUUACAUCUAAGUUGGUUAACAGAAUUUCGUAUGAGCUGUAGAAAGGUAAUAGUCCCAACUCAUCUCGUAUGAAAAUUUGGGAAUGUGACGCUUGUCUAAAGCGCAUUGAAUUGGAUAAACUUGAGAAUAUAUAUAUAUAUAUAUAUAUAUAUAUAUAUAUAUAUAUAUCCGAUGAAUACAUAUUUGUGGGAUAUCCAAAGCAGAUAUUUGGGUAUCAGUUCUAUUAACCCAUUGAGAAGAAAGUUCUCGUCUCACGACAUAUCGCCCUCUUAGAGAAAAUGUUUACUCUAGAAGAGGACAGUGGGAGCAAAUUAGAACUUGAAAGAGUUCAAGAGUCCACAAAUAUAGUUAACCAAGUAGGUGAAUCCAAAUUUGAUCCCAUAUUUGAUAUGGGACAUAUUCUUGAUCAGGAAGUAGAUACUCCUGAGCACAUGACAACUCUAUUUAAAUCUAGUGGGAUCAUUCGACCUUGAAGAAGGUAAGAAUCCAUGAUUACUAAUCAGGUAUUACUAAUCCAGGAUAAUGGACCUACUAAUUGCACAAAAGUAAAGUCAAAUGUUGACUUAAAAAGGUAGUAAGAGGCCAUGAAACCUGAGAUAAACUCGACAUAUGUGAACAAGGUUUGGACCUUUGUCGACCCUCUUGAUGAGAUAAAGCCCAUAGGUUGUAAAUGGUUUACAAUAAAAGGUUGACAUGAAUAUUUAUAUAUACAAAGCAAGGCUAGUAGCAAAAGGUAACAAACAAAGACAAUGGAUUAGCUUUGAUGAAACCUUUUGCCUGUAGCCAUGCUGAGGUCCAUUCGAAUUUUGGUUGCAAUAGUUGUAUACCAUGCCUAUGGGUUAAAACAAAUCUCUUGGAGUUGAAAUCUUCGAUUUGAUGAAAAAAUCAAAAUGCUUGAUUUUAUCAAAUAUGAAGACGAAUUGUGUGUUAGCAAGAAGAUAGUGGGAGCAUUGUCACAUUCCUGAUAUUAUAGGAAAUGACAUUCUUAAGUUUCAAUCGUUGGAAUAAUGGUUGUUAAAAGAUUUAUUCAUGAACAAUAUGAGGAAGUAACUUGAUCUAUAGAGAUAGAUCUAGAAAAUUGUUUAACUCAUCCCAAUCCACAUAGAUAAAAUUUUGAGAAGAUUUAUAUUGAGAAACUGGUUUACUCUUAAGCAAUAUAUUGGAAAGGUUCCAAAUGUAAAACAACCGUUGGUUCAAUAGCAAAAACCUGAUAUAUAAUUGCUUCAGAAGUAGCAAAGAGGAUCAAGAUGUUCAUUAAUGUACUUGAGAUAAUUCCUAACAUUGUUGAUCACAUGUUAUUGUAAUAACAAUAGAGCAGUCGCAAAAGCGAAGGAACUAAAGGUCUCAUUAAUGAUCCAAACAUGUAUUAAGGCUGUAUAAUCUCAUCAAAGAGAUAAUUCAUAGAAAUGACGUAAAGAGAAGAACGAAUUCCCACAUUUGACAAUAUUGCAGAUCUACUAACAAAGAGUUGUCGUAGCAUAAACAUGAUUGUCAUGUAGACUCUUAUGAUAUUGGAUACAUAAGUUAUUGGAUCUAGUGCAAGUGGGAGUUUGUAAGUGUUAUGCCCUAGAUCCAAUCAACCUAGGACAUAAAUGCUUUUUAAUAUGUAAUUAAUGCAAUUUUAUGACAAAUCUAUUAUUUAAUUAAUAUUAAAUUAAAUUAAAUAAUAGAGUCCGUAGAUUCAAAUCUUCGUAUUUUGUUAAUUACAAGGAGUUGUGAUUGUGAGAUACAAAUUACCUAUGAUUGAAUCUUAAAUCGUCCGUUGUCACAAGUAAUAAUGAGAUACGGAUAUAUUACGGAUAGACUAUCACGUGUGGCAUUUCUCACUUAUGAAGCAAGUAGCUGAUCUUACAAGCUAAAGUGUUGUGACACUUAAAUAAACACGUGGAUGUUUUGUUAUAGAACAAAAUAUUGGAGAUUCACCGAGAGAUUCCACAUGGAUAACUCUCUGAGUGUUAGAGUUUAAUUUCUAACGUUCGGUAGUGGAAUUAGUCUUUUGACUUAAGGUCGUCAUAGUACCUUAUAUGAGGAUUGUCAUGCUUUGACAAUUUUGGAUGUUGCUCUGCCAAAGGCCACUAAUACGGUAUCGUAUGGGUAUGUUAAGAAUCGUAUGAAGGUUGUGAAUGAUCGAUAGAGGUUCGUCACUUUUAGAUAGUAAGAGAUUAUAAUCGGCAUUUCAUUCAAUUAAGUAUAUAACGAAAUCCUUGUCCAAGGUGUACUCAUAAGUUGAAAAGGAAUUUUCGACUUAUAUUGACUUAAUAGUGAAAUGAAAGAUAUGAUUGGUAAUCGAGAUUGACACACUUCCAUAUCUCGUAAUUGAUCAAAUAAUAUUGACGAAGAGAUUGUAGUUUCAUGGUAAAUGAACGAGUUGCCACGUGACAUUUUCCGUCACAUGUAUUGCCCUGACACAUUACUAAAUGUUAAUAUGGGGCGACAAGUGUGAAUUAGUGAUAAAUUAAAAGGGUGUUUUAAUUUAUCAAUUUUGAUUAGAUCAAAAUAAUAUUUCACAUUGUUAGGUAUCGUGAUGGGGAACUUGAUGGGUCGCACACAAAAGAGAAUUGAGAUAUUACAAUAUGUCAAUUAAUUAAUUUAACAAACGUUAGAUAAAUUAAUUAAUUGUGUUGGUUAUUUAUAGGCUCGAAUUAAUUAAUUGGAUUAAUUAAUUCGCGGACCGAAUUUAAUUAAAUGAAUUAAUUAAAGGGAAAAAUUCAUAUUUAAGGUGUAUUCUUUACACCAUUUCAAAAUUCAGGUAAAAUGUUUGAAAAUUCAAAAUUCAGGUUUAGAUUUAAUUAAUUAAAAAUAUUUAUUAAAUAAAUAUAAUAAAGUCACGAUUAAACAAUUAAUGGUCACAGAUUUUUUUAAUGGUCACAUAUCAUCAAGUUAAUUGAUCACAUAUUAUUUUGAGGUCACAAAUCAAAAAUCUUGUAUGUCACAGAUUGUUUCGAGGUCACAAAUUAAAAACUUUAUGGGUCACAGAUUAUUUUUUAGUCACAGAUCAUCAAAUUUUAAGGUCAGAGACCAAAUCGUUGAAAUCACAUAUUAUUUUUUUAGUUACAUACUAUCAAAUUUUAAGGUCACAGACCACCGACAAUCAACCCAAACCACCAACUUGUAUCACCACAAUCGCCGCCACCGCACACUACACCAACACCCUAGCAAACACCACCACCCACAUCAUACCAACAGAAUUGGCUUCCACCCACAUUGUACCAACAAAACCUCACACAUACCACAGAUCAGCCACCUCCACCACCUGCGUCAAAACCAUCACCACCACCGUCCUACCUAGAUCCAUUGCACUCGGCACUGCACGAAAUCACCAAAGCCACCCACAUCCACGCUGGACAGAGAAAUCGUUUGCAGACCACCCCCAAUCGUUGAAAUCAUAGAUAAAAAAGGCAGUAGUUGCGCCAGAUCCACCACGGCACCAUCGCAAACACCACACAAAACACCAUCCAAACCUUGCGGUAGUGGUUCCUGUGCUGCGUCGAAGUGGCGAAGCGCCUCAAAACGACGAGCGACCGUCGCUACAAAGCACCUCAAAACGGUGAGUGAGAAAAACGAAGCAACGACGUGAAAGGUGAAGAACCACUGCGAGACGACGUGAAAGGCUCUCUCCGGCUGUGGGCGGCGGCACCAUGGGUUGACAGGAGAAAGUGAGGAGAGAAGAUGCUGAUUGCUGUGUGAAAUGAAUUUUAGGGCUGAAUUGGGGAUGAAAUAUUUUGUAUUAAUAUUAAUAAUUAAAUUCAUACCUGAAAUCUGCAUAAAAAACCAUCUCACCUCAUAUUUGCACUGAGAUCUUUAAAAGUCGGGAUUUUUGUAAUUUCCACUUAAUUAAAUAUUGGAUCGAGUCAGCGGGCUUAUAUAAAUAACUUAUUAGGGUUUACAAUUUAGUGGUGAAUUCAUUAUUCUUGCUAGCACAAGAAAAAAACAUUAAUCCUGCAAUCUUGUUCUCUGCGUGGAUUACCGUUGGAUAUUGGACAAUUGGACAGCUCAAAGAAACAGAUCGAAAUUGCUGGAACAAAGAUAUGGCAAAGGAUUUUGCAGAUCUUGUAAAAAGUACAUAUUUAUUACAAUUUCUAUCUAAACACAAAGACGAUUCCUUGUGGGAAUCAAAAAUUGUUUUAAUUUUCGCUGUGCAAGUUAAGUAGAUUCCCAACAGCACCCUCCCUGCAUACACGUGGAAAGAGCCUCUAUGCUAUAUAUAAUUACACAAUUUUAAAGUGUAGUUGUAUAUAAGUAGUAGUAUUUGUCUUUUUAAUUUUCCUAUAUUAGACAAAUUUAAAUAAGUUUUCCCUCCAACACAUUAAUCUCUUCCAGUUCAUCACUGUGAGUUUCAAUCUCUCAUUCACUAGUCUAUCGUUUUUGGCAAGUAAAUAUAUGAUUUUGAUAUCCUCACGGAGGAAAACACAAAUCAAUUUUAAUCUUUCAAAAUGAAUGAACGAAUCUCACUCAAAACUAUGCCAAAAAUUAGCCCACUCAAUCAAUUUUUCCAACAUUAAAUUCAUUAGACAUGGCUUGGCGCCAUUGAAAAACUUUGAGGACCCGAAGUAAAGUCAUUUACGUACAAAUAAAGCUUCAAAGCCUAGGCUAACAAGGUCUUAAUACCAUGAUAUUUUAAACCAACCUGCCAUUGUCUUAAAUUGCACAUUCAAUGUUUAAGAAAGGUGCGGCCUACUUAAAUUGUCUUACAUUAAUGGUUCAACGUUCAUUAUCCAUUGUCCAUUUUCUUAUCUAUAUCAUAUGCAGCCAGAACGUGUCACAACCCUUUUAACAUUGGUUACAAUCAUAGAUAGCUUGUUAAAUUAAUCUUUUCUUUUAAAAACUUUCAUACAUUUCAUAUCAAAGUGAGAGUUUUGUAUCUUGUAGACCAAAGACCUAGUGAAGCUUAAGUGCCACAAUUGUCAUGAGGUCGAAGUAGUCCAACAACUGUACAGCAAGGCUCAAGUUGUGUGGUUUCGUCACUAUCAAUGGUGAUUGUUAGUAACGAAAGUUGAAGUGUAUAUAUAUAUAUAUUAAAUUGUUUGAAAUGUAUUUAUUGAUCAUCAUAUUUCCAUAUAUACCUAGCAAAAUUAUUUGUUCCUCAUAUUUUAAAACUAAUUUUUAUAAUCUCGUUUUCAAUUGGACAUUCUUUUAAUAUUAUAGUUUAACUACACAUUCUCAAAAAAUGACUUUUCAAAAAAUCAAUUCUAAAAAUCUCUAUCUAACAUGGCCAUUAUAAAAUCUGCACUCUCUUUUUGACUAGAAACAAUAAAAGCUUUGUACAAUCAAGAUAGAGUAGUGCAAUACUGUAAGUGUAAAUCCAAUCAACCUUAGAUAUAAAUUCUUUUAAUAUAUAAUUAAUGCGAUUUGAUGGCAGAUCUAUUAUUUAAUUAAUAGACAAUUAAAUUAAAUAAUAGUCUGUAUAUUCAAAAUUUCGUAAUUUGUUAAUCACAAGGAGUUGUGAUUGUGAGAUAUAAAUUACAUAUGUUGAAUCUUAAAUCGUCCGUGAUCGUAAGUAAUAACAAGAUACGGAUAUCGUUAUUACGGAUAGACCAUCACGUGUGACAUUUCUUACUUGUGAAACAAAUAGUUGAUCUCACAAGCUAAAGCGUUGUGACACUUAAAUGAAUAUGUGAAUGUUUUGUUAUAGAACAAAAUAUUGGAGACCCACAGAGAGAUUUCACAUGGAUAACUAUUUGAGUGUCAGUGGUUAAUCUCUAACGUUUGGUAGUGAAAUUGGUCCUUUGACUUGAGGUCGUCAUGGUACCUUAUAUGAGGACAGUCAUACUUUGACGGUGUUGGAUGUUGCUCUGCCUAGGGUUGCUAAUACGACAUCGUUUGGGUAUGUCAAGAAUCGUAUAAAGGUUGUGAAUGACAAAUAGAGGAUUCGUCACUUUUAGAUAGUAAGAAAUUAUGAUCUGCGUUUCAUUCAAUUAAGUCGAUAACGAAAUCUUUGGCCAAGGUGUACUUAUAAGUCGAAAAGGAGUUUUCGACUUAUAUUGACUUAAUAGUGGAGUGAAAGAUAUGAUCGGUAAUCGAGAUUGACACAUUUCCAUAUCUCGUAAAUUGAUUAGAUCAUAUUGACGAAAAGAUUAUAGUUUCACGGUAAGUGAACGAAUUUGGUUUUGUUAUAUUACAUGACAUUUUCUGUCACAUGUAUUGCUCUGACACAUUGCUAGAUAUCAAUUUGGGACAACGAGUGUGAAUUGGUAAUAAAUUAAAAAGGUCUUUUAAUUUAUCAAUUUUGAUUAAAUUAAAAUAAUGUUCCAUGUCAUUAGGCAUCGUGAUAUUCCCUAUGAUGGGUCGCACACAAAAAGAGAAUUAGAAUAUUAUAAUUUAUCAAAUAAUUAAGUUAAUAAGCGUUAAAUAAAUAAAUUAAUUGGGUUGCAUAUUUAUAGGCCCAAAUUAAUUAAUUGGAUUAAUUAGUUUACAGACCAGAUUUAAGGGGUUAAUUAAAUAUUGGACCGAGUCAGGUUAAACCUGUUUGGGCUUAUAUAAAUAUGACUAGGGUUUUCAAAUUUUGUAGAGACUUCAUUAUUCUUGCUAGCACAAGAAGAAAAUCAUAAUCCUGCAAUCUUGUUCUCUGUGUGGAUCAUCGUUGGAGGCUGGACAACUGAACAACUGUGGGAUACAGAUCCAAGUUGCUAGAACAAAGAUAUGGCAAAAGAGUUUGCAGAUCUAGAAAAGGUACAACAUAUUUAUCACAAUUUCUAUCUAAAUACAAAGACGAUUCUUGGUGGGGAAUCGAAAAUUAUUUUAAUUUUCCGCUGUGCAUGUUAAGUCGAUUCCCAACAGUGGUAUCAGAACCAAGUUUGAAUUUGUUAGAAAUUGUUUAAUAUGUUUGAACAAUCAAAUGUUGAUUGUUAUAAUGUUUUUUUUUGGAUCUAGCAAUUUAGAACUAUUGUUUAUCUUCAAAAUUUGUUUUAAAGAGAAAAUAAUUUUGGAUUGAAAAAAAAAAAAGAAAGGGGGAUCUGGCGGUGGAGCCGGCGACAAUUGUUGCCGUCGACAGGGCUGACAUGCUGCCGUGCGCUAUGACAGCGGUGCUCGCCGCUAGGGCAGCGGCUCACUGCGGGCGGCAGGAAGCCACCGUUGUUGGACAGUGACGACCUCCUCCAGACGCCUCCCCUUGUUAAUAAAUGAUCGGUGCUGCAGGGAAGGGAGUUCUUCUAGGGCUUUCAAAGUUGGGUGAAAGAGGUUGGGGCGGGGGCUCACGUUGUAAAUUCAAAUAUGUUGAGCCCUUGUGUAUUUCAAUUCAGGGUCAAUUGCAAUUAUUUUAAUGAAGGGCCUGCCUGUAAUUUUCGAAAUUGGAGGGUCCUGAUUAUAAAUUUAAAUUUGGGUCAAGAUGCAAUUUUCAAAAGAGUUUUGAAUUUGAAUUUUAAAAUGGUUUUAAAUUUGAUUUUCGAAUGGGUUUGACCUAAAAUUUCAAUUUUGACCCAAAUUAAAAUCUUAUUUAAAAUUGACGAGUUUUUAUAUUUCCGUUAAAAUAUGAUUUUAACUUAAAUAUUAAAUUUGACCCCAAAUAGAAUUUUAUUUUAUUUAGGAGUGUUAUCCUAUAUUAAAAUAUUAAUUCUAUUAAAAUUAGAGUUUGGCUCUAAUUUAAUCUUAAUUAAAAUUUGAUUUUAAUUAAUUAUUCACCCAAAUAUGUUAUUGAAGUUAGAAUUGGAUUCUAAUUUGACAUUUAAUUAAAAUUUGAUUUUAAUUAAAUUGUCUCGCCCUAAAUUUCUUCUUGGAAUUAGAGUUUGACUUUAAUUUGCUAUUUAAUUAAAUUUUGAUUUUAAUUAAAUCAAUUCACCCUAAAAUUUUUUCCAAUUAGAGUUGGACUCUAAUUUGGUAUUUAAUUAAAAUUUUAAUUUUAAUUAAAUUAAUUCACCCUAAAUAUUGGAAUUAGAGUUAGACUCUAAUUUUGUUAUUUAAUUAAAAUUUGAUUUUAAUUAAAUUCAACCGCCUUAAAAUUUUUUAAAUUAGAGUUUGACUCUAAUUUGAUAUUUAAUUAAAAUUUGAUUUUAAUUAAAUUAUCCUGCCCCUAUAAUUGUUGAAUUAGAGUUGGAUUCUAAUUCGGUAUUUAAUUAAAAUUUGAUUUUAAUUAAAUAUGCCCGCUAAUUAAUAAUUGAUUAAUAUGAUUAAUUAAUUAUUUAAUUAUUCCGAUCUAUUUGUCUAAAAGAGUUUAGACGACCUUAAUUGCUAGAAACUUGAAAUGUUUUUGCAUAUAAUAUUAUAUAUGAUAUAGGCAUACGUUUAUGUGAUGAAUGUAUUACUAGUGGAUGAUUAUGGAUUCAAGUAUGUUGAUGUGUUAAUGGUUAAUUUUAUUCUUGUCGUGUUUUGGGCUGGCGAACCCAUUAUUAUUGUUAUUAUUAUGGGCCUGCUAGCUUUUAAUCAUUUUAGACCUGUGAGUCCGUUAUUAUUAUUAUUAUUACUACUAUGAGCCUGUGAGUCUAAUUUCAUUUAGGCCUGCGUGUCAACUAGUGUAAGAUAUAGGUUGCAAUUAGACUAAUUCAAGAAACAAGAAGAGGAGGAGACCAUGGAGAUGGUGCAUUGAUACUGUUCAAUGUUAUACCCUCUGGGAAUUGACCAACUAGUCUUUCUUAUGGCUUGGGAAGACUACAUAGUAAACGUCCAUAAUCGUUCACACUAUUAUCUUAUGUUGUAUGUAUAUAUAUAUAUAUAUAUAUAUAUAUAUAUUUGUAUGGUAGAUGUAUAAUAAAAUAUAUAUGAUUGUUACGAUGAGACUUAUGAAUGCAAAACCCCUCAAUGAAAUAUUAAGUUAAUUUAUUAUUCGCCUUUCAUCAUUAUAGUAAAAAAACUAGAGUCCCAAAUCGUCUCAACUUUUUGAGUACACUUAAGGCUGGGUUAUUAGGGAUAUGUUUGAUACUAUGAAAUAUUAGAUAUUUUUGAAUGAUGGGUCUGACUUAACUAAAAUUUAUUUUUUGUUGAGUACACUUAAGGAGAUAAAUUUUAGAGGCGUGUUAAACUAACGCAUAAGAUGUGUGAUGACAAAGAGUUGUCAGUUUAAUGAUUUGAGAGUUGUAUGUAAAUGCAAUUGAUAAUAGUAUCUACCCAAAUAUUUUAUUAAGGUUUGUUGAGUACACUCAAGGUCUUGAUAUAAUAGAAGAGAUCCCAACCCACUGGGAAUCAAGUAUGGAUUCCAUAAAUUUAUGUGAGAGGGUCAUAAAUUUGGGUUAAACAGUGGGAGCAUAAUUAAUUUAAUAAAAGUCCAUGUUAAAUUAAUUGAUACAUUUUAUAUAUUAUUCUUUUUCUUUUUGUCAUUUAUACUUAUUGAAUCAUGACUAAUCAUGUGUAUUUGGGUGGCAUACUGGAUGCCAACAAUCAAAUCAAAUCAAAUCUUCUUGAUUGGCACUGCAAUUUGAGAAUUGUACUUAUGCAUGAGAAAAUGUGUCACGUCCUUGAGUAGCCCUUUCCAAAAACACAUGUUGAUGACUCGAUUAAAGAAGAGGUGGCUACUGUAAUAAACAUAGUGAUGACGAUAGUACUACAACAUGUGUGAUGUUUGCAUUACGUCACCUGAGUUACAAAAGCAACUUCAGAGUAUAGAUGUUGACGCAUGAUUUUUCAUUUCAAAGAGUUGCAUGAUAAUAAUCAUGUGUGGAAGGAUGAGAGACUUCCAAGCAACUAUACCGAUGCAAAAUGACAGAGCGAUCUUCAGUCAGUGCUAAGGUACUGAAGGUGAUUGACGUUGAGAAGUUUCUCAAUUAAGUUCAAUCAUGAACCAUGAACUAAGUAUUCCCUUUGUUCUGCAAUCUCCAUCGGAAAGAGCUAUUCGCAAGUAAUUAUGAAUUAUGAUAUGAAUAAGCUCGAAUACAUACUCAUUAAGUUACUUAACAUGCUUAUGACUGUUAAGCUCGAUAUCAAAGUUAGUAGUGGGCAAGCUAUUGAUUCCUGUAAGGAUAUUAAGAGAAAGUUUAAAUGGGCUUUAUGAAAACGUCCAAUAUGGCUAAGAUCGUCAAAGCGAAGGACAAUACCAAAUCUGAUGACCUUUGGUUUCAUUAUAGAAUGAAAGGUCAUUGGAAGAAAUAUUACAUGGCUUACGUAUAUUUCACGAGUUUCUUAGGUAUUUGAUACCAGAUGUAGACAUUAUAUUUAUACAAAUAUGGAGAAACUAAAUAGAAGUAUACCACUACGAAAGAGAGAAGUUGACCUACACGUUGAAGAUGAGCAAAUGUUGUCGCAUUGCCUAUAGGAGCAUACUUCUUACUAUUGCCUUUUAGCUUAGUAUUGGAAUUAGAGAAAUGUUGCUUUGUAUCCACCGUAGCUGGAACAUUAAAAUAAAUUUCAUGUUCAGACAUGAACUAUUUUAAUGUUAAGGAUAAUUGUUGUUCCUACUUAUCUUGAUUAAGAUCUUAAUAAAUAUGGUAAGCUACAAAAUAAACAUUUAUAUUCUAAACACUAAGCAUUCUAUAAUGAGUAUAGAAGUUAAGAUGUAUAAAAGAUAUAAUCUGAAUAAUACCCAAAUCUAGCAUUGCAGAAUUGGUCAUAUAGAUGAAAUGCAAUUUCAAAAUUACAUAGAGAUGUAUACGUAAAGUCAAUUGAUUUUGAAUCGUUUGACAAAUGCAAAACAUGUCUGUUUGGCACAACGAUCAAAUCUCCUUUUACUUGAAAAAGAAUAAGUCUGCAUAAAUAUUGGCAUAAUACAUAGUGAUAUAUAUAGACCCAUGUCAAUUAAUGGCAAAUAAAGUUUCUCUUAUGUCAUCAAUUAUCAUGUAUACUUGAUAAAAUUCAAGCAUGAAGUUCUUGAAAUAUUCAAAGGAUUCAAGCUAGAAGUAGAUAAACAAAUAGGUAAUGAUACCCACACAUUAAGAUCCGAUCGAAGUAAGAAUAUCUUAAAGAUAAAAUUUAGAUUACUUAAGAGAGAAUGAGAUUCUUUUGCAGUGGACUCCUCCAUAUACACUGCAGCAUAAUGGUGUAUCUAAAAGGAGGAAUCGUUAACUAUUAGAUAUAGUGCAAUUAAUAACAAGUCAUGCAAAUCUCCCAAAAUUGUUUGGGAUCAUGCAUUGAUUGCAGUGUGCAACACACUAAAUCAUGUCACAUCUAAGUUGGUUAACAAAACUCCAUACGAGUUAUGAAAAGGCAGUAGUCCCAAUUUAUCUCAUAUGAAAGUAUGUGGCCAUAACACUUAUUUGAAGCGCCUUGAAUCGGAUAAGUUUGAAACUAAAUCUGAUAAAUACAUAUUUGUGGGGAUACUCCAAGCAGAAAUUUGAAUAUAAAUUCUAUUAUCAUGAAGAAAGUCUUCGUCUCACGAUAUAUCGUCUUCUUAGAGAAAAUAUUUACUUUAGGAGAGGACAGUGGGAGUAAAAUAGAACAUGAAAGAGUUCAAGAGUCCACAGAUAUAGUUAACCAAGUAGAUGAAUUCGAAUUUUAUCCCAUAUCUGAUAUGGGACAUACUCUUGAUCAGAAAGUGGAGACUCCUGAAGACAUUAAGCUCUAUGUGAAUCUAGUAGGAUCAUUCGACCUUUAUGAAGGUGCGAAUCCAUGAUUAUUAAUCAGACAUUGCUUAUUCAGGAUGAUGAACCUAUUAAUUGUACAAAAACAAAGUCAAAUGUUGACUUAAAAGAGAUAGCAAGAGGCCAUGAAACUCGAGAUAAACUCGAUGUAUGUGAACAAGGUUUGAACCUUGCUCGACCCUCCUGAUGGGAUGAAACCUAUAGGUUGUAAAUAGUUUACAAUAAAAGGUUGACGUGGAUGGAAAUAUCCAUACAUACAAAGCAAGGUUAGUAGCAAAAGAUUAAGUGUUGACCUUGGUGAAACUUUACCCUGUACCUUUGCUGAAAUCCAUUCGGAUUUUAGUUGCAAUAGUUGCAUACCAUGACUGUGAGUUAAAGCAAGUCUUUUGGAGUUGAAAUCUUCAAUUUGAUACAAAAUUAAAAGGUUUGAUUUUAUAAAAUAUGAAGACGAAUUGUGUGUUUACAAGAAGAUAGUGGGAGCAUUGUCGAAUUCCUAAUAUUAUAUGUAAGACAUAUUAUUAAGAGGAAAUGACAUCCCUACAUUUCAAUCGUUAAAAUUGUAGUUGUUAAAGGAUUUAUUCAUGAAUGAUAUAGGGAAGCAACUUGAUCUAUAGAGAUAGAUCUAGAAGAGUGCUUAACUCAUUCCAAUCUAUAUAGAUAAAAUCUUCUCAAGAUUUUAUAUGGAGAAAUUGGUUUACUCUUAAACGGUGUGUUGGAAAGGUUCCAAAUAUGAAACGAUCAUUGAUUCGAUAGCGGAAACCUAAUACAUGAUUGCUUCAAAAGCAGCAAAUAGUUGCAAUAUGGAUCAAGAUGUUCAUUAAUGAACUUAGAGUAGUUCCUAAUAUUAUUGAUCACAUACCAUUGUAUUGUGAUAACAAUAGAACCACCGCGAAAGCGAAGGAACUAAAGUUUCAUCAAUGAUCCAAACAUGUAUUAAGGUGAUAUAAUCUCAUCAGAAAGAUAAUACAUAGAAAUAACUAAAGAGAAGAACGAAUUCCUACAUUUGACAAUAUUGCAGAUCCAUUGACAAAGAGUUGUCGUAGCAUAAAUAUGAUCGUCAUGUAGACUCUUAUGACAUUGGAUACAUAAGUGAUUGGAUCUAGUGCAAGUGGGAGUUUGUAAGUGUUGUGCCCUAAGUCCAAUCAACAUUGGAUAUAAAUUCUUUUAUUAUAUAAUUAAUGCGAUUUAAUGGCAGAUUUAUUAUUUAAUUAAUAGACAAUUAAAUUAAAUAAUAGUUCGUAGAUUCAAAUUUUCGUAAUUUGUUAAUCACAAGGAGUUGUGAUUGUGAGAUAUAAAUUACAUAUGUUGACUUUUAAAUCGUUCAUGGCCGUAAGUAAUAACGAGAUGCGGAUAUCAUUAUUACGGAUAGACUAUCACGUGUGACAUUUCUUACUUGUGAAGCAAGUAGUUGAUCUCUAAAGUGCUGUGACACUUAAAUGAACACGUGGAUGUUUUGUUAUAGAACAAAAUACUAGAGAUCCACCGAGAGAUUCCACAUGGAUAACUAUUUGAGUGUCAGUGGUUAAUCUCUAACGUUCGAUAGUGGAAUUGGUCCUUUGACUUGAGGUCGUCAUGGUACCUUAUAUGAGGAUAGUCAUACUUUAGCGGUGUUGGAUGUUACUCUGCCAAGGACUGCUAAUAUGGCAUCGUUCGGGUAUGUCAAGAAUCGUAUGAAGGUUGUGAAUGACCAAUAGAGGAUUCCUCACUUUUAGAUAGUAAGAGAUUAUAAUCUGCGUUUCAUUCAAUUAAGUCGAUAACCAAAUUCUUGGCCAAGGUGUACUCAUAAGUCAAAAAGAAGCUUUCGACUUAUAUUGACUUAAUAGUGGAGUGAAAGAUAUGAUUGGUAAUCAAGAUUGACACACUUCCAUAUCUCGUAAAUUGAUCGGAUCAUAUUGACGAAAAAAUUAUAAUUUCACGGUAAACGAACGAGUUUGGUUUCGUCAUACCACAUGACAUUUUCCGUCACAUGUAUUGCCCUGACACAUUGCCAGAUGUCAAUUUGGGAUGGCGAGUGUGAAUUGGUGAUAAAUUAAAAGGGUGUUUUAAUUUAUCAAUUUUGAUUAGAUCAAAAUAAUAUUUCACGUCGUUAAAUAUCGUGAUAGGGAACUUGAUGGGUCGCACACAAAAAGAGAAUUUGAAGAUUGUAAUUUAUCAAUUAAUUAAUUUAACAAGCGUUGGACAAAAUAAUUAAUUGGGUUGCAUAUUUAUAAGCCCGAAUUAAUUAGUUCACAGACCAGAUUUAAGGGGUAAAUUAAAUAUUGGAUCGGGUCAGGUUAAGCCUGUUUGUGCUUAUAUAAAUAUGACUAGGGUUUUCAAAUUAUGUAGAGAAUUCAUUAUUCUUGCUAGCAUAAGAAAAAAACCCUAAUCCUACAAUCUUGUUUUCUGUGUGGAUCACCGUUGGAGGUUGAACAAUUGAACAGUUGUGGGAGACAGAUCCAAGUUGUUGGAACAAAGAUAUGGCAAAGGAGUUUGCAGAUCUAGAAAAAGUACAACAUCUUUAUCACAAUUCCUAUCUAAACACAAAGGCGAUUCUUGGUGGGAAUCGAAAAUUAUUUUAAUUUUCCGCUGCGCGUGUUAAGUCGAUUCCCAACAAAUACAAUAUUAUAUAAUCAAAUAUUAAGACCAGAUGAAUGUCGAAUUACAUAGAAGGCUCGUGGAAGAUUCAACCGAACUAAUCUACUUCCAUUCUGAUACAUUAUAGUUUAUACACGCAAUUUUAAUAAAAUUUCUAGCAAGCAAAGAUAAACUAUGCUACAUAUUCAUUAGAUUAUGCCAAAUUCCUAGCAAACAAAGAUAAACUAUGCUAAAUAUUCAUAAAAUUAAUGGUUUACAUGAUUAAGAAUAUUAAUUCUACCUGCAAAGUCAUUAUCAACUUCUCAUUAUUGUUUGAUAGAAUUGGAAAUAUCCCAACAUGAUCCGUAACUGUGUAUCGUAGUUUUAACACGAAGUUAUUUUCUUUUGUAGGCCAUGUUUGUCCCACCUUCUUUUGAAAUUCAUUUGGAAGAGUCAUUGUUAUCUUCUCAUCCUACAUGACCAGUAACUGAGUAUCUUAGCUUCAAGACAAGAAGAUGUUUUCUUGCAUAGGCCAUGUUUGUCAAACCUGCUUUGGAAAGUCAUUUGGCGUAUUAUAUAAUAGUCAAUGAUGGAAUUUGAUAUUUAUUGUCAUUUAUGAUUUAUAUACUAUAUAUAUCCUCUCUAUAGAGGACAGAACACAUAUUGUUUGCGUAACUUGCAGUGCAUUGACAGAAAGCGCCAAUACGAAAGUUUGAUUUAGGUUUAGCAUUGCUGUUAUUGUACAAGUCCAAAAUCAUUGUCCGUCUAUUCUAACAAGCUGUAGAUUGGUCAUCGAAAUUUUAAGUGAAAUAUUAGUCAUUGUCAUUUAAAUGUGCACUUUACUUAGUUAUCCACUCCGUUUACGCCUAUCUACUCUAUUGCAGAAAAUUUUAUCUCCCUGAAGCAAACCACAUAUUUAAAAGAGACUUAUCAUGAUUAAUAAUAAGACUACAAGUCAAGUUUAGUUUAAUGAUUUCAACUAGUCAUUGUACGGAGAUAAACUUGCUUAAUUUUUGGUACGAGAACAAAAUUAAAUAUUCAUGUAAACAAAAUUUUAUUUUAUUUUCUUCUUUAAUGUGGUAUCUUAUUUUUCAAUAUUUCACUUGUUGAAAAAAGAAAAUGUGACACGGUUAAAUGAAUGCAUCGGAUAAGAAAAAGUGGUACGAGAUUAAAAAAAAAAAACACUCACCUAUAUCCACGGAAGAAGACCAACCAAUUCACUCAAAAUACAAACUUUUGGCACUCUCUCAAGUCUCAAGUCACAACUACUCAAAACUUUAAAGUUGAACAUGUUUCAAAGUUGAACAAAACAUGCGCUUCUCCAUUAGAAUUUAGCUUUAUUAAUAUUGAACUUAUGGAUUUGUAUUGAUUUCAUCCCAAGAGACGGCCAUUCUAAAUUAAAUAUCGAAUGAUUAUAUUAUUACAAUCAUGAAUUAUAUUGUUUUCUUUUAAACAUUUUUAUAAGGCGAUUUGUCUCUACUUUUUUAAAAGUAGCAUAUUCACUGGUCCUAUCAUGUUGUGGUAUUCCUUCUGUACAACCUAUUUUCAUGCUGGUUAAUUUAGGAGUAAUGUUAUGUUACUCAUAUUGUUUGCCUUUCGACAGAAACCUUAACCGUAGUAGGCAUGCAGGUAAAUUAGUUGGGCUGUUUCCAGAGACAUUCUUUAAAGCAUCAAAACUAAGUGUUUCACUGGCAGUCCCUAAGAAAGCUGUCUCCAAAAAUUUGAAAAUCCAUGACUAAGUUACAGUUACAACGAAUGAGCGAAGGUAUUAAAAUGUUCCUAGAACUUGUCCCUAUUUGUGUACCUUCCAUAAGAUUAUCCACCCAUAUCUGACCUUUCUAUUUCUCUCUCCCCCCCCCCCCCCCCCCCCCCCAAAACAAGCAUAUCAUUCUAUUCAUCUAUCCAUACAGGGCAGGGCAGGUCUGGCUUUUAUCCAUCUAGAAAAUGCUAUUUUUUUCUAGCUAAGCUAUUUGUUUGUUGUGUUGAGCGAUACAGCUUCGUUCAUCUUAUAAUAAAAAAAAGAGUUGCCUAGCAUCCACUCGACCACAUUAUGGUGCACUUAACAGCAAUGUAGAUGACGGUAUGAUCAUUAUUACAUUUUCAAAGUUAAAAUGUAUAUUUAUUUAUUAUACAAUAUAAGAAUAAAUUAACUGCCAACUAAAUUAAUGUUAAACGCUGCUAAUUUUAAAUAACAUUAUUAUUUACAUGACAUCAUUUUUCUCUAUAAGUGUAUGCAGAAGCAUGCAAAUGUCAUAACAUUGUACAUGAAUUUAUUGAAAAACAUAAGGUGCUCAUAUACUACAGUUUACAACAUUGAAAUUCUAAGGAUUGAAUUUCAAUCAUCUCAUCUAAAAAUCAAUUGGUGUUCAAUGAGGGCAGCGUAAACGUUUUAUGAUAAUCUAUCCUAUGUGAGUGAACUAACCUAUGAACUUAAGAGCUACUUUGCUGCUCCCCAACAAUGUCUUUGUCAACAUGAUGCUCUUGUAUUCAAAACCUAUGACCUUAGCUCUAAUAUCUCUUGUUAGGAUUGAGUUUCAACCAUCUCAUCUCAUGAUCAAUUAGUACAUUGAGUGGUAAUCUAAACAUUGUAUGGCAUUCGACCAUCAUCAUUUGAGUAAUCUACCUCUUAAGCUUAAGAGCAUACUUGUUUCUCUCCAACAAGUAUUCGGGAACACAAUAUUAGAAUGCACAUCUUGAAGAUCAUAGAUGAUUUUAUCGUGAGUAGAAACAAAUAAUUGUGGAACUUUUUUUCUUUGAUCGAGGUAUGUAUCCCCUGGAUUUUCAUAUAUAACACAGUUGUAAUGAGAAAAUUUCUUUUCCUAUUCAGAAAAAAAUGAUAAACUCUUUUUCUUUGCCUAUAGUUUUCUCGUAUGGCUUUCCUAGUAAAGUUUAAAGGAGACAUUAUUUGAGAAUAGACAUCCAAGAGGAUUUGUGCUUGAAUCACUUUUGCAAUUGAUAUCUAAGUUAGAUAGAAGACUCAAAGAAAAUAAGCGAAGAAUCAAUGGAAAACUCUCAGUCCAAGCACCAAAUGGUUACAAUAUUAUCAUGGCCCAAAUAACUAGAUAAACCUUUAUAGAAUUUUCAAGAGAACGAUGGAUGAAUACUCUCAAUCCGAGCACCAAAUGGAUACAAUAUUUAUCAUGACCCAAAGCAAUCUAACAAGGGUACAGAACUAGAUAACUAGUUAAUUAGAUUGAUAAUUCUUAUUCAAAGACCAAUUAAAGAUAAUUAAUGUGGGCUAGCCACGUUCAUUGAACCUUAUUCAAAUUCAUCUUCACACACACAUGUAUCGCUAAAAUCAUUAUCAUUGACGUCUUUCCACUUAAUAUAGACGUGGAGAUAAUCUUGGGGAAAGAAGAAUAUCCAGAGGGGUAGAUUUCAUAUUAGUUAGUCCAGAACUCGCACGCAUAUCAACUUUUUCAUCAAAAGGAGUUGAAAGUUCAAAUGCAUGCAGCAAAUUAGCCAGGAUAAAAUGCAACAUCUGAAGGCCAAACGUUGUGCCAGCACAAAUUCUUCUACCAGCUCCAAAUGGGAUCAAUUCGAAAUUAUGACCUUUCACGUCAAAAUCUUUAUGAGUCAUGAGGAAUCUCUCUGGCUUAAACUCCAAUGGGUCAGACCAUAUUCGAGGGUCUCUAUGUAAUUUCCACAUAUUUACGAUUAGCUUCGUACCUAUCAAAAGUAAGAUCUCACAUUGUUAAUGUAAAUUGAAUACCUAAUGCAUAAUGACUUUGGAUUCAUAUAAUAAAUAUCAAAUUAACAAGAAUUUCAAUGUAUUUAAAGUUCAAAAAAGUAAUUAGAUUUCAAAGUUAGUAUUUUCAAACAAGUUAACAUGUUGUGUGAGCAUGAUAAAGGUAAAAUCUAAAAAUAAUGGUCUUUAUUUCUCGUAAUAAGAUCGAUCUUUUAAAGUAGGGAAAAAAAGUGCAUUACAUGUACCUUUCGCAAUGUGGUAACCUGCUAAUACGCAGUCAGCUGAGAAUUCCCUUAUACCACCCAAGAAAGCUGCUGGGUAUAAUCUUAAAGUCUCUUUGACAAUGGAUUGAAUAUAAACCAGUCUGUUGAUGUCUGACUCCUUUACUUGCCUUUCCUUUCCAACAUGAAUGUCCAAUUCUUCUUGAGCCUUUCUCAAUACAUGGCGGUUGUUUAGUAAUAGGGCUACUGCCCAUACUAGCAUAACAUUGGUUGUGUCACCUCCACCAGCGAUUAAAUUCUAACGAUCACAAGAUAAUAGCUACUAUUAAAAUAGAUAACUUCUUACUUAAAAUUUUUGUUUAGCUAAAACUUUAUAAAAAUUUUAGUCAAAGUCAACAAUUAAUUAUAAUUACACAUUAUAGUGACCCACAACUUUUAUCAGCUUUUCAACCAAACAUUUUAUCAACUUUUACCACAGCAUACUGAAAAUCUUAAGCAAAGCCAAAUACGGUUUAAUAUGUUCAGAAAAAAAUUUACUUUAAAGUAGCCUUUAUCUAAUUUUUAGCUAGACGAAAUCUAAUCUUACUUAUUUGCCUCUUAAUUCUUUCUUAUAUAAGUGUUAAAUGGUGUGCGAUUACUUCUUCAUCAACUUUUAUCAAAAUCUAUUAAAAAUUUAAUUUUCAAUAAAAUCCAAUGUGUUUAAUAUAUUUAGAUAAAAAAGUUAUUUAAAAGUAACAUUUACCUAAUUUUUAGCUAGACAGGUAAAUAUUUAACUAAUUUUUAAUAUUUUGUCUCAUAAUUCUUUCUUAUACUAUUGUUAAAUGGUGUGACAUCACUUCCUUCGUGGUUUAGACACUUUAUGCUUACAGAAUCACUUUAUCACAUAUAUGUUCUAUUGACAUAUUUGAUAUAUUGGAUUUGAAAAUAAUGAAAAGAUCAAAGAAUAAAUACAAAAUAAGUAAUAUCUGCCAUGCCAUGAUAUCCAGUAUAGUGAAUACCAAACGUGUUGCAUAGUUCUUCAUGCUUUUCAAUUUUUGGAUAUCAAGAAUUUUGGGAUCAUUUUUC